UUUUUUUUUUUUGGUAGGAUUUUGUGUAUGCGUUUGAGUGGAAAAGAGUACCUAUGUUAUUCUGACACUGAAAACGAUUCUCCAUCCCUCCAAAAGACCGAAAAUUCAAGAAAUCCCAAACAUGCAACGGCUGGUAAGUUGCUUAUAUCCUCUAAUUAUUUUCAUCUUAAAAUCUUUCCAAAUUCACUCGAUUGUUUUUCUUUUUUUGUUGGGGCGGGGGGGGGGGGGGGGUGGGGAAGGUGUGUUUCUCUCCUGUGCAGAUGCAAAUUGAUUGUCAUCGAUCACUUGUAAGAUUUCGUGUCAAUUUUUCCACGGUAAGUAAAUUCAAUUUCCAUAACACUUACUAGUGUUAUAUUAUCAAAUAUUGUUUGUGCUAAUUUGUUAUGUAUAAGGGUCAGUUGCAACAAUGAAGGGAGACAUUUUGGCAGAAAGAUUAAGUUAGCAUUGUCAACUUAUGACCGCAACGAAUUUACUGUCCCACUCCCUAUACCACUCUCUAUCAUAUUUUUUAUUAUAUUAUUUAUUCUCUUUCAUAAAUAUCUUAUGUUAAUUCUUUUUUGUUUUCUCAAAAUCCAACAACUAUUUAUUGAGUAAUACACAAAAUUUAACAACUCAAAAAUAAAAAUACACAAAAAUUGAGAUUUCUUAUGAAUUUUUUGCUGUAUUUUUUAAUUUUCUAUUAUAUAUUAUUUUUUUGAAACUGUUGUAUUUAUUUUUUACUCAAUUAAUAGUUGUUGAAUUUUAAGAAAACAAAAAAGAAUCAAAAUAUGAUAUUUAUAAAAGAGAAAUAGCAAUAUAACAAAAAGUAAAACAGAGAGUGGCACAGAAAGUAGGAAAAAAGAUCCGUUACGGCUUACGACACAGCUUGGGUAGCAAUGGUUCCUUCUUGGGACAUUACAAACAAGCCUUGUUUCCCAUAAUUCUUCGGUUGCAUUAAGGAAAAUAUGCACCAAGAUGGGUCAUGUGGUUUGCAUCUUUGACAUCCAUCACUAGUACUCCAUUUGGAUAGAGCUCUUUUUAGAAAACUCAUCUACCCAAUUAUCUUUUUAUUCCAUAUACAAUUUACUCAAAAAAUUAGCAAUCAUUUUUGAAAAAAAAAACCCAAAAAACAAUUGUCCAACUAGAAUUAACAUGUAUUCUAGCCUUGAGAAUUUUGGGGUUUAACGUCCAUAUGUAUCAUGGCAUUGAGUAGAUCAAUUUUCAUGAUGCCGAACUUAGCUAGGACUAUUGCAAUUAUGAGUAUCAAUUUCACCCUACAAUGUAGGCAAUAUCGCAACUGAUGCUGAAACUAAUACAAUAAAUAUAGACAUUAAAACAAUAACAUAUAAAAACAUGAUAAAUAAUACUAUCAAUCAUUAAAAUUUGUGUCUCAACUCUCACAAUGAAUCCCGUCCAUCCAAAUUCAAAUGGAACCUAUACAAUUCAUCAAUUUCAAGGUGCAAUUGUACUGAGAAUUGUAGAGAACUUAUUAAUCCCCUUAUUGAAUAUGUAUACUACUUUUAGAGAAUAGAGAUUUCCUUUAAUUUGUAAAAGCCAAUAAAACUGUUACUGCAUUCCAUAUUGUGUUCUCGACUUUCGAAGACGUUCAAAAAAUGAAUGUCGUAUUUUGUCCUAUUGCGUUAGAAUUUUCUCUAUGAUCAUAGUCUAUGAGAGGUCAUAUAUAUAUGAUACCCGAGAAUUGACCAAUCCAUUGUCAAACAAAUUGACAAGAAUUCCGAGUGCAUUUGGACUGGCAUUGUUUUCCAAAUAAUGCCCCAUACAAACAUUGCAUGGCCUUGAUUGAAUAGGUACAAAUUCCUUUUCUGAAUAUGAUAAAUAAGAAAAAAUACAUCACAAUCUCCCCAUGGUUUAUGAGAAUUACAGGAAUUUCGAUGUUGCUUUGAUAACGAAUACACCCAAGCCCUUCAUUCAAUUGUUUUGAAUUUUUGGUUAGUGGACUGAACUAGGUAGGAUUAGUGCCAGGUUUAAUAGUAAGACAGGGUAUCUUAAAAUUCAUUAUUCUAUUUGCUAAAGGGAGCUAUGUCUUUAGCACUGAUGUCUCAUCAGAAUAUCUUAAUUUGAUCUUCACCUAUUUUCCUCAGAAACAUGUUUUGAUUUCUUCCGAAAAAAAAAUCUUAAACAAUGUGGCGAUCAGGAAUUGUAGUUCGAAUCAAAUCUCAUCAUUCAAGUAAAGAAGCUGAAAGUCCCCACGGGUAGUGUGACUGAUUCCAUAGUCUGGUAGUUACCAGUAGGUCCCGUGAUCAAUCUCCGUAUGUUAUCUCGCUACGUAUCUUUGAGGCAAGACUCUACAUAGAUUUAAGGGAUUAGUAUAGACGAAAAACUGAAAUACCCCUAAGUGAAAAAAAAAAAAGUAAAGAAGCUGAAAAGAUCCAUUUUAGUUCAGUUUUUCCCAAGAAAUAGGGAUAUUGUACUUAAAGGGUCACCUCAAUGGCUCAAUAUGAGUGCAGCAAUGACACUUCUGAAAUUGGAAAAACCUGGCAGGCUUUGUAUAUUUAUUAUUUAACCAGGACCAUUGAGAUUAACCACUACUUUAGCAAUUGUGUGUUAAGAGGCUUUGAGUAUAUAUAUACAACCAUUUGCCAAUUUUGUUCUUCUAGAUAAAAUUCUAUUUUUUUGGAGUUAUUUUUUUCUCAAUAAUAGAGGAAAUUGAAAAACAAGUUGCAUAUAUAGAUAUGGCUGAAUAAAAGAUUAUAGUUAUUGUAAUUUAAUAACUCUAAACUAUCUUAAUGAAGAGCUAUGCUCUAUUAAGAAUAUCUGCCAAGCAUAGAAUUAUUUUGGCCUUUUCUUUUGUUGGUGGUACCUUGAUUAUUAUUUCAGGUAACAGUUCCUACAAAUAUGCAUUUUUAUCACCCCAUAUAGCGACCAAUCAUGAGCCGCCAUGUAAUUUGAUAUAAUUAUGCGUUAAAAAUCUAAAAAAAAACGAUGAGCUGUUGACACCUCAUUUUUCCUUUAUUUUAAAAUUUGUAUGGGGGAGAGGGUUGGGAAAGAGUUGGACCCACAGUUUUCUUGCACUGUCAUUUAUUGUCGAACACUUUCGAAAUAGAAAAAAAAUUUUCCUUAUGAAAUAGAUAAGCUUUUUUAUUAAAGAAAUGGGUUGGGUUAAAUGGUACGGGAGAGAGAGGAUAAGUAAGAGAUCCUAGGUUCACGACCUCUCACUCACACUAAAAAAAACUAAAAAAAAAAAAAAAAGAAAGAUAAGCUUUUUAUUAUCUCUUUUGUGCUAAGGAAGCCCAAGGGCCCUUUACAAUGGUACCAAUUGAGGGAUAACAACUUCCACAACAUCAUAACUCAAGGGAUUCCUACCUAGGCAGUCUGUUGAUGUAUUAACAUAAUGCUAGCAGUACUUUCAAAUUAAUUAAAGAUAACUACGAAAAAAAUAUGUUUAAACUUUCCAACAAUUUUUUUUUUUUAAAAAAAGAAAGAAUGAUUAUUGAUCUGUUUUUGAAAAACAAAAUGCAUCAUGUCAAUUAUAAAUUGCCUUGAAUUACGCUUAUUUUCUACUCCAUCUCAUUCAAUCCGAAACGUCAAAAAAUAUUAGAAAUGUGCAUAUGUGUGUGUGUGAUAACUGAUAUGCAUAAAAAUAAAAAAGAAUAAGAGAAAAAUUAUGACUAUUGACUUGUUUGGAUUAAGGAAUUUGACGAAGGAUUUAAAGUCCACCCAAAUUGUUCUAGCUGUUUGGAAUACUUAAAAGUCGUUUGAAUUUAUCUAAAUAUAUCUUAAAUACUAAAAUAAUUAAUAAAUUAUAAGUCUAAAUACCUCGUAAAUAAUCUAAACAAUUAAAGAAAUUUGAGAAGGAUUUCAAAUCUUUCGUGAAAUCCUUCGUUCCAAAUGCAACCCAAGAGAAUUUUUUGGGUGGUAGAGACAGCUUAUCAGGGGUGAAGCAAGAGCUCUUCAGCACAGAGAGGCAAAAACCUACAUUUUCUUUUUAGAAUUUAAGGUACUGUGACACUUAAUAUUUUUCCAUGAAUAUUCUAAGAACUUGAUUUUGAAUUUGGCAAGAAGUUGCAUUCAAUUAAAUGUCAAAAUUUGACUGUAGGCAAGAUUGCAGUGUAAAAAAUACUAGGAGUAGUGAUAACAUAUAUACAUCUAGAAAUGCCACUAAACUAAUAAUUUAUCAUAGAAAAUAAAAACCAGCAAAAUUCACGACCAAAAAAAACAUGAUUUGCAUAUGAUGGUGGGAGAGGGAGAAGGCAAGAAUUUGUCAUCCAUAACUUGCAAAAGACCAUUUUAGUUUCUUUUACUGAAUCAAUAAAUAAUGAGAAAACUUUUACAGUUACUGAUCGCAUGUCAGCUUCCUCAGUAAAAAAUUUUAACUCCAUUGGGGUGAUGAUCCUAUCCUGCACUUUUGUCUAAUGAAAUGGGAUCCUUAACUGCUCAUAUUUAGAAGCUUUAGAUAUCUAUUUCCAUACCUUUUAUAACUUCAUGUCAUUAGAAUAUUCAUCGGCUUGGGUAAUUUAUACUUCACCAAGCAACAUUUUUUUUUAUUGAGUUUUUUCAGGUUUAGAUAUUAGUCGGACAUUUUCUCCAGUCACAAUUUCUUUAAAUAUUUGACAAUUUCCUAAUAUGACAAUGAAAAUAAAAACCUUAAAAAGAAAAACUAAAUUCCAAAUUGAAAUUACUUAUCAUUCAUCUAAAUCUACUGGUGUAUAUGAAAAAAUUUCAAAAAUAAUUAUGCCUACAUGUCUUUCAUCCCUUUAAUAUUAUGGACUAGUGUCAAACCGGUAAAAUAUUACUACUACUAGGUACAAAAAUUUUAAUUUCAUUCUUUUCCACUGGCAUCUCUUGUACAGCUUUAUCAAUUUCUUUAUUUUUCAUUUUAAAAAGUUGUAAUGAGGCCUAAAAGGAUUUAAUAGAUUUGUCCAAUCAUUUUACAGAGAAUUGCAAUCUUGAUCCCAAAUGUUUGGCACAGGAGCACUUCUAGUCUUAAAAAUUUGGACGAAAGCAAAUAUAGUGCCAAAUAUUUCAAUUUCUAAUUACAUUUAGUCCUAAUAACUGAUUUUUAGCAACAACCACCAGAAUCUAGUCAUGUGUUGGCAACUAAUUUUAAACAAAAAAAAUUAAAAAUAUAGAUAAAAUAGUGUUGGCCUUAAUCUCUAAAAAAGAUGACUAAUUAUCCAUAUGCUGAUCGCAUGAAUAAUUAGUCUUUAACCUAUAAUGUUUUUUGUCAACCAAAAUUUUGUUUUGUGGGCUAAAGACUAAUAAUACUAACGUAAUUAGCAUGUAAAUAAUUAGUUCAUUUUUUAUACCAUCAUUAAAAAGUAUGCGCAUGUGUUUGGACAGAGUAUUAUUUGAAAUAUUAUUUAGAAUAAUUACUGUAACACUUUUUGUGAUGUAAUGUAUGUAAAAUAAAAAAAUAGUUGGGAAUAUAAAAAUGUGAAUUGGAAAAUGUGUGUAUGAUGCAAGUAAAAUAUUAUGUGAAAUAAUUCAACAAUCCAAACACAGGCAUGGCAUGCCUGAGAGAGCAAUCAGACGAACAAGCAGCAAACUAGUAACCUGAAUCAUAACUGUCUUCGAAACUUGAAAAAAAAAAAAUUACAGUAUAUAGUCCUUUGGUUAACUCAAAACUUGUCGACUCCUAGUUGCUCAAUAGGUACUCUGUUAUUAAGGGGAAGAGAUGAGGUAGUACAUAAACUUAUUGCAGGCAAAGUUGCAUCAAUCAGACAUCUAUAGUAAAUUUAAAGAAUUACCAUGUUUUUGCUUGUUAUCAGGUCAAAGUUACUAGGCCAACAUCUAAUUCAGCUGAAUGGAUUCAUCCCGCAAACAUAUUAACCUACUCAAGAUACUAUAGAGCAGAUAAGACUUAUGAGGAGCAAAUUUCAUUCUUGUAGUUGUAUACCCUGUCUAGGAAAAGGUUGCUCAAUGAUCAGCAAGCAUCCAGUUGCAGAUCAACAUGGAAUCACUUAAAUUUCGGUCAAUGUCUAUACAAUGUACAAAACCUUAAUCCAACCUUCAGCAGACAUAUGCUUCGUGGGAAGACUAAAGAAGGAAUACAAAUAAACGAUGCCAAAACAGAAAAUUAAACAAAUUACUCAUCAUCUUCAUUGCCAGCCAUAUUAUGCAAAUCAACAAGGUCCAUGUAGCACAGUAAAUCUGCUAUGGAUGUAGGUGUCUAAACUAUCAUAGGAAGAAUGUAGACAUAGGAUUGUUAGUACACAAGUACAAUCCACUAACAGCACCUGAGAAGGUGCUUAAGAUCUCUUCGUCUAAGCUUUAUUCUAAUCCUAUGUUCGAGUAGCAACUUCAAGCAUGAGCUUUCGUGGCAUUCAUGUUCCACUUUCUAUUUACAGUCAUGAACAAGAAGGGAUUAUACAAAAGCAAGAAUACUGGGAAAAAGAUAGUAACUUUCAGGGGGAUUGCAUGUUGAUACUGGAUGGAAAAAAUAGGAAGAUAAUUUACGGAAUCAUUCAGGGCAUUUAUAGGUCUUCUUUAUCAAUAUCAUGGCUGUUUAGAGUUUUAAGGAACACCUAAUGUUUGCUGAAACUUAAUAGUAGAAAAGAAGAUUUAGUCUAGAAAUCACUCAUUCCAGAAUCUGUAUUAUCCAAAAAGUAUAAAUUCAAAUAGACAUUAAGAGAACUCCUCAACAUACAAAACAAUAAAUACUUGACUUAUACACCAUCUUAUAUCUUUUUUCCCAUAUCUUCUGAAUCUGGAAAAAAUAAAAAGCUAUACAUUGCAAAAAUAAAGAGAUAAUAAUUGCAUAUGAAUUAAAGAAACUAAUCGUUACACUAAACUAUUCAAGAUUCCAAAGAGUAAUUACCACCAAGCAUCAUCCAGAUGUUGGCUGAAACUAAAGCUUCAGUUAGAGUUUCAAAAGCCUUGGAGUUAGCUUUUUUGUUAAAACCAUCAGUCAUGUCUUAGUCAGAUAUAAUAAAGGUGAAUAUGGCACCAAAAAGUCCUGAAGAGACACAAGUUCUCGAUCUCAUUGUGUUUCACUAGCCUUCACAUGAAAUGAAGCCUUUUAGCAACGCAUGUAAAGAGUAAACACCAUCAAGGUCUCAUCUUUACUUCAGAUUUGGCAAAGAACAGAGAAUAAUUAGGUUACUGGAUUUCUAAUAAGAUGGAAUUGUUAUGCUGGGGAAUAAAUGUGCCUUCUGGCAGGACUUUCCCCAGACUCCAUGUAAAACUGAAAUACAAAAUGCAGAGAAAGUCAACUACUAGAAUGAUUCAAGGCAAAGAGCAGGCUGAACAUUAUGAAGCAAUAACAAAUAACAAUACAUUAUCACUGCAAAAGAGAUUUUCACAUACAGCAACUUAACCAACUGAUCCGUAAAGCAAGCUGGAGAUAAAAUAUAAGCACGAAUAUGAACUUGAUCUGAUAAAUGGUAUUCAAAAUUUUUCAUAUUAACAUACCUAUCUUCUAUUCUAUAUUAUUGGAGUUCAUAAAAAUCCAACAAUCACAGGUGGAUAAAGAGAAUAAAAACAAGACCAGAACAUAUAUCACUAUUAAUAGGAAAGGAAAAAAAAUAGACUUUAAUCUGAAUAAUGUUUUAUUGUCAAAUGCUAGCUAGUUCUACUGAACAGUCAAAUGCAGAAGAUUUAUGCCUUAACAGUCAGUUGAUCACGCCAUGAGAUUUUCUUCUUGCCGAGUCCUUUAGCGUCAAUAAAGUAUUUCCUUGGCAUCUUCUCUGUUCUUGAUGCCUCUCUAACAACUUGUUCACCUAGUCCUCUUCCUCCCAAUGCCGCUUCAUAUCUCUGUAAUAAGAACUAAAGAUCCAUGAGUUCAAAUUACAAACUAAAAGAAGACCGUAUCACCACUUGCCAUCAACAUCUUGUCCACGUUAAUUCAAUUACCAAAGUCAAACUUUACAAAAGAUGGAGAAAUAUUUACCACUGCCGUUUCACAGGUAGCAUGCUUUCUUUCCUCUUCAAGCAUUGCUCUUUCUGUAUCCACAUUUUGCAAGUCAACGAGAUCGCUUCCCAGUUCAGCAGGCGUAUGUUGACAGUUCAACAAAUAUCUCCGCUUUCGUCUCAAAAACCUGAUUGUCAGACAAGUGAAUUAUCAGUACACUCUAAGCUUUACACAUUUUUUCUCCUCUAACAUGAUGCACCUCAACAGAGGUACUUAAAUAGAAGAUGAACGGCACUUUCAAACUUUUAAAAGGCAAAGGAAUUCUUACUUGACUAUAGCGACAAGGUUGUCUCUCUUCUGCUCUGCAGUCUGAAACUUCCUCUUCUUUGAAACAAAUUCCUGUCGAAGAUGGCCCCAACAAAAAAUUAUAUCCUCAUCAUGGAUGUCAAAAAAAAAGUUCCCAAUUGAAUUUCAGGCCAGAAGAACCACCAAAACAAAUUAAACCUUUAAAUUCGAAGUAUAGAACAGCAUUAAUUGAAUUAAAUUUCCUAACAAAGUAGACAGCAAUCCUCAGACAUUUAUAAUUGAAACCGUAUAAAAUCAAUCAAAAUUUUUAGAAUAAACGAACCUUUUGCAGUUGCAAGUAUUCUCUCAAGAGGGCUUGAUGCUUGAGCCUUGCCCGAUUAGCCUCCUCAUCCACACCAUUACAUUCUUGCAAAUUUACGGAAGCCCUUUUCAUCUUCAAGUAUAACAACCAAAACCCACCCGCCAAAUCAAACAAAUAUCUCAAAAACACCACCAGCCCAGAUCAAAAAAAUCAGAUCUUUAUACAAAACAGAGAAAAGGGUUGGCAAUAAUGUUGAAAAAAAUAAGAGGGCUGUUGAGUGGUCGUCAAUAUGAGAAGCCUAAAAGGAACCCCAAAAGGGAAGAGGGGUAUUUGAGAGAAGUUGGAGGGGCAUGUGUGGUUGGAGAAGAUUAGAAGAUGUUUCCUCUUCUCAAUGGGAUAUGUUGCCAUAGUUGUGGACUCGUAGAAAUAAAAGUAAUUUUUAUUCUUUUUCUUUUUUGUUUUGGAUUUUGUCAUGUGUGCAAAAUGUGUAGUUUUUUUCUGCAACAUAAUUUCUAGGCCAGCUGGGCCAUUGGAGAUAGGGAGAGAUAAUUUGUUUGCGUUUGUUUCCUUGGAGAGUUGGGAGAUCAGAUAGAUAGGGGGGUAUCAGGAAUAAGAGAAAGUGGUCUUAGAUACGGUGCAGAAAAGGCAGGUGAUAACUGGCCAUUGUUCGUUUAUGGCUAUGGCCUCAUGGGUGGGAUUGCAGUUUUCUUGAGUCGUAAAAGCAAUGACAUGAUUGAUGGAAGGGGUCUAAGGUGUCUAACACAAAAAAAACUGGAGAACAAGAAGGGUAAAAUAGUAAAUGCAUUGCACUAAGCAAACAUCUAACCUUUUUUUUUUUUCAAAGAUUUUAGAUUAGUGGUAAAAACAAGAACAAAUUUACCAAACACUCUAUCAAAGGAUUCCACUUGGAUGAAUUUUUUUUUUUGGCUGCAUUAAUAUUUACUACAACGUCAAAGUACAAAAAAUUUUUACACCUGUAACAUUAGAUACAUGCCACAUGUACGUUAAAAACAUCUGCAUGUUAAACUGAGAUUAUACGUUAUAUAUUCAAACUUAUUGGUAAACACAAACUAAAUAAGAUGAGUUAGAAUUUUUUUUUCAAAAAAUAUCCAUAGAAAACAUGAAAAUUCAUGAGUGUCAAUGGGUAGAAAAGGUGAAAAUCAUAUAUUAACUACUGAAAUGAUUCAAGCAAUAAAACUUCAUCAAAAGUGCCAGCCCAUUUAAGACAUGGAAGCAGUUAGAGAUGAAGAAAAACCUUUUCAAUGAAAACCAAAAACAGAAAAAAAUUGCCCUUUGUUGUUGUACUCUGAUGUGUUUGUGGUAAUUACAUGUCUAUAUAAGACAGAUAGCAGCUUAUAUCUUAUUAUGGAAAAUUCUAUACAUUACUUUAACAUUGAACUUUGGUACUCUGAUAAAAAAUGGUUUUCAGGAUUAGAAGAAAAUUAUUGAAGAAAAAUUGAAAGCACUUGACCUACUAGGGUAUAGUGGUAAAAUAAGAUAUUAGACUCUAAACCGGGCAAUAAUUGCAGAGCCAAUCAUAGUUCAUAGUUUCUCCUCUAAUUUUGACUUAUGGUCCCCAUUAGGGGUGGGAUCAAAUUAGGGCUGCAAACGAGUCGAGCCGAGUCGAGCUUUGAGCUAAUCGAGCCGAGCCUCGACUAAAUUUUACCAAGCUCGAGCUCGAGCUCGAGCUCGACGAGCCGGCAAUUUUCGAGCUCGAGCUCGACUCGAAUCAAGUCGAGCCGAGCUCGAGUCGAGCUCGAACUCGAGCUCGAGCUCGAAAAAAAUAAAAAAUAAUUAUUUUUUUUUAAAAAUAAAUAAAAUAAUAUUUUUUUCUUAAUAAAUAAUAAAAUAUUAAGGAUAUAUACGUAAUUUUACUAUGAAAAUAAAAAAUAAAAAAAUAUAUAUAUAUAUAUAAUAUACGUAAUUUUAUUAUUAAAUAAAAAUAAAAAUAAAAAAUAUAUAUAUAUACUCAAGCUCGCGAGCCGACUCGCGAGCUAACGAGCUUAAUAUUCUGAGCUCGAGCUCGAGGUCGAAUUUGACUCGAGCCGGCUCGAGCUCGACUCGAACUCGAUAUUAAUUGAGUGUCAGGCUGCACAAUUCAUGUUCUUAAGCAUAAUAAGGGCUCAAUUGAGCAUUAGCUAGUUUAGUUAGCUGAGUAGCUAAACGAUGUCGCUCGAGAGUUGUUAAGUACCACAAACGGUGCCGUUCCACUUAAUCAGACAGUUAUGCAUUAGCUCAGCUGUUAGUUACUGUCAGGUUGUUAGAGUUAGUUAUAUAAGUGGGGCCCACUUUGUAAGGGACACACGGAAAAUAUACUGAUUCUCUGAUAUCUCCAAUUCCCUCUUAUUCUCUCUUUCUCUCUCUCAGUCUAAUUCUUUCUCUGUUCUUCCCCAAUUUCCUGAUUCUACAAUCAAUUAAUCUUGAUUUCCUACACAAUUCCAGAACUAUCCUCGAGGUCGUGACAAAGUGGUAUCAGAGCAAGCGAUCCUUGGAUUCUGUACCAUAGAUAAUGGCGGAAAGCACCAGAUUCCGCACCAUCGAAGAGCAGAUGAGGAAGCAAGAAGCUAAGCUCCAGGAUCUUGCGGAGUCCCUGCAGGCGUCCAAAUCUGAACACCAGCAAGUCAAGAAGGACUUGAAGACGGAACUGGAAGAAAACAACAGGCGCAUGGAGAACUUGUUAUCCGGAAUGGAGCAGAAUUUCCACCAGAUUCUUGAGCAAAAAUUUAGUGAACUGUUACUGAAGAUGACGCCUGGGAAGGAGAAAGUGACCGAAGGAGGUAGCCGGAUGAUAGAUCAGGUGCCGCUCCUACCAACUCCACCAGCUCAUCAGAGGUUAUCAAUGGAUGGCGAGGCUCACAGGACUUUCAGGAAGGAUUGGGGUAAGUUCCAGCUUCCAAAUCCUCCUAAGAUUGAUCUAUACAUGUUUACUGGAGAAAAUCCUAGAGAUUGGUUGCGCAAAUGUAACAAAUACUUUCUGAACUAUCAAGUUCCUGAUGAGCACAGAGUAGAGGUAAUUGAGAUGUAUUUAGAAGGUAAGGCUGACCGUUGGUUCCAAGGAGUUAAAAUGGAGAGGCCUAAGCUUAAUUGGGAAGAAUUUGGAGAACUGCUCUGUUGCAGAUUUAAUGACAGGACUUGUAAAGAUGUAGUGGAGGAAUUUAAUAAACUGCAACAGAUAGGGAAUGUUGAAGAGUACCAGGAGAAGUUUGAGGAGCUGAAGGCCUUAAUGAUGAUGAAAAAUCGAAAUCUGGAUGAGAAAUACUUCAUUUCUAGUUUCAUUAGUGGCUUGAAGGAGGAAAUCAAACCUAUGAUCAAGAUGUUAAAACCUCUGACCCUGACUGAGGCAUUUGAACUAGCUCAGUGGCAAGAAUAUUCUUUGAAGUUGCAGCAUAAGAGUUCUAAAGAGAAUGUCAAACCUCUAGGAGAAAACAGACUGGGGUUGACACGGGGCACCACAACAACUCAGGGAGCUAAUUCAUAUAAGGUUCCCUUCUACAACAACCAUAAGCCUACUAAGUUGGGGAAUUGGCAGGAAGGCACUAAGGAUACUAGGAGACUUUCUGCACAGGAAAUGCAGUUUAGAAGGACGAAUGGGCUAUGCUUUAAGUGUGGGGACAAGUAUGGGGUAGGACAUCAGUGUAAGGUAGGCCAUACAAACUGCAUGAUACUGGAAGAGGAGGAGGAAACUACAUUUGAGGAUGCCCUGGGGGAACAGGAUGAACAAACUGGGAAUCCUGGGCAGACCAUGGAAUUGUCCUUAAAUGCCUUAUCUGAGGCACUAAAGAGGAAAACUAUCACACUUACAGGGGUCCUGAAUGGAGAAGAGGUGUCCAUCUUAGUGGACACUGGGAGUUCUGAUAGUUUUAUAAACAGUGAGCUGGUCAUUGGAAUGGAUCUCAAAUAUCAGUGGGUGGAUCAACCCUUCUCUGUCCUCAUGGGCAAUGGAGAUUGUGUCACCAGCAAUGCAGUAUGCCCAGGUGUGCAAUGGAGUAUUAAUCAACAUCACUUCAGGUUUAAUCUCAAGGCAAUGGAACUAGGGGGAUGGGAUAUCAUUCUGGGGGUAGAUUGGAUGACACACUUCAGUCCCAUUACUUUCGACUUCCAACAACUGAGAAUAUCAUUACACCAUGAAGGAGGGGAAAUUCACCUACAUGGACAAGCAGAUAAUUGUGACUUGGACCUGAUCAGAGGCAAAGACUUGAGGACCUUUAUUGAAUACAAAAGGCAGAUGUGCCUGGCCAUGAAUUUACAGCAGAAUGAAGGGAGCAGAUUAGAUACCACACCACUGGAGGUGCAUCAAUUGCUGCAGGAGUUUGAGGAUGUAUUCCAGGCACCACAAUCACUACCUCCAAGCAGAAGUAUAGAUCACGAGAUAGCCCUUAAACCAGAUGCCCAACCCUUCAAACUCAAACCUUAUAGAUACCCUCAUUGUCACAAGGAGGAAAUAGAGAGACAGGUGACUGAAAUGCUGCAGAAGGGCAUUGUCAAACACAGCAACAGUCCAUUUGCCUCUCCUGUAUUGCUGGUCAAGAAGAAGGAAGGCACCUGGAGAUUCUGUGUGGACUACAGGAAGCUGAAUGAGCUAACUGUCAAGGACAGGUUCCCAAUACCCAAUGUAGAUGAGUUGCUGGACGAAUUAGCAGGUUCUGUAUUCAAAACCAAAUUGGAUUUGACUGCAGGUUAUCACCAGAUCAGGGUCAAACCACAGGACUCUUUCAAAACAGCCUUUCAGACCCAUUGUGGUCACUUUGAAUUUCUGGUAAUGCCUUUUGGUCUUACCAAUGCUCCUGCAACCUUCCAGUCGUUGAUGAAUCAGAUAUUCCAACCUUAUUUGAGAAAAUUUGUCCUGGUCUUCUUUGAUGAUAUAUUAGUAUACAGCUCUACCUUAGAGGAUCACAUCCAGCACCUAAGACUUGUGCUGAAUCUGUUGAGGGAUAACCAGCUGUUUGUGAAGAAGUCCAAGUGUGCAUUUGCUCAGAGGAGGGUAGACUAUCUAGGACAUACUAUUACUGACAAGGGAGUUAGCAUGGAUGACUCCAAGGUUAGUAGCAUUUUAAAUUGGGUCGUACCUCAAAAUGUCAAGGAAUUAAGGGGCUUCCUGGGGCUAACAGGUUACUACAGACGAUUUGUAAAACAUUAUGGCCAGGUGUGCAAACCUCUGACUGAACUGCUCAGGAAAGAUGGGUUCAGGUGGAAUGAAAAAGCACAGGCUGCCUUUGAGCACUUGAAGGAAUUGAUGUGCUCAGCCCCAGUUCUCAUACUUCCAGACUUUACCAAGGCAUUUGUAGUGGAAACAGAUGCCAGUGGGGGUGGUAUUGGAGCUGUUCUGAUGCAGGAAGGACAUCCAAUUGCCUUCCUGAGCAAGGCAUUAUCGCCCAAGAAUUUGGGACUAUCAGUAUACGAAAAGGAACUCCUUGCUCUAGUAAUGGCAGUCACUAAGUGGAGGCAUUAUCUGGUUGGAAAUCAUUUUGUUAUCAGAACUGACCAUCAAUCCUUAAAGUAUUUGCUGGAUCAAAAAUUGAACACUGCUCUCCAGCAUAAGUGGAUGACAAAACUCAUGGGAUUAGACUAUGAGAUACAGUAUAAAAAGGGGGUUGAAAAUAAGGUUGCAGAUGCUUUAUCUAGAAGACAGGAGACUGUUUCAAAUCCUUCCUUCAAGACAUGCCUGGCUAUAUCAGCAGUGAGGCCAGGGUGGAUGGAGGAACUGCAGAAAAGUUAUGAAUUAGAUGAGCAUUGUCAAAACAUCAUGGCUCAACUACUACUGGAUCCCACUUCUCACAAUGGCUAUACUCUGGUGGAUGGAGUGCUACGUUAUCAAGGAAAAAUCUAUGUGGGAGGGGCCAAUAACAUCAGAAACCAGAUCCUUCAGGUGCUUCAUGCCUCAGCACUGGGAGGUCAUUCAGGACAAAAAGGCUGUUGGCAGAGGAUUAAGUCACUGUUUUAUUGGCCAGGGAUGAAACAAGAGGUGAUAGCCUUCGUACGUAGCUGUGAUACCUGUCAAAGGAAUAAAUCUGAGAAUGUUCCAUAUCCUGGUCUGUUGCAACCAAUUCCAGUUCCCACACAGGCAUGGACUCACAUUUCCAUGGAUUUCAUUGAGAAGCUACCCAAGUCACAAGGGUUCGACACCAUUCUGGUGGUGAUUGAUAGGUUCACUAAGUUUGGGCAUUUCGUUCGACUCACUCAUCCAUUCACUGCCAAAGGGGUUGCACAAGUUUUUCUGGACAACAUUUACAGAAUGCAUGGUCUACCUGAAUCCAUCAUCACAGACAGGGAUAAGAUUUUUACCAGUGGAUUCUGGAAGGAGCUAUUUAAGGUGCUAGGGACAGAACUACACUACACUUCUUCUUACCAUCCUCAGUCUGAUGGUCAAAGUGAAAGGCUGAAUCAAUGCGUGGAAAACUACUUGAGAUGUAUGACAGGAGAGAUGCCAUCACAUUGGAGCAAGUGGCUGUCUAUGGCUGAGUGGUGGUACAAUUCCACCUAUCACUCUAGCCUCAAUAUGACACCCUUCGAAGCUUUGUUUGGAUAUAGACCCUUGCCACUGCCACUGGGGCCUUAUUUGGAUUCUGUAGUUCCAGCAGCCUCCAAUAUGAUCCAGGAAAGGAACAGGAUCUCUAACUGCAUAAAGGACAACUUGGCCAAGGCUCAACAAAGGAUGAAGCACUUUUCUGACCAACACAGAACUGAGAGAGAAUUUGCUGUGGGAGAUUGGGUAUUUUUGAAGCUUCAACCCUAUAGACAGCAAACGGUAGCAGUAAGGAAAUGUCUCAAGCUAUCUGCUAAAUAUUUUGGACCUUUUCAGGUGGAGGAAAGAGUUGGUACAGUGGCAUACAGAUUGAAGUUACCAGCAGGUACCAGAUUACACCCUGUGUUUCAUGUGUCACUGCUGAAGAAAAAAAUGGGACCAAUGCAAGGGAGUUCUACCAAGCUACCAGAACUGGACACACAUGAUCAAUGCCCUCUGCAACCAGAAGCCAUAUUGAGCAGGAGGGUUAUUUUGCGCAAUGGGCAGACUAUCAUUCAGUUCCUGAUUAAAUGGGAGCAGCUGGAACCUGAAGAAGCUUCUUGGGAGGAUAAAUCAUUUAUCGAAAGCCAGUUUCCUGCGUUCCAAACUUGAGGACAAGUCUGUUUUCAAGGGGAAGGGAUUGUCAGGCUGCACAAUUCAUGUUCUUAAGCAUAAUAAGGGCUCAAUUGAGCAUUAGCUAGUUUAGUUAGCUGAGUAGCUAAACGAUGUCGCUCGAGAGUUGUUAAGUACCACAAACGGUGCCGUUCCACUUAAUCAGACAGUUAUGCAUUAGCUCAGCUGUUAGUUACUGUCAGGUUGUUAGAGUUAGUUAUAUAAGUGGGGCCCACUUUGUAAGGGACACACGGAAAAUAUACUGAUUCUCUGAUAUCUCCAAUUCCCUCUUAUUCUCUCUUUCUCUCUCUCAGUCUAAUUCUUUCUCUGUUCUUCCCCAAUUUCCUGAUUCUACAAUCAAUUAAUCUUGAUUUCCUACACAAUUCCAGAACUAUCCUCGAGGUCGUGACAUCGAGCUCGACUCGAGCUCGAAUCGAGCGGCUCGCGAGCAGCUCGCGAGCAGCUCGAUUCGUUUGCAGCCCUAGAUCAAAUGAACAAUUAACUACUGGACCCCUAGAUAAGAGGUAGGGAUGGUAAAUUAAAAAUUGUAAAGCAACCCCUGAUUGACCCGUGAAUUACUGAUUAUGAAAUGAUUCCUUGUUAAAAUGCCAAAUCGUGAACAAUUAGGUCAGUUAGGUAGAGCAUACUAGCAUGAAAAAAAAAAUUUAUAAAGGGUAAGAUUGUUAAGAUCUUACUAAUUAUUAAAAAUUGUAAAGCAACCCUUCUUUUCAAAAAAAAAAAAAAAAAUUGUAAAGCAACCCUUGAUUGACCUGUGAAUUACUAAUUAUGAAAUAAUUCCUUAUUUAAAAUGCUAAAUCAUAAACAAUUAGAACCGUAAGGUAGAGCAUAAUAACAUUAAAAAAAAAGAUUAUUAAGGGUAAGAUUGUUAUGUUAACUUUUGUAAUCAACAAGAAGUCAACAACAAUGUUUGUAUUUAAAUGUAAACUAGUUUUGUACUCAUUCGUUGAAUGGGAAUUGUCUAAAAAUAAUAAAUUAUUUAGUGUAGUUCAUAAAAUACAAACUUAUUGUAUAAUCUAUUAUAACCUUUCUUAAAUACAUUGUUAUUAAAAAAUAGUCUUAUAAUAUAUAUUUAAACAUCUAAUUCAGUGAUUAAUAAUUCGAAAUGCAAAAAAAAAAAUCGACAAUAUGUUGACAUUCAAAAACUUGAAAAUAGGGAAGAUCAAAUCUUGGCUGAUCUUCUGUAAACAAAAGAAUGGCCAACCCGUUACCAAAACAUCAAUUUUGGUAUUUAAUAUAAAUGGCUUAAAGGUUAAUGUGAAAAGAAAAGAAGCCGAGUGAAAUAUUAAUAAAAGAUAAUAAUUCAGAAUCAAUCAAGUCACAGGAACAUAGCAACCUUCCAAAUCUGUUCAUGGCUAAUAGAAACCAAAACGAAAACAUAAGAUGUAUUUUGCUAUUAAGUCAAAAACAUAAAAAAUCUAAAUAGUCUGAUGUAUAUUGCAUGACGUGAACUGCUGUAUGACAAUGAACUUGAUGCCUUGCCAUUUAUGUAAUCAAUGACACCUUCUUGUUCUUUAGAAGCUUUCUAUCAAAGUCUAAAAAAAAAAAACAUUGAAAACUGCACAAAAUUUUUUUAAUCCCAGAAACCCAGAAAAUAAAAAAAAUUAAUACGUUGUUGAAGACAAUUAAUAAAUUGUCAAAGGCAAUUAAAAAAUCGUGUGAAAACACAUAGUUUAAAAGGCCACUUCUAAAUCGCUAACCAAAAAGCAAUAUGUGUUCUACUUAAAUUGAAGAGUGAAUCCAUAAAUUGAAAUAACAAAUUAAUUACAAAAACCUUGUCAGAAAUAAAAACCAAACUGUAACUUUUGAAGAGUUAGAAAAUUCAAAUUCAAAUUCAAUGACCUAACUAUGAAAAAGGUGUAGGAAAUUACAAACCACAUACAGCGAGCAUAAACAAAGUCCAAAUGCGAUCCUUGCAUUGAAGGAAAUAAAAACGAAGUUCCAAAUCCGGUCCUUGCAUUGAAAAAAAAAAUUUUCAAAAACAUUGUGGAAAAGUGUAAACAUCUACACUGCUUGAUAAAGUGAUAAGUAAUAGAUCGAUAACCAUAUAUAUGAGUAAAAAUGUAGAGUAUCUUCAAUAGCGAUAAUCUGAUAAAGAUAAUCUAAUAUUUGAAUUGAUAUUUCGAACUUUUGAGUUGAAGAUGAGAGAGAGUUAAAAACAUAAUUCAAAAUUAUUUAUACUAAUCCCCUGGAAAUUUAGGCUUGACGAUUAGGGUUAAGGGAAAAAAAGGUAAGAGAAUGAAAGAGAUAAUUAUGAAAGGAUUAUCUAAAAUUGUAAAGUCAAGAGAAAAAAGAGAGAUAGAACAGCGUAGGUUAUUAGGGGGUUAACUCAUAGAGCGCGUUGCAUCUACUUGCUAUGUCGAUAAGCCACGUAGGAAAGAGAUAAAUUAAAAGGAUAAGGAUGAGAAUAAGACUUUAUUUUAUAUAUAUAUAUAUAUAUAUAUAUGAUUUAUUAGGAAAGAGAAAACAUGAAGGGAUAAGAAUGAGAAUACGACUUUAUAUAUAUAUAUAUAUAUAUAUAUAUAUGAUUUAUUAAGAAUCCUAUUAGGAAACUACCGUCUCGUUAAGCUACGUAGGAAAGAGAAAACAUGAAGGGAUAAGAAUGAGAAUACGACUUUAUUAUAUAUAUAUAUAUAUAUAUAUAAAAUACCCUGGCAAGCUGCAAGUUUAAUACCUAAGAAAAAAUGACAGGGAAGAUAAUAUUUUUAGUGGUUUUUUUUUUGUCUCAGAUAUUAAUAAUAUUGAGGGGAUCAUAUCACAGGUGACAACUAACUUGAAAUUUAAUAGUUCAAUAAGCUUUGACUGAAGACAAGAAUAUACAGUUCAAUGGGCAAAUUCUAUCUUAUAAUAUUUUUUCCUAUUUUUCUCUCCCCAACCUAUCUUAAAUUCUUAAUACCUAAUUUAACUAUAUAAUAUGAAAACAGAGGGACUGUUAGCAAUUCUUUCUUUCCAAGGUAACCUUUUACCAAGUACUAUUUUGCGCAGGAGAAAAUACUCUGUGUAUAGUAGUAGCUGGGCCUGAUUUUAACUUCUGCAAGCCAGAGUUUGAUUAUUUAUGUGACCACUUAGUCUGCAGACAUUUUUCGUACCAAAUUAAGAACUUUUUACUAUUGAUGAGGCAGGUAGAAAAAAUUUAACAUGGUACAGUCAUCCCAUUCAAUAUUCAUUGAUUUUCGCUUGAAAUUAAUCUAAAUUUUUUUCGGGCUAAAUCGAUUUUUUAACUGGUAUUUUACCUUAUAUGUUUCACAUGAAAUAAAAAAAAUGUUACGAUAAAUAGUACAAUAAACAUUUUCCAAAUAAUGUUUCAGGCAAAGGGAGAAAUUUUUUAACCCCAACGCCCAAAAGAGAGAGAGAGAGAGAGAGAGAGAAAUUUCAAAAGCAUGUUUUGUCACAUGGUUUUGGACCAAAGAAAUUUGUUGCUUCUAGCUUCAUGGCUUUUAACAUUUUACAGAAGGAAAAUUUUAUUCUAGUCUGACUAUAGAUGGCAAAUCAAUCCAUUUAAUUAAAUUUACCCAUACCCGCCCAUGAAUAGAUGGGUAUGGGUAUCUUAAGUUUUUGCAUAUGGGUAUAAAUGGGUUACCCAAUAAUACCUAUUUAUUAAAUAGGUACUAUUGGGUAACCCAUCAAACCCAAUUAACCCAUUUAGAAUUGUUUUCCCUCAAAUCUCUUCUCUUCCCCCGCCCUUUUUUUUUCAUAUUUUUCAUUUUUUUAUGAUGUUAACUACUUUUGUUUCAUUAUAAUUAUUAUUUGUUGAUUUUAUUUUCUCUUAAUUUGUUAACUUACUCAUUUUUUAGCAUUAUCAAUUUAUGAUAAGUUUAGCCUCUUUUCCUACCUUUCCAAAAUGAAAUUUUCAAUUUACACAUGAAAAAAAUAUUAGGGGUUCAAAAAUUUUGGAUUAAGUUUAUAUGUUAAUUUUUAUAGUACUUAAUUUAAAUUUUUAUAUUCUUAUUAUUUAAUUAUUAAAUAGUAUGUAAUUUUGCGACAUAGAGUACGGAUAGGAAAAAAAUUGAUAAUUAGGCUUAUUGAACAUUAUAAGUAAAUAUUUAAAACUAAUGAUGGGUGCAAAGAGUGGUAUAAAUUGAUAACUUAGUUUGCAAAAAUGAAUUUAAAUGAGUUUACAAAAAGUUAAAAUAAAUGAAUUAUAAAUGGGUAAUUGGGUUACCCAAUUCAUUUUUUGACUUACCCAUUUAUACCCAUUUAAUUAAAUGGAUAUAAAUGGAUUAAUUCACUUAUACCCAUUACCCAUUUUACCCAACCCAAACCCGCCCAAGUCACCCAUUUUGGCACCUCUAAGUCUGACUAACAAAUGACUGGUACGAUAAACACAAAUUAAAAAAUAGCCCUCCUAAUUUUUAAGAGUUUUCGUAUUUAUAUAUAUUUCUGUAUUUGUAUAUAUCGUUCAGACACAUCGUAUUCAAGACAAAGUUUCAAUCGAAGAUCAAGAAAAUAAUGAAGCAAAUAUGAUUAAGUUUCAAUCCAUGAUCAAGAAAAUACAUAUGAUUGCAACCCAUAGCCCUUGACCGCAUAACCUACUAAAACCAUACAGGAAAACUUGAUCAGACUUUGAUUUGAAGACUGAAACAGUAGUGUUUAUGGAGAUUGGAAUCUGCAGAACACAACUUUCUUAAAACUUUUGUUCUGGAUUUGACGAUUAAGAUACACUUGCAAUGUCCGGGACACCUCAUCCAUGAUUCUGUCUACAAUCUCUACAAUGAGGGAAAUAAUCAAAAAAGUAGUUUUAACUUACAGUUAGCCUACAAUUUGGAAUUGAAUUCUUCUCCUUUUCAGAGUUCCAUUUGCUGUCAAUGCUGAAACAAUUGAUCUACUUCAGUAAAUGGGGGGAGCCAAUUGGGAACCCCAAACAAAGCAGACCUAACUGUACCCUAGGAAGAAUUACAUGGGCAUGCUAAUCCUCACCUACCCCUAUCUGCGUUAAUUGGAAAAGAUUCUAUCAGUCAUGUUAAAUUACAACAUCAAGAAUCAGUUAAUGCAUCAGCUGCCUUUCUUCGAAGAAGAAUGACCCGUCUUCCUCUUGUGACGGCUAAAAUCUGAUACAAAUCGAAAUGUCUGGUUACAGCCUGGCUCAGCACAGACAUAAGGACGAGCACCAGUGUGAACUCUAAUGUGCUCCGUCCUAGCCCAUGCCCACUUAAAUGACAUCUUGCAGCCUUUCCAGGGGCACUUCAGCGGGCGAUCAUCCACGUGAACACGGCGAUGCUGCACCAAGUACUUGUGGGAGAAGAACUUCUUACCACAGCCCUUUACUGGGCAAAUAUUGCGCUUAUGUAAUACAAGCUCCUGCUUUGAACCAAAUCCCAUGGUGCAACCUUCCAUAUCACAUGGAUACUCAGUCUUCUCAUCCUUUACCUUCAUCUUGUUAGAGCCAGCAGGACUCUUCUUUGCCUUCAAGCCAUUUGGCUGUUUCUUUGCUACUGAUUUGGUUUCAAGAGAUUUGGCUCCCUGACCUUUACUAGGCUUUUCAGCUCUUUUCCUCAGCCGUGUGCUAGGCCCACCUUCCUGCUCUUCCUCAGUUUCUAAGUUGAACUGUUUCCUGUUCCUCACAACUUUGUUGCCUUUGUUGCUAGACUCAACAUUCUCUUUCUUCCUUUGCGUGUUCCUCCGGUUGCUUUUGCAUUGAUGUUGAGAAUGGUUGACUGGAGAAUCUUCGGCAGCUUUAUCUCGCUCUUCAACUUUUGCAGAUUUAGCUUUUACAGCCGGCCUAAUUUCUGCUGCAGUUUUUCUCUUUCUCCCAGUCCUGCAAGUUCUAGCAGUUGUUUCACCAGUCUGCACAUGGGUGCUUUCCAAAGGUCUCUCAGGCUUCAAAUCAGCCUUCAUGCAGGAAGGAAUGCUUCUCUCCUGUUCUUCUUCAUCUCUUUCAGCAAGGAAAGGGUGAACCUGAUUGGACAUCCAGACUUUUCCACACCACUUCCCAGCAACAACAGUCUUUUUUGGUUUGCCUGGCCAAUUCCCAAGAGAGUCAUCCUUUGUUGGGCUAUUCACCGGAGAACUUCGGCCAAAUGCAUUGUAUAUCAAAAAGUUGUAUGGCAUUUGCUUAGAGUAGAGAGGAGAGCGACUAAGACUGGCACUGUAAUAGAGAUUAAUGCCUAGUUUUACUGCCCAAUCCCCAUUUCCAUGUAUUGCUUCUUGACUUUCUAAAGCUGCUUGUAUAGUUUCUUCAUCUUCUUUUGAUGCCUGCCUGAAUGAAAUACUACUCCAAACAUAAUGACCCCCCAAUUCUUCUGCCAUCUUUUUCGCUUGAGCCUCUACAUUGGGAUAGUCUGCAUAGAAGUAAUAAUAGUAAGAAGAACAAAAUUUCAGGAAAAGCACACCAAUGAGAUGCUCCUUUUGACUUCCCAAUUUACCACUUUCAUUUAUUACUUUCUUCUGUCCUUUUUUCAGAGUUUUCCAAGAGCAUAGCAUGGCUACCCCUCAUCGCAAAGAGAGAGUUCAAUGUGGCAGACACUAAACGUCAAGGAUUUACUUCCUUUUCUUUUUUAAAGUUGGCGGGAAUUAUUGUGUUAGAGCGGUACUAGAAAAGCAUUUAUAUUCAUCUACAAGACAGAUAUUCACCUGGAUGACAAAGGAGCAAAACAUUAACCCCACCAAUAGACCGAAGCUGCUUUUCUACCUGUACAGCAUGCUGAAGACAGAAUACAUGCAUCCUUGAAGAAUCUUCAUCAGGUCUUCCGGCAAAUGGCAAAGUUUUGUUCUCAAACUCUACUAUGGCAGUGGAUGUUAUAGUCUCAGCCUUGUGGGCUAAUGGGGAAGGAGACGAGGCAUCUUGUUCUUUGACUUGAUGCCUACACCUAUCUGCUAAAUUAUCUAUCUCCAUCGAUGGAAAACUUCGUCUCUUGUACUCAAUAGUCCCAUCCGGAGGUGGAUGUCGUCUACUCUCAGAUGUAGAUUUUGUAGUUCCUUGUUUGUCAGAAGAGCCAAUAAUUUGGAGAGGAACCACAUCUGCACAACUAAACUCUGAACAGGAGAUAACAUUGUUUCUGGAUCCUCCUUCGUGAAGUCCAGCAUCAUGACAAUGCAAUCCACUUUCUGGCGAGCAAUCCUUAGCUUCGUUCUGGCAGGCUUCAGUAUGAUUAUUCGCAUCAACAUCAUCCUCAUCUGAGUCAGAAGAAUUACCAUAUGUCAAAGCCAAUAGACCAAGGGAUGAAGUGUCCUUUUGUGCUUCUGUAUUUGGAAUCAGUCCAACAAUUUCAUCAUCGACUGACUGAUACAGACCACCAGAUUGCACUGGGACAUCAAAGAGUUCAUCUGGGUUCCUUUUGUACAUCCAUCCUGCAAUGGAAUACAUGAAAACUCAUCAGUCACAACUGCUGGACAGAUUUAACCCACGUCUAGACAGAAUUCAAAAAUGGAUAAGUAACAGUUCUAAGUUCACAUUUACAAAUGGACAGACAGUUGAAUGAAUUUGCUGCGACAUCCCAUUCACUAAUUUUGAUUACUUGAUCCACCAAAACAAUUACACUUCAAGAAAUCAAUCUACUCUAGAAUAAAAAUGGGAAGCCAGUGUCAACAUUUUCCUUCAGAGGAGUACCUGAACAAGAAUCUGACUUAGGCGGAACUUCAUCUCCAUUAACAACAGUUAAGACAUCACUGGUUUCUCCCCAGUCCUUAAAUUCGCUCCUAUCAGCUGUUAUCAGGUAAGUUGCAGCUGCAUCUGUUGGUUGAACUAUAGCAACACAAGCAAAGCACAAUAUCCCACAAGUGACGCAUGAAAAGAGCCCCUGCUCUGAUAACCUAUCACCCCGAGAAGCUCUGCCUUUUUCAGUUUCCAUGUUCUUGGACUCAGAAGCUAGAGCUGAAAAUUCAUUACCUCUAACUGAACAAGGAAGCCUCUUAUCAAAACAGGAAGGAGAAACAGUUUCCUUCAUCGAACAGGAUCCUGUCCCUUGCAGGACUCCCCUUUUCCUCUCUUGCACAAUACCUUCAGAAAGUAAGCUUUUUGUUGUUUUCAUCAUGAGGUCUGGACUGCCCAAACUGGGAAACAACCCAGGCUGUACCUGUGACUGCGAACCAGCUUUUGAAUUUGAGCUAAAAGAACUGACAACGGAAUUUUGAGGAAGAAUUACAACUGAAGAUCCCUCAGCCAGCAUAUAAAGUAGAUCAUUGUUCUGCAUCACAUCUUGUACAAAUAGGUCUUUUACCAACAUUUCUCCUUCACCUUUCUUCUUAUCCUUUAGCCGUGAACUCCGUGGUUCCAUGCGAACCCCCCUUGGUACUCUGCCCCAAAAAAAAUUGUUAAAAGCUAUAGAAGCAUCCAGAGUAGGUCCUUUUCUAGAAAUCAUGUUUUACACUUGCAUAAACUAGUUCUGACAGUUCUGUAAGACAAGAUUGAUGUUAUAAGAGGUGAUUUUUUUUUCAAUAGAAGACACGUUUACACUAUCUUCCAUCAAAAAGUUCUGACAUUUCUAAAUCAACUUUUCAUCACAAGAAUCUCCCCCCAAAAAAUUACGUUGCAUACCCAAACUGGCCAGAAAAAAGUUGCAUUCAUACACAACCCCCCCCCCCCCCAAAAAAAAUUUAUUCUUGCACUUUCUGGAACCAGUUCAAUAUCUGAGACUAUCAGUAUGACUAGACAAAUUCAAUAUCCACUUUAUAGGAAAAAUAAAACAAAGGUAAGAUGACUUCGUCCCCAAGGUUGAGGAACAGAAAUUGCAGAUGUAAAUCGCCAUAAAGCAGGAAGAUGGUCUAGACUUCAGAAAAAACUCAGCAAAAAGGAAUGGAAACACGCUAAGAGUAAAGCUAACAGAUUUAAGGCACCAAAGAAGCUCACAUUAUACUGAUAAUUACCAAUAAAAAAUAGAAUGUGCCCCCACUAAAGAGUGAAAUGACAAUUUUCAUUUAUCAGAUAUGCUCCUUCAGUUUCGGCUAAAUCUUGGCAUGUCAUACUUUAAGGAAUACUUCCAUCCAAACACUGGGCAAAUUGUAAUUGAUUAGUUUAUGAUGGAAACCUCAAAGAGUCCAAAACCUCCACAUUCGAACCCCAGACUAAAAUGAGAAGCCACAACCAAAGGAAAGACCAUAGGAGAAACUUUCACAAAGCCAAACUACUAGAUAGCACAAAUUUUUACCCAUUACAAUAGAACAAACCUUGAACAAGAUGAAAGUGCCAGAUCAUAUAACAACUGAAAGUGGGAAACCAUUGGAGGACAAUUAAUUGAAGCCCUACGAAUUGCAGCAUCUUUUGCAACAGUGAGCCAUCCAGGAGUAGCAAUAUUAGCAGCCUCACCACAGUUAAACCCUAUGUUUUAAGAGAUGAAAUGUAUAGGAAUACUUAGACAUUCUACAAUCUUUCCAUCCUUCAAGGGGAGAUAAGGAGAUAAGAGACGAAUUAAAUGAAGAAUUGUAUUACCAUGACUAAACCCUGAGUGAUAGGCCCUUGGAAAAGUAACAACAAAUUCUCCAGCAUUUUGCACCAACCUAAUACAAAACAUGGGCAAAUAAACUGCAAAAACCCAACAGUAAAAGAAGCAACUUGUAGUAGAACUUAUAUUACAAGAGCCUACAAUGGUAGCUAGAUCUUUUUCAAGGCUUUUGCCACAAUAAUGUGUAAUUAAGUAGAAAUUUGCUGUCCCAUGCCAUCAGAAAAUUUGCUUCCAUUAGUUACCUCUAUUUUGGCAUUUCUAUUGAUGUACUUUUUUCCUUUUAAGCGAGUUGCCAGAUACCAAUGAACCUAUAUGUAACUGACAUGAUUUUAUUCCUUUCAGAAGUGGCAGGGUCAAAGUGAAGCUCGAAAGCUAAUGGUCAACUAUUCCACUCUUUAAGGAACCACAGUCCUCAGAGCAUUAAUGUGAAACAAACAUUGUAAUCUGUUGUGAGACUAGAACUCACCUGCAGCAUGGAACACCUGCAUCAAUAAGUACCUCAGGUGACAUGACUGUGGUCUUCUCACCAAGUGUUGAAAACGUAACUGAAAGAAUAUAUCAUAAAACCCUAGUUACUUGAAUAAGAUGUGGAAAAAAGGGGGGAAAUUCUAACACACACGUAUAGCAAUCAAAUUACCAAUUUAACAAGAAAAGUUAUCAGAAACCCAAAAAGACAAGUAAAUACUUCUGUACCAACCACAAAAGUUAGGAACUUUCUGUGAGAAGCCAUCCAAAGUAUAAGAAAAACAGAAAGAAAAGGAAUUUUGUGGAGAUCCAUUUUUGCUGGCCUUCAAUACUUUUUAGCUACACCAAGUGAAAUUAUUCCUAAAAAUUUAGAUGAAGCACUUCACUUAGAGAAUUCACAAGGCAAGUUAGUACAUGUAAGUUGAUGAGUCAUUUUAGGAUCCGUUACAACAUAGCCCCUGAGAUAAAUCAUUUGGCAUAUGGUCUUUCUGUAGCAUUCAAAUAAACAGACCCCUAAACUUCUGUUAAUACUUCCACAUGUUAUAGCUCCCAUUUGAAUAAAUUUUUUAGUCCUCACAUAACAUACAAUCACCACAGUUGAAAUACCAAUCCAACCCAGCCAAUCAUUUACAGGCAAUCAAAACAUCCUCCUCCUUUGUGGAGCUUGUACUCUUUAAAUUCUAGAAAUAGAUGUUAAAUUAGUAUCUGGUGUAAUGAUUUCAUAAAAAAAAAUUAACACUGAAGUAAUCCAUCUUCAACAAUGCAUCCAGCUAAAUAAGAUCAAUCUCAAAUCCAGCAUUUCUGAGUGAACCUUAUCGGCUAACAUAAAUCAGUUCGGACAACCCGAGAAACACCCUCAGACAUCUAUAUGUGCUUGAGCGAGUGUCCUAAUCUGAUGGUUAAGAUUCUUAUUCGAUGGAUCUGUCCAUUUACCAAUUUUACCUAGGCACUAGCAUCCUGCCCUUGUAAGCAACAUGAUGAUGAUUGAUUUGGCACUAAAACUUUAUCACAGCAAUAUUGCUGCAAUCAUAAAUUGUUUCACAAAGAGGACUUCGGGCAACACAAAUUUUACAAAUGGUGGAAGCACAAAUUCAUUAAUUGUGGAAAUUUAUGUUCGAGAAAAUGCCUAGAGAAAAACUUGAAUAUAGUGCCAACCUUGAGCUUCGAAUGGACCUGUAUCGAAUAACAAAAAUGAAAAGAAAGUUUUAUCCUACCUAAUUGGAAUCUACUUCUAUUUUCCUCCAAGAAUUUAAAUUCAAAGGACAUAAACAACAGUAGAAUUACAAACAAAAAGCAAACAUGAAUCAGAAUAAAUAAAACUCAAACACAAAGCAUUGAGAAAUUUGAAUCCUCGAAUGCUCGGAAUUACUAUCAAUCCAGAAGUGCACAUGAACUAUAUCUUCUUUUGCAAUAAAACUUUCUAGCAGUCAUUGUCCUCCAGAUGCACAAAACUUGGACUGGGUUUUGUAUAACUUCCUAGCUUCAAAGUAUGCCCAAUAAGCCUUCUCAUGCCUUCUUUCAACUCCUUCCAUGAGGAGUGUAUUCAAUACGUUUGAUCCAGUCCUUUUACAGAUAGAUCCUUUUGUGCUCUAUGAAGCUUCUCAAAAUCUCUCCCAGAAUUAAAACCGGAAAAAAAAAUAACUCCAUUCCUGGAUACAUAUGCAAACUACUUUAAAGAAACUUCUUUGUGAACUAAAUCAGGUAUUCUAUGAUAACCAAUAAACACCUUGUGAAUUUUCAUUCAAACUGAAUGCUUAGCUUGACAACCACUACUCGAAUCAAUAGACCAGGUACCAAGGAUCAACCAGAAGAUUUCAAUUCAACUUCUACAGUAAGUCUAAAUUCUGUCAAACACUAGGUUAAUUAUCAAAAGAAGAUGGUAAUGAUGGUUGCAACACAAUCAACCCUAUGCCUCACAAUAAACAUUGCGGUUAAGGAGAACAUCACAACAUUGAAUUAAGUUAAUCAACAGAACUGUGGAAUUUUUAACUGCCUUCUGAUGUGUCCACAACUUUGUGAUAGGCUUAGACAACUUUAUCAUUACAUCAUGAGGUCCCAUGAAUUCUGGUUCACAAGUUUGUUCAGGCAUCCACUCAAGUUCUCUUUCAAUCUCAUUCAACUGACACUGCCUCUAAAGCCAUCGCAUGGAGUAGUGUUUUUGGUAUAACAACAACUGACUUGGGGCUGGGCAAAAGGACGCCAUUAUGCUUUAUUCACGACUGGUCUAGGUUUCUAGGUCAAACUACGAGAAAGCCCUGGUUUUACCAUUCCUCAGCUCUAAAGAGCACAACAACAGAAUUAUCAAGUUUAAAAGUGUUGAAUCUUAUCGUUAUGCCAGAGGCGAAAAUAUAGACCAGCCUUACCCCUAAAAAUGCUAUCUAGAUGGACUACUUAUCCUUCUUAAGCUACAAGUAGUAAAAUUAAAUGAAACGUGAUGGAGGCCAAAAUUGUAGAAUAAAAGGUAUUCAAUUCUAAACCAGCCAAGAAGCAAAAAAAUGAUUUAAGAAGGAUAAGUAGUCCAUCUAGGUAGCAUUUUUAGGGGUAAGACUGGUCUAUAUUUUUGUCUCAGGCAUAGCGAUAAUAUUCAACACUUUUAAAUUCUAAAUCGUUUUUACUACAUGUGAUCUGCUACAUUUAUGAAAGCUACCAAGUUACAGCACAACCCCUUAUAGUGAGCAUGUGAACUCUCCUCCACUAAGGACUAAGACCAAACAGUGUCUUGAUUUUUUGUUCUUUUCUCUAGAAGAUGGAACCUAAUAACUAGGUUGAAGCUUGACUGUUUGUAAACAAAAAAGGCACUGUACGUAGCACAGGGGAGAUCCCAUCCGUCUAACCAUUGACAAGAGCAUCCCAGUCCCAAAAGUUUCCGAGACAAACAAGAGUAGACAUUAGCUCUCAGGCCAAUACAGAUAGCACAUGCAUAUAGAACAAUAAUAAAUAUGUAAUAAUUAUAAUCAACAAACUGUACAAUACAGUAAGGAGAGAUUAGAAUUUUCAAAAUCAAGUUCAACAAAAUUUUCAUUCCACACUAUCUAAAGCAUCAAUUUGUCCAUAUUAUGCUUCUAUGCCCAGCAAUAUUACCCACAUUUCACUACAAGCCAUAUUACUUUAUCUUCCCAUCUGUCCAAUAUUUGCAUCAGUAUUAACAAUGAUCACUGAUAUGUUGAGAAGGACAAGCAAAUUAAGGAUUUCAAAAGGCACAACAUUGUGUCCUUUAACAUAAAGCUUGGGCCCAAGACAGAGCAAACUACUAGAUUAUGAGGCUUGUUUAUAAUUAACUAAGAUGGAAGUCAUGAGCUCGAAAUCAAGAUAAUGCAAGAUUUUCUGGCAGCUUAAGUAGGCAUUUUGAAAAUUAUAGCAACACAAAAAUAAGUUCUGAGUUUUCUUUUACAAUCUUUCAACUCUUUUCUUUGCUUCUGCUUUUAAUUAAUACUCGUCCUUCCAUUUUCUUUGCUUAUUUACUCCACCAAUUGUAUGAAGAACUUCACCACUUAGCAAAUGUAAUUUGCCCAAUUGAUCAUGUUUUUAAACAUGCGAUGGGACCCCCAAGUCCAAAAGAUUGGUAUCUGAAAAAUAAAACAUUUCUCAAUAAAAAUUUCGAGAAAAAAGAAACGGCAUAUUUUAUUUUACCACCAAUCUACAGGACGAAACCAAGUGAACAUGCAUUCAGAUCAGCCGUUGAAGCAUGUCCAUCAGUAGAGAGAGAACAAUUGUCCUUUUUGUUGAAAGCAACCACUACCCACACUCGCGCCCACCCACAGACAACACGCAAGAAUGCAUCUGAUGCUCAGCCUCUGCUGCAAUGUCAUGCACUUGAAUGAUACUCACAGAUCAAAAUAUGGCCUUAUCCAUGAAUAUCUGUGAUGAGAAGAAUUAUCUAUUAUCUCCAUUGUUCUCGUUGUCUUUAAGAUAGUGUCCUACGUCAUCAUUAGGGAGCAAAUGUCAUCCAUGAUAGAACAUUGAAAGGUACAAAGAGAUUUUGUCAAUGACCAUUCCCCAUUUGGCUACAUUAUCUGUCCUUUCUACUCUACUCUUUCUAGAAGUUAGAGCGAUAAGUUACAAGUAUCCAUGUCUUCAUUCUAUUUUGUAAAAUCAUGAAUUGAAGUUAUCUUUGGGUUCCUCUUACAAGAUAGUUAAGUCAUCAUGCAAACAUAAGUUUUUAUUUGAAGUCAGAAUGCCUCUAAUGCCAAAAUAUGGUUCCUAGAUGUCUAUAUUAGCUUAAUGGUUGAGUUAUUGGGCUCUCAUCCUAAAAGAAAUGAUGUUCUUUAAUCCACACAUUUAACGGGAUCUAUGCACCGCGGCUCCCAAUAAAAGCUUCACUAAUUCCAAAAGCUACAACAGUGUGACAGCAAAGCACCAAUUCCUGCAAAAGAAUUAUUCCAGAGAUUCCAAUUGUACCUAAUCUUACCUUAGCACCCAUUUCACUGUACUCAAACUAUUUUUCAUCAUACACACAGCUCAAACUUAUUCUUUCACAGAUGAGUUAUAAGAUGCUUUAUUUUUUAACCAAAUAGUAGCAUCAAGAAAAAAACUCAACCAGCCAUGUCCAGCUUCUAUAUGUACCUAUAACGAUAGCCACUUAAUUUAAGUAAAAGAAUUAUUCACACUGAUCCUUCUUAUUGAUCCACAGUCCAAACCUCAGAAUAGCACUUGUCAAUCCCAUUUUGUCUCAAACUCUAGACAGGGAAUCUCUAUUACAAGCAAUAUCUUUGGAAAGAAGUAGUUUAAAAACUCAUGCAUGAAAUUAUCAACAGCCUUGCAAAUUUAAGAAAGCUACAGCGUCCAACAUCGAAAAACAGAGCACGCUAUUCGGGCCAGGGGAACCACUUAUUUGUAAAAGAUCUCAACACUGCAGAAUGAAAGUAAUAAACCACAAUGGACGUGAAGAUAACACAUUCUAAAGCCAUCUAAUAAAUGCAGCAACAACACAAGGAAACAGGGGAACCAAUUAGAAAACAUAUAUGAACAGUCAAAUAAGCUAUGGAUGGGCAAUCGAUAAUUCCAACUUUUCUCAGGUUCAUUUCCUAACAGAAGCCAAAGUUCUCGAGUUUAUACAAACUUUACUUCCUCAAUAAAGAACAGAGUGUAGAUGAAACAUAAAAGAACAAAGAAGCCAAUUUCAACAGAAUAACUACUUGAAUGUACUUCUACAGCUCUAAAUAGAAAACUGACCAAGAGGAUUGAUCUCUCCCCCAUAGCCAUGCACCCUGAUCACCUCUUCGAACGCUGCAGCCGCAUCCCAAGGCACACCAUACCAUGUCUUCCCUGCACCCGUAUGCAGGUAAUUCAAGCUAUGCAAGUCAUGAUCCUCCACAUGCCAAGCAAACCAACUAAACAUCAUGGCAACAUACACCAUAGGCGAAGUCACACCGGGUAUUUCCUCCUUCAUAAAGGUCAACAGAGACCCUUUAGCCCUAGAAACGCCUCUCAUAUUCCACUCAGUGUCCCCAACUGUCACAUUAGCAUUAACAUUACUCCCCUCGCCUCCCCCCUCCUUUCCACCCCUUCUCGGGGCAAAUGCCGAGCCAGGCAUAUCAUUUGCAUACUCUACUGAAAAGGGCUUAUCCACAAUGGCUUUCCAGUAAAGAGUUUCAAUCUCUAAUGGAGUCAAACAUUUCUUCCUACUCUUUUUCAAGUAAUUCCUUUCAAAUGCUUUUGCCUUAGCCUCAAAUACUUCCAGGGUAUAGUUCUCCCCACUCUGCCACACCGGUUUCUGAACAGGGCGCUGUUUUCUUGGGCAGAAUCCGAUCUGCUGCUGCCUAGUGGUAAAUGUAGGAGAACCAGACCGGGCCACGAGUGAUUUGUUAAGGUUAGAAACGGCAGUUUUCUUGUGAGGUGCUGGAACAGGGGGAACAAUUUUGCAAAUCCCAUAUUGGGAAGCUUCUUUUUCAAUCUUGAAAAUGUAAGCAAUUGGAUCUUGAAAUUCAGCUAGGGUUGGGUGAUAUUCUGGAGCUACAGGUAGGGUUUUAAGCCAAGAAAAUACUUCAAUAUUUCCACUGGCAACUGGGGUUGAAGAAGCUUCUGAAGCCAUUGAAUUAAAUUAACUAAACUAACCAAAUGGCAAAAUGGGAUUUUGUCAACAGCUCAAAAAAUGGAUAAAAAUGCAAUCUUUUUCACACAAAAUUACACCAAAAAUGGGGAAUCUUUACAUUUUUGGUGUAAAUUUGUGCAGUUGCAUGGCUGAAAUAUGUUAGAGAUCUGUCUUGGGGUUCAAAGGGGUAGUAGCAUUUUUGGUUGAGGGGUUUAUUCUAGAGAGAAAGAGAAAGAAAGAAGGCCAGAAAGAAGGGCAGAGAGCAGCUGUUGAGAUUCUCUAUUCUCUCAUUUUUCUAUUAGGAUUUGAUAUCAAAUAUAAAUUCAGUGCCAGCAAGAGAAAGAGGGUGACCUACUGACCUAUUCCUUUCCUCUUUUUUUUUCCUUUUUUCUUAAAAAAUCUUUUUGUGGGGGUUUUUUUUGGGGGUGGGGGGUUUGAUUUAUUUUGUGCUCUGUUUUUUAUGGGGAACAGGGAAUGAGAGAACAGGGGAGGGGCUGAGUGAGUAAGAGGCAGAACAGAGGAUGAAAAGGUGAAAAUGAGAGUGUACAGUGUGUGAGAGAGAGUGGAGUGAAAACAUGUGAUGUGAGUGGGGUUUUAUUAGGGGUUGGGGGGUUAGGAGGGGUGGUGAAAAUGACAGGAGAGUGUUUUUUGGGUUUAUUUACUGUUCUGCCACAAGAUUUUGUUUUUAUUUGCUGGUUGGACGAUGGAGAUAGUGGCAAUGGGUGGUGGAGUCAAGUGAAAUUGUGGGGUUGUUCUUUUCUUUCUUUCUUUUUUCAUUUUUACUAUAGGGUGAUGUUCUUUGAAAACUGAAUAAGUCUGAAAUAUUCUUUGAGUAUAUUACAGUUAAUCACAUGUUAAAUGUUGCCUAAAAAAACUAGUCCCAUAGUAAAGGUUAGUUGGAGUUUAACUCCUCUAAGAAAUUCACCCCCACUACUCAAGCACCAUUUGUUGUGUAGCUCUUUCUAUUUCUUCUUUGUUCUUUUGUACCAGUUGUGUAGGUGAAAAAACCUAAAAUUUCUUGCAAAUUUAGUCUAAAUUGAUUCUUUUUUUUUUAAAUUGAUUGUAUUAUUGAUCAUAAGUUUUAGUUGUGUCCAUGCACAAUAUAAAUAUCCAACUAACUUUAAACAUGCAUUGAAAAUUAUGGAAUGUUUGUUGUAUAUUUGGUUAAGUUGAUCAAUUUACAUAUUAGCUUUGUAAUGCGUUAUUGCAACUUUUUUCCAAGAAAAGAAACGCGAUAUAUUACCUUGCUGUGAAGAAUAAAUUGUCAUAUUUGAUCUUUAAAAUUAAUUCUUUUCCAUUUUGAGUGUUAUUUAAGGAGAACACUAUUCUUUUUAGGAAACAUAUAACGAUUUGAUCACGCUGUUAUGAUUAGUCAUAAGAAGAAUUAGAAAUCUUCGCUCUUUUGUUCUUCAAGAAUCAGAAAAAAGACAUUUUCUUUAUAACAAAACAUUUUGAUUUAAACCCUUUGGUGCUUAUGUUCCUCCAUACCAUUUUCUUUGCAUGAUUGCUAUUACCAGUCCCAUAGGAUAUAUCCCAUUAAAUUAGACCCAUUUUGCAUUCAUCAAAAGUACAAAAUUGAUCAGAAAUUUUCGAACAAAUCUGUUAUGUAAAAUCUAUAAUUUCUCCUCUUCUUCUAUCCAUCACAAUUUCAUAUGAUAGCCUUCCACCAAAUCGAUUACUAAACCACAAUUUUGGACUUCUCGUAAACAAGAAAAAUUCAGACAAAUUGCUGCAAACAUGGAUAUAGAAUCAGAACUGAGUGAAAUGUUUUCCUUUUUGCCAGGUUUUCAACAUCCAAAGGGGAAGAGAAGUCUAUAAUUGUACCCCUAUAAAAAACUUUAGUGGAGGAAAAGGUAAUUUAACCUUUAUUUUGGCCGUUCAGACUACAACAAGAGUUUUUUUUCAGGUCAAGGACAAUAUCUAUCCCUGGAAACUGGAAUUUACUGCCGGAGGCAUAGCCAAUCAUAAGAAGAUGCCCCAAUGUGUGGCCCACACUAAUUGAAUGGCCCCACCAAAGCAGUAGCCCAUGCAAGAGCUAAGUCCACUUUGGAUGAUGCCCCCCCGAGUCCAGUUCACCCCUUUGACAACAGUCUUCAGUCUUCACCGAAGUUGACCACAUCUUGGGUAACAUUUUGCAGUAAAUUUAAAGUCUUCCUGCGAAGGUCAAAGGAUUAGCAAUUAGUACCAAUCAGCACUUUACCAACGUAAUUGUGGGAUCUCGAGUGCUUAGACUUCAGAUAAAGCUGCAAACGAAUCGAGCCGCUCGCGAGCAGUUUGAAUCUGAAUUCGAGCUGACCAAGUCGAAUUCAAACUCAAAUUCGAAGUCAAAUUCAAGUUAAAAAAUACUAAGUUCGUUAGUUUGCGAGUCGACUUGAGUUCGAUUAUAUAUAUAUAUAUUAUUUUAAUAGUAAAAUUAUAUAUAUAUUUCUAAUAUUUUAUUAUUUAUUAAGAAAAAUUAUUAUCUUAUUUAUUUUUUAAAAAUAAAAUAAUUCUUGUUUUAUUUUUUUAAGUUCAAACUUAGAUAUUUUGAUCUCAUUGAACUUGAGUUCAAAUUCGAGAUUCGUAAAAUUAUGUUGUGACUCGACUCGAAUAAAUUGAAACUCGAUUCGAUUCGACUCAUUUACACUCUCAACUUCAAGUUGCCAAGAAGCAUCCCUGUUGCCCUUCCCCUCUUCUUAUAGCUAAGAAAUCCAAGUAAUUAGUAAUUUAGAUGUGACAUGAUGGGAUUGAUGGGACAAAAUAUAUUUGAUGUGACCUUUAUCAAGUUUAUCUAACAUCCGUCAUCCGAUGAGAAUAUGUCAGCUCACCCUGUAAAGAUAGGUCGGUUUAAGUAGGUAACUCGAAUACCAACGAAUUAUACCAUCUUACCACUAUGAAUACUCUCUCCUUCAACCUUCUGGCGGUAAUUGAAUCUGUUCCAAACCUAUUAAUUGCUCACUUCCGAACUUCUCAUCUUCUACUUCGAUUGCUAAUUGAAUUACACCAGGGGUGAUGCCCCGCUCUGCGACCUCGUUUUGUUGCUGGCAGGGUGACCUUCAGGAGACGUUUGCACUAGCACAGGAAAGUCCGAUGCGUGCCUGCACAGUAUGAAUCAUCUAGUUUUACACGUUGAUAUAAACUUCAUGCAAGAGUUGGCUAUGAUAUGCCAAGAAAAUUAUGAAAUGUUAAUUAGAAAAGUUUUUGUCAUAGGAAAAAUGAUUCAAUUACACCCGCGAUAAGACUUGUACUGCUUAAUCGCGUGUUACUUAAAUUUCAAAACCUAUGCCAUAAAAUUUUUUAUACGAGGUUUGAAUGUAAAACAUAGGGAUUAGAAUGAGAAAAUAGAUAUUAAUUCGAUUCUGAUUAAAAUAUACAUAACUUUCAAGCCUUGAUCAAGUCCAACUUUAGAAUUAACACGUUGCAAAGUUUUUCAUAUAAUUGGAUAUUUGAAUUUUAUGAAGUAUAGUGAAAAACAACAAACCUUAAUAAUGGAACUCUCAAAAAUCAAGGUAAAUUAGACAGUAUUAGUGGUUUAAUGCUGAUUUAUUACGCUUAUGCAAGUUGUCCCAUUUCUUAGAGAUAGAGGUGGAUUUCGUGUUGUGUUUCUUCAUGAAAAAACUUAAUAUUUAAAUUUAAAGAUUAAUCUUUUCUAUACAGUCAAUGUAUCAUAUCAUUUGAUUUUGAAUUUGAACAUUAAAUUUUGCAUAUGUAGCAUGAAUCAAGAUAGAUACAUCAUUUGAUUUUGAAUUUGAACAUUAAGUUAUGCAUAUAUAGUACGAAUUGAGACCUACGACUGUAUAUACUGUCAGUAUAUAAACUUAUCUGACAUUUUAGUCAAUGAUCUCGCAUAGCAAACAAAAGUUUUUGCUUUUACUCCAAAAUUUACCUACUGUAGCAACCUUUGUAUGUUAGAUUCCUAGCUUGUACGGCAUGAAAUGCUGUCUAUUAGUUUUUUUCUUAUUUCAACUGUUAUUCUUUAUAGUAAAUCUUAUACGCACUGAUAAUAUAUAUACUAUCACUAUUAGAUUUAUAACAAAUGUGCAAAAGUUAAAUUUCAAAUUCAAAUGUUGCUCAGUUAUCGCUCAUUCAACGCUAACCGUCAGUGUAAAAAAGAUUAAUCAUAUUCUUUAAUUAAGCAACUAGGAGCCUAAAUUAUAAUCUUGAAAGGGACAAGAUUAGAAAGUUUUUGAAGCACCAUUUCGUUAUAGAUCAAAAAAUAAGAAGAAAUACCAAAACUCUUACAGCUUAAUGGAUUGGAGAACUGUUCAAAAGAAGCAUCAAAUAAGAGAGAACCCUCUAUUCUGAAUCGUAUUGGAAGACUUGAUGCUGGUUUUGCUCCAUGCACAUGCAUGCACAGUACUAAGCCACUAAGCAUUUUAAUCAACGAUGAUGUCUUUAACAUUUGAACUCGAAAGAGUGUGGUAAAUUGGCUAAAGCACUCGUACAAAUUCAGGUUAACGAGACAACUAGACUGCAGAUUUAAAGUCUUUUCCUCUCUUUGAAACACGACGAAAAACAUGCACGCAGGAACAAGUCAUUGGAAAGGUUUCCACCUAUCUACAAAGAAUGAUGCCACUACAAAGUGUCCACACAGGAGCUAUUAGUAGCAUCAAGAAUUUCCUACCAUCUUCAACACUAGCUAUAACUUAAGUCUCGGACUCACAACUCUUGGCAGAAAGUUCCAGGGAUAGUGGGCAGUGGUCACUUCCGUAAAACCCUGCAAGAAACAGUUCUUUGUUAGUACAGAUGCCAACGAGUACCUGUAAGCACCCAAUCCUUCCACCUCUCCAUAAGGAGGUUGAACAAAAAUAAGCCCAACAAGAAUGCUGCCUGCACACACACACACAAUACAUAUAUAUAUAUAUGUAUGUACAUAUAUAUAUAUGAGAGAGAGAGAGAGAGAGAGAGAGCAGAUGUUUGACUUCAUUGGAGUUGGUAAAACAUGACAUGCUAGAAAGCUAUAAGACUAAUUUCAGCAAACUAAAUCUUUGCUUGUUUCCAGCAGGGGGAUGGCUGAAUGCAUCCGUUUUCUUCAGUUUGACAGAAGACAAAUUUCACAGGUAUAAUCACAGCCAAGAUGACUGAAUUCCUAAUUUAACUAUAAUAGCAAACAACACUGACUGAAAUGUGUAAUGAGCUACAACACCAGUUGCUCACAUCCACCACAAGGAGUUGCAGAACACCACAAACACUCCCCGGCACUCCCCCGCCCCCCCCCCCCCCCCCCCUCUUUCCAAAAAAAAAAAAAAAAGCCCAAUGAUUUUUUACAAUAGAAAUGAAAAGCAUGCAACAAAUUGAGAUGCUGUAAAAAGAAUAGGUAUAAUAACCUCCUAACCUCAUAUUUGAGAGAUCUUUUACGAGGACAAAUUGAGAAAGCUCGAAAAGUGUUCCAUCUAAGAAAGAAACGGGACUCUAAAUCCAUCUCUAAUCGCAACAGGACAUUAUCCCAAAAAAAAAAUACUGAUACACUGUGUCAGGAUACUACAAGUCACCAAGCUGAAGUAAAGAGAAAAUGAGUUAGCAUCAAAUACCAUCUAAUUCAAUUCCUUGCCCAUGCAUCUCACAUGAGACGAUUCUAUCCUUAAGUUUCUCUGAAACAAUGAAAUAGUCAAUUCUCAUCCUUUUUCCACGGUACCUGCAAGAAAUGAGGACAUAACCCAAGGCAUAAAUAUCAACAUAUUACUUUAGUGACGGUCAAAAUGAUGCAUUCUCUAGAAAAUCAGUUUUUCAAGAACAACUGCAAGAAUAAUGGAUUACUGGAUAGCAGCAUAUCUCACUUUCCAACAGGGUUCCCUGACCAUGAAAAGCCACGCUCCAUGUCCUUCUCCUUAUGCAAGUACCUGUAGGCAUCUACUAGCUUUCCCCUAGAACCACGCAAUUUUACCGAAUCAAUGAAUUCUGAGCAUGAAAUACUCUCAUAAAGUGAUAAAAAAAUGUGUGUCAAAGACCAUGUAAGUUUAUUCACCCAAUUAACUAACACCACUUAAAACUUGCCUCAGAAAAAGGGGAAAAAAAAAAAGGUUUCCCAAAUGGAAUGGCACAUGUAGUUUCCCAAACCUGGGGAAACUAGGGUAUUUUUUCCCAAUAAAUUGGUCUAAUAGAAAUGCAAUUAUCUCCAGUUCUUGUUCUCAAAGCAAUUAGGCUGCGUUCUACAGGAACAUCUACCUUCAUCUUACGACCCCAGACAAAAAGAAAAGGACUACCAGAUCAUUCAUGAGAAAACUAUGGCUAAAUUUCCAACCAUGGAACAACUUAAAAAUCCAAGACAUGAAAUAAUGAGAUUAUAUACCAGACCUGGACCCUUACACUGCAGUUCUUUAGCACCUUGGAAAGCAGACUAAAUUUUCAAUUGUGUGUCAACAUGUUUUGGAGUUCGCCACUCAGGAAAAUGAAUGCCAUAGAUGAGUUUACACUUCAACUUGGACAGAAAUUUCAAACAGAAGAGAAUCAAUUCCAGCAAAGACAAGUGGUAAUGAAGUAAAAGAGGCAACAAAUGGUUAGAAUUGUAUCACCAACUAAUUAUUCAACACUAGGAAUCCAUACAACUAGUUCUAAUGGAAGAAAACAAAGACAAAGUCUUGGACUUCUUGGGAACUUGUAACACAAAUUGAAUAACUGGUAAAUAACAUUGACUUAUGAAAACAACUAAUAUUUGUCUAGCUUGGUGCCAUCUUUUUACAUUUUUAAUGACUGGAAUACUGCAUGAGUUGAGAGUCCUAUAGAAAAAUGUUUAUCACAAGAUUUGCUUACUCUUUCAAUAUAGCACCAAAUCGCUUCCUUUCAGACAGUGUAAAUCCAGGCUGCCCAGAAUCCUGUGCCAUAAUUCAGAAAGUCAUAGAGGUAGUCACAGUUGCUGGCGUUGUAAAGAACAUCUAAAAUUUUAUUCAGUUUUACUUUUAUGAACAUAUCAACAAAGUAUUGAGCUUAUAUGUGUCUACUAAGAGAUAUGAGAGAUUAAAAAGAAAUAUGACUAAACAUCACGGAAAUGGUUCAACAACUUAAGAAACCAGUAAUAGAUGUCAUGAGCCACAUAUUUGGCCAGCUGGCAUCCUUUAUCACUUCCAAUCACCUAUCUAGAUUAAGGGUCUCCCAUGUACACUUGCUGUGAGAGGCAGUCUAAAGGACACAAAGAUUGAUCUUAAAUAAUUUUAGUUGGGUCUUGUUAUUUAAUCGUCCUGAUCUCCAGAAACAUGUCUAUUUAAAUGCUGUAAGAGAUAAAACAAUAAAAUUCCACUACUACUUUUUUUUUUUAUCAUGCUGACUCAAAUACAUUUUGAUUUGUUGUUCUCUACUACACAUUGGCCUAAAUGCAUUCUAAUUAGUUAGGCAGUCAUUUAACUCAAUCAGACAAAUGAAAUACUGGAUGCAUAGAUAAUUGUCCAAAUUGUGAUGAUAGUCGAAGUUACACACUGCUGAUAAAUGAAUUGAUACUUACCUUAAAAAGAAUACUAUGUGAGAGUUAUUACUUUUUAGUAUAUCUGUAUGUGGUGAAGUUACAGAUGGAACAAUUAUCAGAAUUAAUUUCAAAUAAAAUGAUAGAGGUACUUAUUGUAAGAAUAGAUAUACGUAUACGUAUGGUUUCUUAUCAUAUUUGUGCAUGUGUGAACCAGAGAUGAUGAUGUAGUUUUAAAGUGUAAAAAGCCCCUAAGGUAAUCACCUCUUUGUUUGGGGGGACAUAACCAUUAAGCUUUGCUGUGCUGAAAAAUUCUGGAUGGCUCACAUCUAUAUCCUCAUGACUGUGAGAUGACAAAUGAAAAGAAGACCAUUAUCCAAAAAGAUUCAUACAAAGUCAAAAGUAGUUGGCCAGUAAAAUGGAUAUGCUAUUCCACAGGAAAUAUUACUAUUCCAUGGGAUAUGAAAAGAUGCCUAUCAUAAAAAUUGGGCUUGCAUUCUAGGGUUCAUGUAAAGCAAAUUUGCUUCAAUGAUAGACAAUGAAUGUAUUGCACCUUAGUCAGAUUCAACCAGAUGUAGAAAUUGACGCUGAAUUUCAAUAUUAUUACCUAUUACUGUAGGAGUCUCCUCAUGAGACACAAAAAUGUGACACCUUCAGUUCACGUGUCCUUAUGGAAAGACAGAACAAAUCAGAUAUAUUAACUCCCUGUAUACUGUUUGUUUUUAGUAGCUUCAAAACACCUGCAGUUGUGGAGCAUCAUUGAUCCUAAUAACUACAGAUUCUGAUCAAGAAGGUUCACUAAGAUUUGCACACAAAAUAGACAUUUGCAGGUGAUUUAUUAAGGUCUCAUAUGCACAUCAGACAUUUCUGGGUGGUUAUUAUUUGAGGAGUGAUAGUGAGAGCCAGAAAAACCUGCCUUUUGUUUCAAAAUAAUAAGGGUGUGGAUAAGUAGACAAGGUAUCAGAAACCACUCGUAAAAUUAACAUGCUUGAAACAUCACAAGUAAAAUGUGCUCCAUGACUUCAGUCUCAAACAAAGCUAGCAUUUAGCACCAGCACAUCCUAUAGUAAUCCUAAAACUGCUAUCUGGAUUGUGAUCAAUUCAUCCUCCACAUUAUGCUUCUAUAAGUCCCUACAACAGGCUUAUAGCAAGAAAAAUUGCAUAAAAUGAUUUAUUUACAUAACUAAAGGGGUACACUGAAGAAUAUUUUUCUUCGCAAGAACAUAAGUUAAAAAAAAAAGCAACCUCAACAUGAAGCAAUUACUCUCACAAUCCAACGGCCAAACUUUCCAGCAAAAAAGUCAAUAUAAUAUUUUCAACGGGGAACUUGCUAAUGAUUAUAUACUUAAAAAAGGGCAGGAAUUAAAAUAAUGGAACAAUGUACCAAAUGAAAACAAAGGAUAUAGAGCACUGGUGAUUCUUUGUCAUAUGUUUCUUUUGUAAUCCCAUUAAGUACCAGUUUAAAGAUUUUAGCAAGCAAAAGGCAGGUACCUGACAUUGAGGUCACCGCACCAGAUAAGAGGUUUGUCUGAGUUUUGCAAAACAAACUCUAGCAUCCUCUUAUCCCAUUUUCUUCUCCUCUGAAAAGAAGUUUCCUCAUCUUUCCAACCAUUGUUCGGCACAUAGGUAUUAAGAAACCGGAAUGACUCAAAUUCAGCCAAAAUUACCCGACCUUCUGGUUCAUGCUUUGAACCUAGCAAUAAAGAAAAAUGUAAAUUCCCUUUGCUUCUUGUCGCAUGUUCAAUAUAGUAAAUUACUAAAGCAAACAGCAAAUCCUGUAGAAUAUCAGAUUACUGAAAUUUCACAAAAUUUUUUCUAUAGAGUAAAAAAGUCCCGAGUAAUCUUUCCUUGGCACAUCAGGCAAUUCCAUAUUGUCAAACUUUCAAUAAAAGCUACAGUAUUAUAAAUAAAAUUUUGAGAAAGUUAAUGAAUAGAAGCCCAAGGCAGGUGGUCUAGAAGCAAUUUUUUUCCCUAGGUUGGUUAGCCAGAAAAAAGUAGUUAAGAUUUCCUACCAGAGCCACCCACAUCAGUCAGCAGAAGCCCAUUAAAGAUUAUUGAUGGUGAACUGGAAUGUUUGGUAACAAAAUACCAAACAUUAGGGAACAGGUUUUAAGUGCAGGAGGUAAGGUUUCAAUAAUUGAAAACUGAUACGAAUGGACUUGCAUUAAUAAAUUACUUCAAUGACAAAUUCAGCCACAUCCUAAUAGCAGCUGGAAAGCAUUCCAGGCAUUGGUAAGUGGGGAUGAGUUUAAAUUAAUGAAAACAUCCCAGGUUGGCAAGAGUUAAAAUUUGACAAUUAAUCAUCUGAAUAUCCCACAAAGUUUUUGUAACCAAUACAAAAUCGAAGAAACAAAACAACUCAGACCUAAGGUAUCAGGAAUAUAUAUACAUAUAAAAGUAAGAAUUCUUCCCUAUUAGCCAAUACAAGGAUAUAUCAUCUACAUAUGCAUAAAGGUUGAGACUUGGACAGCCAGGAGUCAGAGGUACUCGUGUUAACCUCGAACUUCAACUAAACUAUCCCUUACCCCUUUAUCUUUUAAAUAGAGAAAGAUACAGAUCGUAAGAAGUGACUGAUACUGAAAUUGCAGGAAUUUCAAAGAAUGCCAAGUGUAGAGUAAAGCAAAAACUCUGAAUGGCAAGCCAAAACUUUAUCCACCAGAAUAAUAUCAAGAAAGGGAAAAAUUUACAAGACAAAACAAGGAUGUUUUGGAAUGCUUUUGUUAAUGUUCGUUCUUCAAUUGCAACAGGUUAAGAAUGGUAAGCCUAACUGAUUUUAACACUAGAAGAAAAUAAUUCCACUUAAACAGAUUUGACAUGAAAUGACUGGUCAAAGUUUUGACAAAACCAAAAAAUUUAAGCACAGAAUCAGAAAAUUCAAAUGCAAAUACUCUACAGCAGUUUGUUAACAUUUUAUUCAUAAAGAGUGGGGCUUACUUCUAUUAAAACUACUCAAAGAUGAAAGGCAAUGGAAUCUACAAAAAUCAAGUAGAUUUUUGAAAAAGCAUACCUAGUUCAUCUUCAAAAAAUAAUUUGAAAAAUUGAAAUGAGUAAUUUUUAAAUUGGUUUACUCAACCACAAACCAAGAAAAAAACCUGAUCAUUUUGGUACAAAAACUUACCAAAACCAACUUAAGAUUUCUUGAAUGUAGUGGCUGCGUGGAUUCAGAGGUUAGAAUCAUGUAAUUUGCAUCACUUCCACAUAGGUAAAAGUUCCUCAAUAAGAAGAAAAAGAUAGAUCAAUAUGCCACUAUACCUGUUCGAUCAAGUGAGAAAGAGACCUUCUGUGGUUUGAAGCACUUUUUAAUAAGUAAUGCAGUACCAGCAUACUUAAAAUCUGAAAGAGACCACCAAACUGCAUAAUUUCGAAAAGGUGGACUUGAUAGGGCACGCAUCAUAACCUACAAAAUCACAGACCAACAGAGACUUGAUUUGAUAAUACUGUAAAUAGACAAUUUCAUCUUGCAGACUAACUGGAACAGGGUCAUUAUUGUUAAUCAUAUCACUGUCAGAUCUCAGAGAAUUUAGCAGAAAAUCAGACAUUUAGCCACUCUGCUGAUGCCAGGGACGCCACUUGUCUGUCCGUCAAAAGAAUAAGUUCCAGUGUAUCAGAUCACAAACUCUUUUGCAAAUGGUAAACAUCACAAGUUGGUAAGAUAUAGUCAUGAUACAUCACUUGAGAUCCUCAGAGAGUUCCUAAUAUGAGAACAAAAUGUAAAGCAAUUGAAUCCAACUCCAUUUCUUUAAGAUCCCUUAUCUUGGUCAAGUUUUGGAACCUGAACUUAUCCACAAAAGUUCAGUUCUUAAGCACUAAAGGUAACAAAAACUCUAGCAUAACCACAUAGUAUGUCAGAAUGUCGUGUUAAGGAUUUUGAUCAAUCUUCUUUAUCUAAUAUUUUCAUGGAACCUAAUAACAAUAGUUGAAAUUGAUUUAACUUCAGACAAGAUUGGAGCUUAACCUCAAAUUCAUAUUGUCCAACUCCACUUCAGGAAAACUUUUCAUCCCGAGCACUACAUGCUGUAUAUGGUUACAUUGUGGGAAAUAAUGCAAGCAUAAUGGUAUCAACUGAACACUGCACCUGCUUUUCUUCACGUGAAGAGCUUGUGUCAUCUUUCAACUCUCUAGGAUUUUUAGGUGUUCCCUUGGAGCCGGCUGCAGGCAUCCUUACUUCCUAUUAUCACCAUGACAAUGAAAACUUUUACUAAGUCCCAGAGUGACUAACUCCACAUCAGAUAAUAAUGAUGUGUCAAAGAUGGAAUGUGAUAGAGAGACAAAUACUGAUGAACCAUGUACAGAGAUCCAUAAGAGAAGAUAAAAAGGGUCCAGCAUAAAUUUAGGAAAAAUAUAUGAGGAGUCAGGGUGUGCUUCUGUCCAUCAGAAUUUGAAUAUGCAUAACCAAGAUGAUAGACUUCACUAAUCCUUAAACAUCAUCCUUGACAACUCAUGGUUGAUCCAAAGGUAGCAAUAAGAAAUGGAAAUAAAUAACAAUGUGGAUCGACUGUUAUCAAACAAGCAGCACAAUUCACUUGAUUAAGGAACAAUUUUGCAAGACGACCGUCUGUUAGCCUGAAAAUAUAAACAGUCAAUACACUCAAAUGCUCCCCAGGUUGUGAAACGCAUUAACAAUUACGUGACCAUCUAACAUCCCUAACUCCUCCGCCCCCCUUCCCAGCCAAACCCAAAAAAAAAAAAGAAAAGAAAAAGAACGAAACAAGAAUCAACCUUUGCACUUAAUAAUCUGCCAAAAUUAAGAAAAGACAAGGUACUCGACCAUGCUUGCUCAGUAAAAAACAAUAAGAACUCAUCAAGCAUAUUGACAUCAAUUAACAACAAAUUAUUGCGGUCAUAUUAACAGUGUAACUUGUUUUUCUUUUUUUUUUUUUCCUUUUUUUACCAGAAAAUAUCUAUUAAAACCCAUUUCACAUACCUAAAAUAACAGACCAAAAAAUUAAAACCUCUCUUCCAUGAACACAUGCAUAAGCCAAAAAAAUCAAAGCUUCAGUUCCAAAUGCACAAGAAAUUCCUCCACUAUUCAUUUAGCACAAAAUUCAGGUACAAACUAAUGAUUCUGAAGGAAACCAAAAAAUUUGGCAACAGCUAAAAAAUAGAGAAAAAGCAGCAGGUCACCUGUAUGGCGAUGAUAUCAGGGUCAAGAUUCUCCACGAAUUUACUGAACUCAGGCCAGUCAUUCUUCGCUCUCAAAAGAAAGCUAUUAGCAUUCCACGUCAAGAACUUUAAAGGCUCCUUAUUGUCGCCAUUCUCUGAAGAGAUUUCUGCAGUUUCUUCACCAUCAUUAACUGAGGAAAAAGGGGAAGAAGCAGAGACAUUGGCUUUCUUGGAAGAGCCAUCUUUUUCCACUGGUUUAAAAAAUCUCUUCAUCUCUGAAAAGGGUCGAAUUCUCUACUCAAAAACUCGAAUCCUAGCUGUUUUUUGGUCCUUUUUAAGGAGUUCUACACUAUAUGACGAGCAGAGACUGGACUGUACAAACGUAUACGAUUAUGUUAGUACUUUUUUGGUAGUGAAUAGUGGUACCGUACUAUAUUGGGGCGAAUGGGGGAAAGGAUACAACUUUGGGUAAUACAAAUAUUGCCCCUGGAAUUGUCUUCUAUUGUGCAUAUUGUCCCCUGAAAGUUUUUUUUUUUAUAACUUUGAAGAGCUAAAUAACUUCUUACAAAGAAACUAAAUAUAGGUGAGAAACCUUCAUUACAUCAAAAUUCAACAAACUUCUAAUCCUAUCAGUGGGAUAGACGACUGUUAAAUCCCUAGAUUUUGGCUUAAGUUUGCUCUAGUUGAAUUUGUGUGGACAUAUUUCAUUGAAAUUAAUCGCAUUUUAUAUACUAUUAUCAUUGGAUAAAUUUAGAAAUGAUAAUAUAGGCUCGAAUGCUUAUGGUUUGAAUAUCCAAUGAAUAUCUAUGAAUACCUUUCUUAAUAUCUAGUUUUAAAUUAAAUUUUUAAAAAAUAAUAUAUGAAUUCAAUGGUAAUAUAAAUACAACCUAAUUACCAUUUUUAAAACACAAAAUCAACAUUCAAUAAUUGUUAGGUAAAAUAAUUAUGAAUUAAUAGAAAGGAUGAAAUAUCAUCAAGUAAUUCUAUUUGUUUGAAAGGAAAAAAUGCAUUUUUAUUCCCAAUGUUUAAGGUGUUAAUCAAUUUCGUCCAUAAAGUUUCAUACAAAACACAUUUCAUCAUCAUAAUUUUGUAAUUUUGACCAAAUUUGUCCCUAAAGUUCAUAUAGAACACAUUUCAUCCUCAUAGUUUUAUAAUUCCUACCAAUUAAGGACAAUUAAAGGAUUGUUAAUCAAUUUAGACAUAAUAUCAUCACAUGUCCCAUUAAUAAUUGUAUUAUUAAUACUUAAUUCAAUUAUUGAUUAAAUUAUAGAAAUAACAAUAAUUGUUUUUUGGAUAGGAGACUAUCUCUUUUUUUUUUUCCUUUAAAUUGUGAUAUGUUAUAUUUGAGACUAAAUAAAUAGAUUGAAAGAUAAAUAGAUAAUUGAAAAACAUAGAUAUAAUGCAACAAAACAAAAUUUUGCAAAUAAAUGACAAUCCAAACCAUUCAUUCUUUUACAUUAAUAUUUUUCUCCAAUUAGUUAUAAUGGGUUUGUUUGAUAUUUUUCUUCAAUUGGCUAUAUUGGGAUUGUUUCUUUCCCACUGAUUUCAUUUUCUUUGGAUCUUUUUGUUCGAUUGUGAUUAAGAAGAGAGUAAUGGUAGUUAAAAAUUUCUUAGUUUUUUUUUGUACUAAAAUGAGAAAGUGAAUUAAGAAAAGAUUUUUUAAAUUUUUUGUUGAUCCAUUGUUGUCUUUUUACUAAUGGGCAUGUUGUGAUCAAGUGGCGCUAUCCCAUUUAAAUUGCCUGACAAUCUACCAACUGUCCUCGAUUAGCCAAAUUUAGGAAACGAUGAGGAUGAAAUGUGUUUGCAUAAAACUUGAAGGAUGAAAUUAAUCAAAAUUAUAAAAUUAUAAGGAUGAAAUAUGCUUUACAUGGAACUUUAAGGAUGAAAUUGAUUAACACCUUAAAUAUUAGGGAUAAAAAGUGUAUUUUCCCUUGUUUGAAAUUUGUCUAUACUUAAAGUUUUAUAUGCUUAAACCUUAUUUACCCUAAUUUUUUUUUAAUUUAAAAGUUUGUACAAAUUACUUUGAACUUGACAUGUCACGGACCUCUAGAUAGAGAGGGGUGCCAUGGAGAACACAAUUUUGGAAUCUUUUUUAUACCUAAAUUAAUUAUUGAAAGAUGUUUUAAAAAAACUAGUAAUUUUAAGUUGAUUUGAAAUUUUUUAUAAGUAAUACAAUAUUAUAAAACGUAAAACAAUCUGGGUUUGGGGGCAUAUGUAGAAUAGAAACUAGUAACCGUAGAAGAAAUUAUUUGCACUUUGGGGGCCUAAAUAACAGUUUGGUCAGACAUGGGGAGCUAAAUUGAUAAUAUCCCCAUGUCCCCAAUUUUCUGGCAUUCCCUGUCAUUAACUUGCUGCCUUAAACCCUAACUUCUAAAACCCCUUCCCAACGGACAACUACCCACCCCCUUCUUUCUCGCCGGUGGCCUCCGCCCCUGCCCUUCCACCGCAGCUCAGCCUCGCCCACCACCGGACAUUGCUACUGAACUUCAACUUCUUCCAUAAUCGACUCUAGGAAGCAAUCAGCACUAAGCUCUUCAUAGCAAAGCUGAAGAAUUCAUCUUUAUUCUAGUUGUCUAGUGAGUGCAAUUCUUAUUCUUUGACAAUUUUUAUGCAUUUACACAUUCGAAUGUGUCUAAAUAUUUCUUUUUCGCAAUUCAGAACGUAAAUUGGGAGCCAAAAUGGCACCUUUAUUAAUAAUAAAUAGUAGUAAUGAGAAAUGGCGGCAGCAACCCUCUUCAGUUCAUGGCAUUUUCUGUUAUAUAUUAUUCAAUGGUGUAUUUUUAUAUUAAUUUCGUGCUUUUGUAAAAUUGGGCUGGGUAAAAUAAGUUGGUUGGGGCUUUGCUGGAUGAGAAAAUUCGUGUUUCAUUUAUAUAUUGAGUUGCGUUUUUGGAUAUAUCAUACACUCCUGACUUGUUUCUUUCAUUGCACAAGAUCGAGCUUUUAGGUCUCCUAGAUUUAUACAAUGAAUCUGUGGGAUUGGUUUUUUCAUUUUUUUUCACAUGUAAGCGAUUUGAGAAUGUAGUAUUUUAGUCGAUUUUAAGGUUUAGUUAUACAAAUACUUGAUUAUCUGCUUCUUAUUUGUCUGCAUGUCAGUGUCUUUUUUGGUUUCCGGGCUAAAUUUACACCUAGCCAGUAAUGAAUUAAGUUCCAUUUUCAUGGUAUGAUAUGUUUCCUGGGUAAUUUGCACAGUGAAAGAUGGAGCAGAGAUUAGCUAAUACGUGGCGGAUGACGGUGAAUGAGAAGAAAUUCAUUGAGACUGCCUUGCAUUCUGACCUUAGAAUAGAUGGUCGACGGCCAUUCGAUUAUAGAGAGCUUACGGUCAAGUUUGGUAGGUGAGAAUCAUUUAAAAAAGUGCAAUAUUAAGAUUGAAUGGGUGCCUUUUGCUCAUUACUGCACAUCAUCCUGCAUAAUUCAUAGAAUAUGAACUCAUGGUGUUCUAUUUCUCUCUAAGAAUUGGAUUCAGCUGUUAGAACCAGUUGAUAUUCCCACUUCUCACCCCCUACAUUAAAGUCAUGCAACUUCUAUUGGUCCUUGAAAUUUUUAUCUCCUCUCGAACCAUCGUGCUGGCUUUAGAUUGUUUCUGGUUUUAGCUAUUUACCUUAUUUAGUGGUUUGGAGACAUCAGAAGGUGAAGCAAAAGACACAGGAUAAAUGAAAUGAGUGGGAGAAGUAUCAUGACUUCCUUUAACUUCGCUCUUCCCUUUUAUUUGUGCUGUACUCAAAGCUUUUCUGAGGAUGAUCGUGGAAUAAUUAAAAUUGAAGUCACACUAUAUAACCAUUUAAUCGAUUGAGUUCCAAAAGUAUAAUGGUUACGUCUUCCAAAGAAAACUAGAGUCCUUUUGUGUUCCAUAAUACACCUGAGUGUUUUAUAUUUGCUAUGAGUAACAAUUAUGAAAUGACCAAGCUUUGAUCCAGACACUAUUCCAACGCGUGCGUCCUUCUUUGUAUUCUCUUUUCUGAGAAAAGAUGAUUGAUGUAUUAGCCUUGAGGUCAAGCUAAAUAUGCAGAAAAUGAAAGGAAAGGUGGUGAUACGUAGUAUUAGGACUUCCAACAAUUUUCCUAUCAGUAUUGUUUUUCCUGUUGAUUGUAUAGUAAAUUGUGCCAAUUUUCUGCAUUUCAGUUGGACUAUAGAAGUAUUAUAAGUAAAGAUGCAUUUCCAGUUUUCAUAAUCUGUUUACCCGAUUUGGUUAGUUUGUAUGGUAUUCUACUACUUUUAGCAUUUGAUUGUGUAAUAAUUACAACACCUGAUGCCAUGAUAGAAUUAUAGGUUCUUUUAUGUUCAAUGAUCGACUUAUUUCCAUAUUUAAAUGACAUUUUUUUCUAGGGCAUAAUGGUUUACAGAUAUAUAAAAUUUGGAGUUUUUGAGGUAUUCUUACAAGUUUUUAAAACCUUAUGCAUAUAAGUUUUGUGUUUUAUCUACUAUGUGUCGCAUAUACUUGCCCUAACUUUUAAUAGAAUGUGUGAGAACAGAUUGUUUUGACUCUGAAGUUUACCAAGUGCAGAGAAGAUGGCUCAUCAGAGGUGCAGCUGGGCCUGACACAUGUCAUGGGAUUCGUGAGUUCCCAACUGGUGCAGCCUUAUCGAGAUAGGCCGAAUGAAGGAACCCUUUCAGUCUACACAGAGUUUUCGCCCAUGGCUGACCCUUCUUUUGAGGCGGGUCGUCCUACAGAAUCUGCUGUAGAAUUGGGGCGUGUGAUAGACCGUGGAUUAAGGUGAAAUCUCCUUUCCUUUAAUUGUCUAGUAUCUCAAGGAGACUUGGUUCACUGAGAAUUAAUGAUCUUUUUUGGCUAGGAAGUAUCUGCUAAACAGGUUUGUAGAAGCAUUGUGAUAUUGACUUGUAAAUUGUGGAAUAUAAUUCAUCUCAUGACUUGACAGUGGUGGAGAAACCAAUUUUACCUCAAUUAAGGAAAACUGUUAGAGAAUAAAUCAUCUCUAAUCAUAUGCGUCAGCAAAUAUCAGAUACCAAAUGUUUUCUUGGUUUUCUAAUACCUGUAUCGAGCCUUGGUUUUCAUUUUUCCAAUCUGUAAAUCUUAAUGACAUAAGUUGUAUUCACCUUGCAAUUGAAUGAGCAUUUCAAGUGAUAUUGAAAUUAUAGAAAUAUUGAGACUUUUGAAAUCUACUCCCCUUUCGAGUUCUUAAAUGUCUUUAUUAUAUGGAUCAGAGCAUUGUGCAAAUUUAAUAUUUGAUCUGGAUUUCUUUAUACUCAAUUUAGUUUGAACGACAUUGCAGAGAGAGCAGGGCUGUAGAUACAGAAUCACUGUGUGUUGUUUCUGGGAAGUUUGUGUGGUCAAUUCGUAUCGAUCUGCACAUUUUAGACAAUGGAGGGUAAGCUGUAAAGAUAUGCUAUUCCUGUAUGACAAAAUAGUCCAUCUCUUUCUAUUGGGAUUUCAUUGGUCAUUCAUAACUUUUGGGUUUUCCUUUCCUGUGCAACAGAAAUCUUGUUGAUGCUGCCAACAUUGCUGCUUUAGCUGCUCUCUUGACAUUCCGGAGACCUGAAUGUUCACUAGGAGGAGAAGAUGGUCAGGAAGUCAUAGUACAUCCACCCGAGGUACAGCUAUUUUUUUCUUCCUUAAUCUCCAAUCUCCUUCUGAUGUGAUUGAAUUGGAUAAUUAGCUAACAAGUGAAGUUUGUACUCUAUCCCAGAAAGACUGUACCAUGCUAUAAUUAUUUUGACCUUAUGUGGUAUUAUCAUGGAAAGUGGAAGUCUUGUUUGUGGUAGAGAUUAAACAUUUUUUAUGCUUUUGUUGGAGAUGAAGUUCAGGCUUGGCCUUGCUUUAUUAUUAUUAUUAUUAUUUAUUCCCCUUCUUCCCCCCUGUUUUUAGACACUGCAUGAUGUUGGUUUGCAAAUGAUGCAGAUUAAGAAGUCUUGUACCUUUCAAUUUCUUUGCACUAUUCAUAUUCAAAGUGAAAACAGUAUCAAUUUAGUCUGUCAAAAAAGUUUGCAAAUGCACCGUUAGAUUUCUAUUCCUUUUAAAUUUUCUCAGAUAUCUAUUGCUCAAAAAAGCUUUAUACCUUCAAAUUGGUACAAAAUGAGUUUUUCCUUGCUGUGUUUAUAUUUCUUAUGAAUGCACUUCCUAUAUUUGCUUUCUAUAUUUUACUAGCAAUUCGUUUGUAGGUUUGUUGGCUAUGCUAUAAUGUCUUGGUCAUGCAUCCAACUAGCAUGCUAAUGUUGAGUUGCCUUUUCUGUGCUACUUUGCUUUUCUUUCUGUCACUGAUUCAGCUGGUCGAGUGUUGGAGAUGUAAACCGAUUUGCACCAACUAUCAUCUUGUCACAAAAUGCUCUACUGCUGGAAUAAAGAUGCCAUAUUAUCUUCUAACUGUUGUACCAUGGUGUCUCAUUGUGUCUCUUUGAACGGUUUAAUUGUGAUGUGCUUAUAUUCAUGUCUACCACAUUUGGUCUGCAUGUUUACCAUUUGAUGUUUGUUCAGAUGCCAUUAUUUUUCCUGUGUUGUUCUGGGAAGUUGAGUGGCUUGACCAACCUUCUUGGGGAUGUUGGUUUCUUUGCCACUUUUCUUUUUUCUUCUGAUCAAUCAUUGUGUAUUUGUGUUUUCUAGCAGCGAUCAUCCUUUAUUUGCUAACAUAGACUAAAGUUUUUGGUGAUUACAUUGAAUGGUUGCUAUGCUCUGGACAAAAUAAUAAGUUCUUAUUGUUGUGUGCAUGUGCACUUUGCUUCAAUAUAGAGCAUGGUACACUUUGUACCAGUGAAGCUAUAUGAUGGAACCUGUCAGAACUUCAUAUGUAUAUUGACAUCUUCUAGGAUUGAACUGGUUUAUCCCUUCAUUGUUUUCUCUUUCUUGUUGUUCGAGUUUAUGCAUGGAUUCAUAUUUAGAAGCCUAUAUUUUGCCUGACGUGCUUGUACCCAAUUUCACAUGGCGAAUCACUCAUCCUUCUGAGGGAAAGUGAAAGCAGGAGAGCAGCUUAGCUCGUGGCCUGGUCUGCCUGCCAUUAGUUGCUAGUGCUUUGUAGAUAGUUACUUUAGGUUUUUGUUGAUGCUACACAAAAAUAUGGUGUCUCUCUAUUAUUGAAUCUGUUCUCCACCCCCAGGCCCUUCCCCCUUCCCCCCCCUCCAACAAAAAAAAAGGUAUGCGCACAUGCUUGGAUCCUAAUAUUGUUCUAUUGUUGCUAAAAUUAUGAAUUUAACUCAGCAGCCAUUUGCUUAAGAAUCUGUUGGAAAGAUUAAUUGGAAAGCUUUCUGAUUUAGUUCUUUAACCUGCUGAAAUACAUAAGAAUGGCAGUUGCUUUAUAAGAUCCAUGAGGUACUUGUAAUCAGAAAUCCAAUGCAGUCAAAAUGCAAUCUGGGGUAGUGGUGUCCAUUUUUCAUGUCCUUUACUUUUCUCUCUGCUUUUAUGCUAUCAAGGAAUGCUGAUUUGGUUUCAAUGGGUGAAAAGAUGUAUGCCUUGCAAAUUUUGACAUGUAGACUGUACUGCAGCUGCAUUUCUGAGCAUUUUCUAAUCUAUUUGACUGCUUAGAAGGAUAGAAGAAGUUGGAUAAACAAGCUAUCUUCAUUGAAUCCCUUAUUCUGUUACUGUUUGUAAUGCGAUUUUGCAUUUUAUAUUUCUGGUCUUUCUUUUUCAAAAAUAUAUUGUCCGGGUGACUGGAAAUCAAAAGCUUUCAUAGUUAGAAAUUUAGGAAAAAUGUGCUAGAGCAAGGCUCAUACAUUACUUUCAAAAUGAGCUCCUUAUUUCUUGUGCCUAGAGAUUAAACUUCUGUUGUUUGAAAUAGUAUUAUUCUCUGUUUGACAGGUAAGGGAGCCACUUCCUUUGAUUAUACAUCAUCUACCUGUUGCAGUAACCUUUGCAUUCAUCGGCGAUGAAAAUAUGGUGGUAGGAAAAAUGAAUACCUUAUUGGUUUUAUAAAUGUUUUCCUUUUUAAUGAUUCCAUUUUCCUAUAAAGUUCAUCUCUUGCUAAUACAUCAGAUGCUGCUAGGUAAUAGACCCCACACAUUUUGAAGAGGGUAUUAUGGGAGGAAGAUUGACUGCUACGCUUAAUGCUAAUGGGGAUUUAUGUGCAAUACAAAAGGCUGGGGGCGAUGGUGUUAUGCAGAGUGUCAUCAUGCAGUGCUUGCGCAUUGCUUCGGUGAAGGCAGCGGAUAUUACAGCAAAGAUAAGGAAAGCUGUAAGAUAGUCUUUUCCAAAUUGUCUUGACCAUGAAAUUAUACGACUGUUGUCUAUAGAUACUUAUACAACUUUUGCAAGGGCUGUUGGCUUAUUUUUCUGGUAAUUGUUAUCUGCUGUUUUCCAGUCCCCUUUUUCUCCUUGUUGCUAUUAAUUCUACUUCCAACUUUAACAGGAAAGAGGCACUUAGUUGCCUAUAUGGUUGGCUUUGUUUGAAGCUGUUAUAAUAUGAGGAUUUGAUGUUAUGAGCAGUGGAGAAAUUUUAACCACAUGCGUCUGCUUGUCCGCCUCAUUCCUUUCUUUAUGUCCUUUCUCUCUCUCUCUCUCUCUCCCUUUUGUUACUCAGCUGACUGCAACAAGUGUGUUAUCAUAUGAUGGUUUAGGCUUUGAUCAUGUUGUAGAAAUUUCUUCAUUUCUCUCCUUGCUUAACACUUUCUCAGCUGUUGGUUUUCUUUUUUUCCCCCUGUUUUUGUCCUUGCAGCCAUUAUGUUAAAUUCCCAUUUUAUUUGUAAUAUAGUAUUUGAUACCCUUCUGUGAUUGGGAAUUUAUAUCACCACUUUCUGAAGCAUCUUUUUGCUAAUAUUUUUUUAUUCUUUGUGUAUUACGUGGCUUUGGGUGUAUAUAGUUGUAGUCGACCAUGGUGCAUUAUUUCUUUUUGCUAGAUAUGUCCCUAAAUUGUUUGGUAGCUAUGGAUUAUUGUGAUUAUGACCUGUGCCUUUUGAGUAUGAGAAGGUGCUUUUCUUGCAACCUAAUUUUGACUUCCUCUGCAGGUUGACUCAUAUAACACGGAAAGAGCACUAAGCAAGAUCAGGCGGCAGCCUGCUAGUGUGGCUGUACAAGUUACUGAACCUAAUCAGAUAGAAGUUAAGGAGCUCAUAAGCAAACAUAAGGAGAAAUUGAUGUUGAAAUCAGAAGAGGGUGGUGCAAGUCACAGUGAUGACAUGGAAAUUGAAGCCCAAUCAUCUGAACAAGAUAAAAGUAGAAGGAGAGAUAGCACCUCAAAGAGUUUUGUCGGUGGUCCCUUGAGUUGGUAAACAGUUAACCAUCCACACUUCAUAAUUUCUGUACCUUGGUUUCGUUAGGAAAUCAUCUCUUAAAGUACUUUCUAGACAUCACUUGAACUUGCAAAUGAAUGUAGAGUGGGAUACAUUGACAUCCACAUGUAAGCUAUGGUUUUAGUAUGGUUACUCUUGUAUCAAGUUUGAUUGUGAGUGCAGGCAUUAUCAAUCAGGCCAUGUUGUGGCUGCAAAAACCAUGUUGUUCCCGGAGGCAAUUUUUUGUAAAUAUCGGAAUGAUCUGGAGAAUUCUUGCUGUUUUAAAAAUUAUUUCCUAUUCUUGAUAUUGACCUUAAAUUUUUUGCCUUGAGACAUGUUUUCUCAUUCAUACUUCAAAUGUUUCAUUGCAGGCUAAAGCUGUGUGUCUGUAUGUACAGAAGCGUCUGCUCGACUUCUCUAACAAUUGGUUUCUUCUUUUUGAUUCCUGCAGGGAUCCCUACUCAAAAGGUGUAGAUUUUGAGGAAUUGCAAGCCUCUAUUGCUUCACGUGGUAUUUGGAUCUUUUCUUAGUACUGAUUGAACUCUUUUAUUGGUGGAUGAGUACCCCUAAUCAUUGUGUCAUAACAAGUCUCAGCACAUCAAAAGCUGCAAAAUAGGGGAGUUUGAUGUGCAUUAUACGACUAGACAGAUAAAUUGCACCAAAAGAUCUCAUGAAACCUUCAAAAUCUGCAGGAACCUUUAUAGUUCUGCAGAAGUAUGUAUUUGUCACUUAGCCACCUUCUUUUUUGUCGACUAGGACUAAUUCAGCAUUUAACAUGAUACUCUACUGCUGUGACUAAUCAAGAUCAUCAUAAAAUUUACUUGAUCUUCAACACAUGGACAGAAAGGAAUACUUAAAUCCUUGUGAGAAAGCAAUAGCCUUCCUACUGAGAAAGCAGAAGAAAGUCCUAAUAUUAUGCCACUGUACGCAUACUAAAAUUCAUUUCAUAUGACUACACUUGGAAUGGUUAACAUCAUUAGCAAAAUUUGAGCUGAGCAUCUGCCAUUUCAAUUCACAAUGAAAUUCCAUUCCUUUGUUUUGUUAGAUCUGUUAAUGGCUUUCUUCUCUUGAACUGAACACCGAACCUACCAAACUACCACAAAGAACCUAUUGUCAGGGCCUGAUAAUCUUCACAGUACAGGCACAAGUUUUUCAACUCGGCCACUAUCAUAUUGUUUCAAAAAUUGAAUUAAAGGGAGAAAAAAAAAUGGGGUUAAGGAAGAGAUCAAUUGAGAUAUAGAAUCUCCACAUACUUCUCGUGUUGAGGUUGUAAGAAGUGGAGAAGCUUCUGUAUUGUAACUGAACUGAGGUUAAGGAAAUUGCUUGUUUUUGAUAGACUGCAUGCAAUGGUGCUUCAGGAUCCUGAAGCUGUGUUGCAUUUUGGUGUUCCUUAUGCUUAACAGCUAAAUGGUUGAGACUGUUAUAUUAAUGUAGCUUAUCUGAUGCACAGUGAAGGUGGCACCUGUAGAGAAGCUAGAGAAAUCAAGAUCUGAUGAGCCAUACAAAGGAGAAUCACCUAAAUUACUUGCUGACAGCAGUACCUCCCUUUUGUCAGAUGAAAAGGCUGCAACUGGACUACAAAUAGAAAAAGAGAAGACUUUGAAAGAUGCUGUGAAGCCUAAGCACAAGAGAAAAAAGAAGGCAUCAACGAACACAGAUGCAAGUUAGCUUCAUCUAGAUUAUGAACGCUUAUAGAAAGGAAUAUCAGCAGCUUGAACAAUUGUUUUCUGCUACUUCUCGAAGUCAUUGGAGGAACAACAUGACUUUCAGCUGUCAGUAUGAAAAUGGAUACUCAAAGAUACUGCGUGAUGCUCCUGGUUGGUCGAAUGUAAUUGAAGCACCAAGGAGUUGUCCAUUCUGCCAAUUCUCGCACAUGGCUUUAGCUUUGUACUCCAACUCGGAUGUUCAUUUAACCAAGUUGGUGGACUUGUUGUAAAGAUCUCCAAUGAUUCUGCAGCUGGAGUUGCUGGGUGACAUAUUUUGCUCAACAGUUUACUAAUCCUUGUGGCAUUGUAGAUGAUGUUGGGAAACAAAGGUCAAACAUUAAUCCUUGUUCUUGGUUCCUCUCUGUCUAGAUUGAUAUGAGUAGAAUUUGUAGCCAGAGAGCAGAAAAGCAUGAAUUUUGUAUUCUUUUGAAGUGAUGACUAUCAUUUUCUUUGUUGGCUAUAUUAGUAUCGCAUGCUUGGUUCAUUUCCUGAUUGCUAGUGCUGUUUCUUGCUGUUGCUUCUCGUGACCAAGGUGAAUUUUCUUUUUGAUUCGAUGUAAUGCAUAAAUGUGUCUGUACAAUUGCUGGACAUCUAAUUUCAGUAUUAAUUUGGUUGCGAAAUUGCAAUCAAACUUAGAUCAGGACUAGAGUUUUCUAGAGUUUUUUCCUUUUGUUUUUAUUCUUUUUUAAGAAAUAAGAUAACUUUUUUAUCCCUCAUCUUCUUGUUUCCCAAUGUUAAAAAAAAACCAAGUUAUUUGAUAAUGUUCUGAACAAUUACCAAUUGUUCAAGCAUAAUUGGGAACUUUUCUUCCAAUUUUCUUCGAAGGUAUUUUUUUGAAAUUUGCUUUUGCAACCUUUGAAGUUUUGCAAGAUGGGCUUCUGAAAAUCUAUAGAAGAUAAUACGUUUAGAGCUUUGAAGAAAAAUAAAAAUCUACCAAAAUGAGAAAAUUAAACUUUUUUUUUAAUCAUCUUUGGAUACGAAGAGGAAAAAUGCAUAAAAACUUUGUCCCUGAAAUAGGGAACCCAAGAAACUCUUUUAAGAAUACAACACCCUACAUGUGUGGCUAAGCUUCCUUGGCAGUGGCCUAAGAAAACCGUUAUGUUCCAACCAACCAACCAACCAAAGGGAAUCUAAAAAGUUCCGUACAAAGAAGAACAAGACUCAAGAUUUCAAUGGCGGCAACUGCUACAAUCUCUCAUUCUUCCUCAAUCACUCUCUACUCUAACAGCCAACUUAACACAUCUUCAGUCUUGAAGAACACAUGCUUGUCAUCUACAUCACUAGUCUAUUCUUCUUCAAGUACAAUAAGCAUUAAUAGUUGUAACACAAAAAUUUGUGGUGGUGUUACUUUGAAAAGCAGAAAUGGAAGAGGUGGGAUUAGAGGUGGGCGGUUGGUUUGCUUGGCUGCUUCAUCUUCAUCUGCACCUUCAGUUAAUCUUCCCAAAGCACUGAUGUUUGAUUGUGAUGGGGUGCUUGUUGACACAGAGAAAGAUGGCCACAGGAUUUCUUUCAAUGACACCUUUGCUGAAGUAAAAUUCCCUUUUCUCUCCUUUCGUGUAUAGAUAUUCAGUAUGAUAUUAUACUUUUUUUUUUUUAAAGUUACAAAUGGUAACCAUUCACUCAGAUGUUCAGUUUUUUUUUUUUUUUGGGUCAAGUCCUAUAUAAGAACUUUUCUUGAUUUUUUUUUUCUUUUCUGAAUUUAAGAUAUCUGAUGUUAAACUUAAGUGACUUUGGGCAAAUUCUAUCUUGGGGGAUUCUCAAUCUGUUUACUUUGAAUGAACAGAAAGAAUUAGGUGUAACCUGGGAUGUGGACUUGUACGGUGAAUUGCUCAAAAUUGGGGGUGGAAAAGAAAGGUAAGAUAAUUAUCUUUUUUGGCUCAAUUUAUGAGUGACUCUAGUGUAUAUUUGCUGAAUGGACUGAAUUUUGGAUUAGAAUCUUUUUUGGGUUGAUUGUGUUUUAUUAGGAUGACUGCCUAUUUUAACAAAGUGGGUUGGCCAGAAAAGGCACCAAAGAGUGAAGAAGAAAGAAAAGAAUUCAUAGCCUCACUUCAUAAGCGAAAAACAGAGUUGUUCAUGGCACUUAUUGAGAAAAAAAUGCUACCUCUUCGGCCUGGUGUAGCGAAGUAAGUCACUAUUAUUUGAUUGUCCUUUUGUCAUUCCAUUUGCACCUUUAUACGCAAUGUUUUCAUAGCAGCUUGGAAGUGGUCUGAUGGGUUCAGCAAGAUACUGAGUUCCUUUGUGCACUUUGAAAACUUGUAAUUUACAAAAAACAUGAAUGUCUUAGUGCACGUACUGAAAGUGAAUAGUGGGGUAAAUUAAGCUUCUCAAUCCUGGAAUCCAAUCAUUAGCUUAAAUCAAGAAAUGCGAUCUAUAUUUGAUCAUAAUGUACUAGCAGCUGCAAUGACAUUUGAUCUCUUUGAAUGUUAAGUCAAGCUAGACAGAUAAGGAAGAAAUGACGUAUCAUAUCUUGGACAUGAUCUUCUGCAUUAGAAUUUCUUCUUUACAUUCAUAAUUACGUUAUGAUCAAAUUGUGAAUAUGGAAAAGUCCUCCGCAUGGUUUCCCUGGAUUCUCUACCAUUGGCGUGUGUUCAAUUAGUUUAACAGUCUUGUGAAAAGCUAACAACAAAAUGCAGCUUACUCCAUCUAGAUAUAUCAAAUUCAGAGCAUGGAAAUGCUGUUGAUAAUACGGUUGUUCUUACAACUUUAUUUGGAAGAUUAUGUUGACUUCAAGAAACAAUUUGAAGGUGAAGAAUGGCUAGGCGAACAUUUUUAUUCUGGUUCUUAGUCAAACAUGGAUAAAGAGAUAAUUGUAUUUUUAGCAUUGAUGAGGUGAUUAUGCUUUGUUAGAUAACUUGUCUGAAGAACUUAAGGCCAUUAGGCCAGAUUUCAGGAUUCCGGUAGUCAUAGAAGUAGUGGUUAGACAGUAGUUAGAGGAUCAAUGUACAUAUACUAAGAGACAAAUUUGGCAGAAGCAGGAGGCUCUUAAUUGAAGCGGCAGGGUGUAGAGGCCAAGUAGAGGAGUGCCUACGAUGCGUACAUGCGAGAGUUUUAGAAGGGGAAAGAACUCUAAUAAAAUUAGUGGUUUUUUAGUUGCAUUUAUGGUUCUACUCACCGACACUUUUGGCAGAAAAAAUGGUAUCAGUUUCUUACUUCUGAUUUCAUGAGGAUAAAUGAAACAUAUGUUUGGCUAUGCAGGUUGCGUGAAAAUUCAUAGAAUAGGAGGUAAUUAACUUGUUAUUCCCGGAGAGAGUUGCAGAUCUUAUACACAAGGAACUGGUUUUUGACUAACUCCAUUAGGGAAAAGUUCAUUAGUUUGUUGAAAGUAGUUUCUAUCUGGAGUACCCGUUGUUGUUCCAUGUCACGGAUAUGAGAAUAACAUGACUACUGAUUUGGGCCUUCGAUGCCCAGUCUACAAUCACCAUCCCCCCUGCUAGAAUUUCACUAUUUAAUUUUUUACAGGUUGAUUGAUCAGGCUUUGGACAAUGGAGUCAAAGUUGCUGUCUGCAGCACAUCUAAUGAGAAGGCGGUAAGCUUCAUCAGGUCUCAGAGUUUGAUUAAUGUUGGAUGUUCUUCCAAUUUUGAGAACUUUACGUUAUAAGAUAUAGGUUUAUGCUUGUUUGUUUAAACAAAAAAAAAACACUUAAAGUGUCUUUCUACCUUUAUGUUUUACUUUUAUGUGUCUUCAGGACCCGUCUCUUGGACAACUUAUGUUAAAUUAAAAGAUAAAAAACCUAGCACUUUAAUUUGAUCAAUUAUGUUCAUGAUUCAUGCUUCUUUUUUUAUCCCUAUUGAUUAUCAGUAUAGUUCUCUUGAUUGCUCUGAAUAUUUUGGAAGUUAAAAGUCUGUAAUUCUGCUUAAGGUUGUUGAGCUUGCUCAUUGAAACACUACUAUGUUUAUGCUACUAUAUAAGGGAGCGAUGGAAAGUAGACCACGUGUACAUGUUGAUUAAACAUUGAAAUGAAAUUAUGUGAUUUCAUGUCACUGCUAUAGUUUCUUUGUUGUUAGGACCCAAGCGUUGAUGAAACAUUGAAAUGAAAUUAUGUGAUUUCAGGUCACUGCUAUAGUUUCAUUCUUGUUAGGACCCAAGUGUUGAUGAAACAUUGAAAUGAAAUUAUGUGAUUUCAGGUCACUGCUAUAAUUUCAUUCUUGGUAGGACCCAAGCGAGCAGAGCAAAUCCAGAUAUAUGCCGGAGAUGUUGUUCCGCGCAAGAAACCUGAUCCAGUGAUUUACUGUUCCUUUUGCUCUUACUUUCUACUAAGAUGGCUGGUGAUGAAUUAAAAAUUCCUUAUACUUCUUUACAAAAAGCCUUAAAAAUCUGGAAGUGGAGCAGUUAUAGCUACAAAGCAGCUGCUUGGAUUUUCUCAAGUGAAGCGAAAAGAAUGAUAAACCUUUGUUUUGCUUCCUGCAAGCAUGACACUAAGAUUUUCCUGAGAAAAUAUUAAACCAUAUGGCGCUUUGAUGAUCACGAUUGCAAUUUGAUUUUCUAGAGAACAAUGAGGAUAAAGAUGUUAAUAUUGGUGCUCUGUUGUUCUUUCUUUUCAGGCCAUUUAUCUGUUAGCUUCCAGCACUCUGGGUGUUGACCCUUCAAGGUAUUGCAUAUGCAAUAGAGUAUGAUGGCAAGGAUGACCUAGCUGAAUGUGAAGAUUCUGAGAUUCAAACAAGUUGAACAAAGCUUAAAUGUGCUUUUAAUUGGUGACAGGCUUUACUUUUAAUUGUCGGAACGAUGACUUGCUUCUCAUUGUUUACAGUUGCGUUGUGAUAGAAGACAGUGCCAUAGGUCUUGCUGCUGCAAAAGCUGCUGGGAUGAAGUGUAUUGUAACAAAGAGCGGGUAAGUCUGAUAUCUUAUGAACAACAAAUAGCUCGUCAUAGGAUUGAAAAUCUCUCUUUUGGCAGUUAAGGGCAAGAGAACAUUACCAUGUAUAUAUCAGUAGCUUGAUGUUGAUCUCAAUAUGAAUGCAUUUGCCGGAGCGCCUAUUACACCAAUGCACCCUUAUAGAACAAAUUUCAAUGUUUACGCUGCUAAUAAUUUAUUGUUAGUUCAGAAAUAAACGAAAUUUUCAACUCUCAAGGUUAAUGCUUUGAGAGUGUAAGCCAUGGGAAGAGAAGGGUUGUCAUUUAUCCCAAGCAAUAGAAGGAAAGAACAGAAAGAAAAAGUUUCUCAAAACAAUAUGACUUAUUUGCAAUGCAAGAAGGAAAUAGGUAGUAAAGUCCUUACAGUCUAGGACAAAUAAAAAAAUAAUGGCUUUGGUCUAUCUUAUUGUCCUGUUGUGUAAGUACUUAUUAAGCCCGUGAGGCAGUCUGGCUAACGCUUGAAGAAAGCAUCAAGAGACUGGUUUUUACUUGUAUCUUUCAAGUGCUCUAAGGUAAUGAUCUUAGACCCUGCAGCAGCGGUCCCAAAAUUACUUGCUGUUUUAUUUGGGAAGGUCGUUUUAUUUAAGUUAUCAGCUAUAAAAUAUGAUGCAUGAUCUUGUAAGGCAAUUUUGCUCCUAUCUGGUUUUUAUCUAGGAGCAACACUUGAUUACCUAUCAACUCGCCUAUCAAUGUGAUCAGUCUCAAACUUUAUAACUUCAUAACAAUGGACAGGCAGAAUCAUAUUAUUAGUAUCUUUGAAGUCUCAGUGAUCUAACUUUUCAUGGCAUGAAUGAUCCUGAGUUGGUCGUUUCUUCAUUCUUUGAUCUGAUAAACGAAUAUCAAUAAUUUGAUCAAUCUUUCCUUUGUGCAGGUACACAGCUGAGGAGGAUUUCUUAAAUGCUGAUGCAGUUUUUGAUUGCAUUGGAGAUCCUCCAGAAGAAAGAUUUGACUUAUCAUUUUGUGGAAGCCUUCUGGAGAAACAAUAUGUUAGUUAGAAUCAUUUUGUUAAAUGAGAUCAACUUCAGCAUACCACCAUUGUAUGUUAUAUAACUUCCCUGGACAAAUCCAGCUGGAAUCCAGAAAUUCAACUGAGUCUUCCUUGAAAUUUUCUAAAACUUUCACAAUUAAGAACUAAUGAUCUUGAGUCCAAAAUCCAAAUUAGAAAUGGGAAUAAACUGUUGUAAGUCCUUAAAGGCAUCAACAUUUUUCACCAAAACCAUUCAUGAUCACCAUAGUUUGAAAUGGCAGAUUGACCUCAUUUAACAAAUGUUAUCUUUAAUGUUUUACUUAUCAUCCUAUGAUGAAUAGAAUGGAAUGAAUUGGACCAAGAAAAGGAUUAAUCUCUUUCAAUUCUGACUCCACUGUAAAGAUGUAGAUAAUUUCAUUCCACAGAUGCUAAACUUAAGCGUCCUAGGAUUGUACCUCUAAAUUAUGGUUAUUUCUUCUAAUGCAGCAAAUGCUGUUUUUGGAGGUGUUCGAAAAAAUUUUACUAUAAUGGCUCAUGUGAAAAACUUUUACUGUAGAUGGUUAAGUGUUUUCUGGAAUUUUUUUGGAAGGCAUUUUUGAGAAUUACUUUGGAAUAUUUUUUGGAUUAGAAAUUUUUUGAAAUAUUUUUUAAAAAUGGAACACCGCCCACCACCACCCUCGAUCACCACAAUGAGGGUGGGUACCCGUGAGAAAAGAAUGAUGCAGGAUUGAGGCGGGGCCAGGUCCCAUCCCUCGCCCUGCUCUCCGCCUAUAUUUUGAGAUAUAAUAUAUAUAUAUAUAUAUAUAUAUAUAUAUAUAUAUAUAUAUAUAUAUAUAUAUAUAUAAUAAUAUGUGUAUGUUUUUAUAUGUAUAACAUGAAAUAAAUGCUAUGUUAUUGUUAUUAUAUAAACAUAUUGUAUGAAAUAAGUAACAUAUUAUGUUGUUAUGAUACAAUAAUGUAAUAUAUUUUGAUUAAAAACUUCAAAAGAAUGAUUAAAACUAUUAUUAGAUUUAUAUAAAUUAAAAAGUUAAAUAAUAAUAAUAAUAAUAAUAAUAAUAAUAAUAAUAAUAAUAAUAAUAAUAAUAAUAAUAAUAAUAAUAAUAAUAAUAAUAAUAAUAAUAAUAAUAAUAAUAAUAAUAAUAAUAAUAAUAAUAAAAUAAUAAUAAUAAUAUAAUAAUAAUAAUAAUAAUAAUAAUAAUAAUAAUAAUAAUAAUAAUAAUAAUAAUAAUAAUAAUAAUAAUAAUAAUAAUAAUAAUAAAUAAUAAUAAUAAUAAUAAUAAUAAUAAUAAUAAUAAUAAUAAUAAUAAUAAUAAUAAUAAUAAUAAUAAUAAUAAUAAUAAUAAUAAUAUAAUAAUAAUAAUAAUAAUAAUAAUAUAAUAAUAAUAAUAAUAAUAAUAAUAAUAAUAAUAAUAAUAAUAAUAAUAAUAAUAAUAAUAAUAAUAAUAAUAAUAAUAAUAAUAAUAAUAAUAAUAAUAAUAAUAAUAAUAAUAAUAAUAAUAAUAAUAAUAAUAAUAAUAAUAAUAAUAAUAAUAAUAAUAAUAAUAAUAAUAAUAAUAAUAAUAAUAAUAAUAAUAAUAAUAAUAAUAAUAAUAAUAAUAAUAAUAAUAAUAAUAAUAAUAAUAAUAAUAAUAAUAAUAAUAAUAAUAAUAAUAGGGCGAUUCAGGGCACCCGUGGGUGUAGUGGGGUAAGACGGGGGUUAGGGCGAUUCAGGGCACCCGUGGGUGUAGUGGGGUAAGACGGGGGUUGGGGGAGUGGGGGACAAAGCAAGUGGGUGCACGCGUCCGAAAACCGUCGGUUGACAGUUUGAAAUUUUUGUAGUGGGUGGAAGAAGAAAAUAUGGUAGAAUUUGUUUUGUUAAAUUUUUAAAAUUUUUGUGUAAGUUGUAUUUGAGAUUGUGUCUGCUUUUGGAGUUUUAUUGUAAACUCCACAAACAAACUUAUAUAUAUAUAUAUAUAUAUAUAUAAAUAUGUUUUAUUUAAAGAAAAAAAAUGGCAAUCCAUUGAGAGUCAAAACUUUUAGCUGUGGCAAUUUCCCUAUUUGAAGACCAUGUAAGUCCAUUUUAAAAUGACAUGAUUUUUUUUUACUCAACUUGUUUUUUAUUUUUAUUUUUACCAAAGUACCUUGAUAUGCAUUAAAGAUUGUCCUAACUCUGGAAUAUAUUUGCCCAAAAAAAAAGAAAGAAUUAAACUAAUGACUAAUGUUUAAGGCUGAGGCGCAUUAAUACUGAACUCGGCAAGCUCAAAAUCUGUCUAGUUGUGUCUAGAAAUUUUGGACAUCAACAAUGUGAAUCUCAACUUGUCUCGAUUAUUGCCAAGAUAUUUGAGAAAAAAAUGCAAAAUGAAUCUGAAACAAAAGUUUCAGUGACUAUACGUUUGAGACAAAUUGUACUUAACAAAAGUUUGGACAGUGGGUCAUUGAAUUCUGAAGUUAUCUGAAUGUGCAUGAUGGGCCAACAAAUACCACCAUUUUCUAAUUUUUACAGAAUUUUUUGAAGUCUAGCCGUUCCAACAGCACGUGGGUCUUUUAGAAUGUACAUUACAAUCAGAUGGAUAAAUUCACUUAAGCAUGGUGGUAGAUUUAUUUAGGUGUGGCGUUACAGUAGCACUUCCAUGGAUUGACUGUCAUUAUCUUACAGGCUGGAUACUUAUCAUAAUAUCUGUAUCACAGUAGCUUGAAUACAAGUUUAAGAAAAAAGCUUCACAACUCCAUCCGAUUUUUCAUAUCAGUCUACUUAAGCCAUUUUAUCAGGAAUCGCACGAUUGGUCAAAGAACUUGUCAAUGAAGACACCUGCGGGCAUGAGAGACGAGUACGACAAAGUUGCCGAGGAGAUUGUGGCCAAUCAUACUAUCUGACACAAGAAUCGCGCACUAUCAAAGGAGUACUUGGUGCGAUGGUGUGGGCUACCGAAGUCCGAGAUCAGUUGGGAGCUGGCCGAGAAGCUGUGGCAACUUGAGGAGCUCAUAUAGGCGUAUGAAACUAGUUAAGACAUUAGGCACGAUGCCUCGUUCAAGUGGGGGAGGAUGACAUGGAUCGCACACAAACCACGCGCACCCGCCUCGAGCUGGCCAGACAAGGAGGUUUUGCCAAACAAUAUUAGGAGUGUGUAGAGAGACUUAAAGAUGUCCGGAAUGUUUUAGGCCCUUCGAGGGUCUUGUGGAAUAGCCUAGAACUUGUACAUAAGAGUUUUAUAUUAUAUAGAAGAUUCUAGAAACUAAAUGUAGAAAGACUUAGUACAGAAUUUUCUAGAAACUUGUAUAGUUUUUUUGGCUUGCCUAUGAAUAGGCUAAGUCCCAUUAUUUGUAAAGCAUCUUGUACAAGUGUUUUCAAGAGUAACACGAGUUUUCCUUAGCCUCCAACACUUCUCCUAUUUGCUCACUAUUUUUAGCUUCCGCAUAAUUUCGUGCACUUAGAGGUUAGAUUGAACUAGCGAGGCGUUCAUAGCUCAAGAUUUGAACAACAGCUAGUGCCGCACGGUGCGAGUGCUUAUAGCAUUUUUCUUAAACUUGUAUUCAAGCUACUGUGAUAAGGAUAUUGUGAUAAGUAUCCAACCUGUGAGAUAAUGAUAGUUAAUCAAUACAAGGAAAAGUCAUAACACAUGAAUACAUCAAUAAGUUAUGAUAGUUUUGAUACAUCUCAAUACCGAGGAAAAGUCAAGCCAAACCAAAAACAACUAAAACAAUUGAACGCUCCAGCCAAGCAAAAAAAAAAAAAAAAACUAAGACAAUUGAACUCCUUCAUCUACUGAAGCCAAUGUUUUAAAACUCGGACCGGUGAGUGACCCGGUUGAGUUGUCGGUUCCGAUUUUUCCCAGUUCAACUGACCAGGUCAACGAUUCAAUAUUUUUAUAUUUAUUUUUUAAAAUUACAAAUUCUAAGAAAUAGUCUCUGUCACCAUCAAUGACCCCAUCUGUAGUAGUAAUACGAUCUACGGUGACAAGUGUAUAACAUCAACAUCCCAAAUUUAUCCUUAUGAUUUACAAAGAAUAAUCACAUUAAACAAUUUUGUAGAAAUCAGCCAUUAAUUGUCCUCUUCACCAAAACCAAAAAAAAAAAAAGAAUUUAAGUACAUAGAAAUAAAUUUCAAAUUUUUUGAGGAGAGGUUUCAAACUCCCCAAAACACAAACGAAGAAAUAAGAAAAGAGCGAAAAAAACCAAUAUCUAAUUGAGAAUUGCCUUUGAUCGAAGUUGGAGGUGCAUCUCCACCACCACCACAUUGAACACCACCAGAUCUUGUGAGAUUGGUCUUGGAACGCAACAGUGAUUGACAAAAAACUUUGAUUUUUGAUACCUAAGCAUAUAGUGUAGAUCUUCUUUUAAGUAUCUUUUGCCGUUAAUGAUAAUGUAGCUAAUUUUCUUCUUGAUCUUGUUCAAGAAGACAGAGAAAAAUUUUGAUGUUGGAUUCUACAGUUUUUGCCUUGAAUGACGUGAAUGAAACCAAGAUGAGAGAUUGCGGUUUAAAAGAUGAAGAUAUAAUUUUUGGACUUAUCCUAGAUGCUUUAGACUUCAAUAAGAUAAAGAUAAGGUUGUGGAAUUUGGAUGAUGCUGGAAGCCUGGUAACGGAGGAGUGGUAUUCUCAAUUAUGUUGGUGGACGUUUGGUGUGGAAGAGUAAAUCGAGAAGCAAAUGUAUUAAUUAUUUAGUAAAGUGGGCCAUAUUGAUAAGAAAACUUAAAACCAGACUUUUACGUUUCAACAAGGUUUUACCGAUUUAACGGUUUUGACCGGUUCUUUAACAUCCUCCGGGUUUAGCAUACAACCAAACAACCAGUAUUGGCAGUUCACGGUCGAACCGGUUCGACCGGCCGGUCCAGUCCGGUCUUAAAAAACACUGACUGAAGCUGCUUCUCUUUCCCUUCCUUCUCCUUGGACCAAUGUUUUUAAACUCGGACCAGCCAGUGAACCGGAGAGGGGCCCGGUUCACAGUUCGACCGGUCCGACUGGUCGGACACCGGCCAGUUCAAUGGUUCACUGUUUUUUUUUUUUUUUGCAACUUUAAUGAUAAGUACUUCAUAGGUCUUCACUCUACAGUUUACACUGGAACUUGAUGGCUAAUGUACAAUCUAACAUGGUUAUUAAUAAUUUAAGUCCCUAAAAUACAUUCAUCAAUAUAACUUAAAACUAAAUUUAAGUUGAAAUAAUAAUAAAUUUUUUAAAAAUUAUACAUGAAACCUGAAAUGAUAAAUAUAACUAAAAUAUCAUAAUUCACCGCAAGUUUUCAUAAAUUCAUUACAAACAUAAAUAUAUAUAGCUCAAAUGUUCACCAAUUAUCACAAACAAAAACACAUAAAUAAAUAAAAUAAAUGUUGACAUUCUUUCACAAUUCUAAAAAAGUCCAUAAAAGAGUUCAAUUCAUAUUCAAGGCAAACAAUUUGAAUAACAAACUUCCAUCAUUGGCAUGACAAGGCAACAACACCCUCUUCACAAUUUCUUCAAUUUAACCUGAAAAAGUUAAAAAGUUUAUUACAAAAAAUAUAUAUCUAAUUGGUGAAACUGAAAAAAAAAGCCCAAAAAUUUUGAAAAACAAAGAUACAACCAAACACAAAAAAAAUCAAGUGCUACGGUUGCAUACGAUUUCCUUAUUUUGCAUAUGGUUGCAUAGUAUGAAUCAUAAAUCAUAAAUUAGUUGCAUAUGGUUAUCGUCACAAACAACAUCAAUGGAACAAAAAAGGGCAUUCCAAAGAUUAAUUCCAGAAAAAUACAAAAUUAAAAAACCAAACAUGUCUAAUUUUAUUAAUUUGAUACUUCAUCCAAAAAAUAACUUCACCAAACAUGACUACAAAAUAAUUUAUAACUCAUAGUUUCAUCCUUAACUAAUCAAACAAAAAAUAAAACAUCAAUUAGGGAUAAGGAAAAUGAUGAAAAUUGGGGAAAAAAAGAAGAAAAUAUGACAAAACCCACUAAAGAUAAUAUAGAAAACAAAAAUCAAGAAAAGACAAAAAUUAAACUUACCAAGAUGGAAAAGCUCUGGAGUCUCGUCUAAAGAUAAUAGUGUGAUGAUCUUGUCGUGGAUAUUUGGAUGUGGAAGGAUUAUGAAGAAAAAAUAAAAAAAAAUCAAUAGAUUAACUAGAGAAGCCGAGGAACGGAGGAAGUCAGGAAGUGAAGCCAAGGAGAAAUGUGCCGCUGCACUUUGCUAGCUUGCUAUGUGUUUUCUUAAUGCUAGGGUUUUUUUUAUUUAAUCUGAUUUUAUUUUUUGGUUAAGUUAAAUAAAAUUCUACACAACUAGAGCAUGUCCCUCGGUUGUAUAUUAGUGGUAAGCAUACCUUAAUGCGGUCAUGGAGACCCGAGUUCGAAUCCUACCAGCCUCCAUUCUUGUUAUUGUUUUGAAUUUGAGGUCAUAUUGUUUGCAAAUUUAAGAACCGCCGGUUUACGGUUCAUACGGGUUUUAACGGUUCGUCCGGUUCGUACGGUUUCUAGCGGUUCUUCAUUAGCUUCCGGGUUUGAUGCUGGACCGGACCGGACCGGUGAUGCUACCGGUUCGCAGUCGAACCGGCCGAUCCGGUCCGGUUCUGAAAACAUUGCCUUGGACUGUUCUUUCCCUUCAUCUUCCUUUUCCCUUUUUUUUUUUACUAGUUGCAUGCAAAAGGCAGGUUUCAAAGAGCAUCGUCCCAGAUCAUUGCCCAGCUUCGAUUUAACAUAGUUCCAAGUCACUUUAUCACAAAAAUCACCCAUGUCGCGACCAAUAUUUACCAACUUGUAAGCCAGCAUAUUGUGUUCUCGAUGUACGAGACGCAACACAAUUUCGUCCUUCUCUUUGCCAUAAACACACAUUCUUGCAAGAGGCUGAAAGUGGACUAGGUUCAACGCGAUGAGGCCACUGCACGUAUUGCUUACCUCCAAGCAAUCUAUGCAAAUGAUGAGGCCUCCAUAAUGCCAGUAUUCUUCAUUCUUAGACACGUGCAUCGCGACGAUAGCUACAACCUUCAUUUCUUCGACUCCUGACUUUGGUUUAUUUUUAUCAAAGAUUGGUAUGCGAAAGCAAUAUACAGAAUCUAAUCUACUCAAAGGGUAGUAGAUUAGGAGUCCAUCUCCAACUAUACCAAUAUAACGUUGUCUUGGCACUUGUGGAUCCUUCUUUCAUUCAAAACAAACCAAAGAAGCAUCCAUGUAUACAGUUGGGAACUCAUACCCUAUGCCAAGCGGAUUAGGCAAUCGAGUGAUUGGCAGAUGUUUGGUCUCCUUCACCAGCCCAUCAUCCUUAGCCACUAUCUUGAAUCCCUUCGAUCUCAUGUAGACAAGCAGGUGGGGCUAUUGUUUGGAAAGGGUGAUCAUAAAAAGGGUCAUGUACUGCUUCUUCGUGAUAUACAUAAGGCCCACCUUUAAAGGAUGACAUGCAAUUAUGCAAGGAAGUCUUCCACCAAUGUGUGAAAUUCGUCACAAUUUGAACCAACUUGCCAUACUUCUACAAUCAAAUACUAAAAAUCAAACUUUAAACUUUAAACCCAAACAUAAACAAAAACAACAAACAUGUUCUGAAUUAGAUUUUGAGAGGAAAGAAUUACGAAGAAUCUGUAAGAAAAAAGGGAAGAAAGAGAGGGAGAAUAAUAAAGGAAGAAAGGAAUUUUAUUUAUCAACAAUCAGCAAUAAUUCCUAGCAACAGUGAUUUGACCUCUUUAAACAAAGAUACAGUCUUGUCAUGCUAAUAAUUGUCAUGCUAGUAAUUGCCUUACUAGACUAAUCAACCCAAUUGUAACUUAGAAGACAAAGAUACAGCAUUGUCAUGCUAAUAACUGCCUUACCAGACCCAAUUGUAACUUAGAAGAUACAACACUGAUAAUUGUAACUAACUUUAGGCAUGCAGACUUAAUAUUGUAACUUCUACUGAUAAUUGUAACCUAUGUUUUUUGAUUCAGACCAGGUAUCGAUUCAACUGAACUCGAGGGUCAGGGAUCAAUGGGUUUGAUUGGAUUCAACCGGAGGUCGAAUUGGAUGACGUCAUAAACACAUAUUAAUGAUAUAUAAUUAAAAUAAUAUAUAAAAAUUCCCUUUAAAUUGGUGGUUUACAACUUUAUAUACAUAUUUGAUGAGUUUGGAUUUAAUCCAAAAGAAAUGCAAUUAAAAAUUAUAGGUAAAUUUGUAGUUUAAAAAAUAUAAUGGAUGAAUUUUGUACUUCUUAAAAUAAUAUAGGGUCAAAAUGAAAUUUUUAGUUUAUCCUGGGACCUUUUCUUCCUCCUAUUCACCAUAACUCUUUUCUUGUCCUUUAUCCCCACAAUAACUCUUUUCCUCCCAUUCCUUCUUCUUCCGCUCCAGUAAUAUUCUUCCUAUUUCUUUGUCUGUUCCUCAAGUCUCCACGCUGCCUGCAACCACUUCAUUUAUCUUGUUAUCUUCCUUUCAUUGCCAAUCCUACGGCUAUUUCAUUUUUUCGUUUUCUUGAUUUUUUUUACCUUUGCAAAUUUGAUUUUGUUAGUUUUUUCUUGUCAAACUCAGAAAAUAUCAAACUUUUCAUCUUUUUAUUUUCUAAUUUCUCUUUUCUUUAUGUUUCUCCUUUCUGCAAUUUUCUUUGUCUUUUUUUUUUCAUUUAUUGACAUGAGAUCUAUGAGAUCUUAUUUAAAAAUUAAUUAUAAGGGCUGGUUUUGAUUGAGUCCAUGCCAGCUAAUGAUAUGUGGGAAGAACUGGAAGAAAGCUAUGUUGCUGAGAAUUGAACUCACAGGCGGGUAAAAAAAGCUUAGAAGAAAAGGAAAAAUGGAAAAGCCCGAUUUCAGAGGUUGUACCGGUUCCCAGUUGAACCCCAAUUUUGACCGAGUUUUGGCCAAUCGAGUUUUAAAGACAACUUGGACCGAAUGCCUGCCCGAUUCUCGAUUCAAUCGGUCCAACCGAUUAGUUCGAUCCGAAUUUAAAAACAUGGAUUGUAACUAACAACCACUGAUGUUGUUGUGGCAUGUAGAUUUAUUCAAUCAUUCUAUUUACAAUUGCUAGCAAUUAAUUGCAAGUCGUAACAAAACACAUUGUUUCCUUUGCAACGCCUCGCCUAUCCCUGCGAUGUGCAUAGCCCAUAGCCACUACACGGACAACAACCAUUAGGUUCGACAAAAACCAUUUGAUUAGACCAUUAGACUUUAGACCAUUGCACUUGACAAACCAAAUUAUAAGGAUAAAGAUAAUAUGGUAAAGGACAAAGACUUACCUUUGUAAAAGGUAAUAUCAGAUCCCUACCCUCGCACUAUCAAAAAAUGUAAUUCAAAAUAUUAGGAUACUUCAGCAUACAUAAUUUAGUCGUUAGAUUGGCAAUAUACAAAUUAUAAGGAUCAUUAUAACUCACCCCAUUGCUUUCAGAUUUGGAGAAUGAGGCGAACUUAAUAUUUCAAGGGCUAUCAAUUUCUAGAAAACACAAAAACAUAGAAAAUUAACUUCUCUAGGAGGCAUGGAAGCACUAACACUAAAGUGACAAGAAAAAUCAAGAAAAAGAACACAUAAAAGAACAGAAGCACAAUCAUAUGCCUUCCAAAUAUAUAAACCACAUGUCAAUCCAAACAAUUUAAAAAGUCGCACAACUUAAUCCAAACAAAUUAAGGAAAAAAACUAAAUAAUCACCUUAGUAGGACCAUUAAUUGAACGCGGAACGCUGGGCUUUGCUGGACUUGUGCAAUACUACAAUUCCAAACAUCAUAAAUACGCUCGUUACACAUACAUCUAAAUAAUAUAUAAGCAAAAGUAAACAAAAGGCUUUACAGCCUUUACAAGAUUCAAAACUCCAAAUCACACUAGAACUCACUUAAUUAAACAUUAACUACUAAGAAUUAACCCUAAUUCGAUCCUACUAACCCCUAACACGGCUCACUGUGGUCAACAUGGCCCUUAGCCAUUUAUUUAACCAAAUCAAUGACUCAAGUGACUUAAUCAAACGCUGGAAAUAACUUCACGAUUUGCAAUAAUGGGAACAAACAGCAUCACUAAAACAAACUUCAGUUUUAACUUAAGAAAAUGAUUAAGUGACAUCAAACUUUCUCCAAACAACUUGAAUGGCUUCGUUGCUAGCUAGAUUCUGUAUCAUUCCCCUCCUCUUGAAAGCAAUUUGCCCACAAAUCGAUACACGAAUUGUUACAAGAGGAGUUACAUGCCAUCGGGUCAACCUUGUGAUGAUCACAAUAAAAAAUUUCAUCCAACGCAAAAACCAUCACUUGCAAAGAUUGAAAGGACAUCUUUUCGCACCUUGAAUCCCACGAACCAGCCUCAAUGCAUGCUCAACCAAAUCUGGUUUAACACAGGAAAAUAAACAACAAGUGACGGUAUGUGUAAAAGGAUCUGAAAACUUAUCACUUGUAUCCAAAAGAUAAGGAUUUUCAAAGUGGUGCGAGGUAUAUCCCAUGAAGCCGAACUCCUCAUGCUCGAAUAAACUUGCAAGAUACAAAAACUGAUUUGGUGAAGUUGAACCAUUACAAGGACCAACUACAAGUCAAAGAUAGUAGUUGUAAUGAUCAUUGAAGAACUCGCUCCUUAAACGAACUCUUGGUACACAAUCAGCUCCAAUGUCUACACAAGCAAGGCACCAAAGAUUAGCAAUCAGCUCAGAAAAAAAUAAAAAAUAAGAAAAAUAGUUUAAUUAAAAAAAUGAAGCAACUUAUGAAUUUAAAAGACAUAUGGGUAUGCACGUUAAUAUGAUUAUGCGUGUGCUUAAAAAGAUAAAAAGAAGAGAAAAACUAAUAUUAGAAUUUAAGUGCCGUUACAUGCCCAACAGUGUCUAACAGGCUUCUAGUACCGAUGGCCUUCCUAAAAGUGCAAAAGGCUAUUAGAAAUGUGUAAGCACAAAUUUUGUUGCCUAAAAUAAAAGACAAGAAAACUUGCACAAAUAUCAAAUUUAUUAAAUUAAAUAAUAAGUAGGCUACAAUCUCUGAAAAUUCUUGAAUCAAAGAAAUUAAUCCCCUGAUUCUUUUCUUCGAAUAGCUUCAAUUGAAGGGCCGAAAAGACUUGUUCUCCAAUCGAAAGGGUGUUUCCUACAAUUUCGGCGUAGAAAACGAUUGAUUUGAUGAUGGCGUCAAACACUUGGAACUUCGAGUCUUCAACACCGAUAGCAGGAGGAUUUGUUUGACUUGAUUUGGGCUUGGAUUUGAGGAAGAAAGCUCUUGAGGGAAUUUGACAGAGUUUCUCCGAAUGUUAGGGAUUUUUCUAUAUCUUUGCCUUGAGGGAAGACCUCUAUUUAUAGCCAAAAUAUGUAGGCUAGGUCUUCAAGAAAACCCUCAGAAUCUUCCUGCAUUUUGGAUCACUUGUUACCCAAGAAAUCCAUUUAACUUGGGCUUAAAUAUUGGGCCAACCCAGAUAGUCCAUUGUGAAUUAAUAAAUCAAUUAAUUCACUUCAACUUAAAUGGGCAUUACAAUUUUAACUUGAUUUAAUAGCCCAUAUAAUACUGGCCCAAUUUGCAAGUUCAAAACAUAAUGAACUUUUAUCAUUUAAUUUAAUUUAAUCAAGAUCAAUUUAAUUUAAAUAAAUCUUGACUAAAUAAAUUAAAUAAAUUUUCUUUGUCUACAAAAUGAUAUUUGUCUUUAAAAUAAAUUGUGUAAUAUGUUAUUUUUGAAAUCCAUUUCAUAAUUCAUAAAGUUCGGGGAAUAAUAAAAUUUUAUUGAAAGAUUUCAAAUAAUUUUUUUUUUGGAGAAAUAAAAUAAGAACAAAAGUUUAAUAUAUAAUAUAAGAAGGAUUAGCUACUACACGUGCUGUGGGCUAAUGAUGAUUACACUUUGCUUGCACACAUGAGGUCUUCCGUUUGAUCCACCAUUCCAACAUCUUCUAAAAAUUUUUUCCACAACAACAUGCUAGACUUGAGUUCCUUACAAAAUCGGCUAAUUCAUCAGGUUGACCGGUUGAACCACUGAUUCAUUGACAAGUCAACGGAUCUAUUACUUAAACGAUUCAAUUAAAAUCCUAGCUCAACUCAAUAAUCUAUUGACCGAUUGAACCGUCGGAUCAGGUCGGUUUAAUAACUAUGGUUAGUGGUUAUCCUAUGUUGCAUUAUGCAUUUAUUUACAAUUUAUCAAGGGUAGAACUUCUCUAUGGUUUCUGAACUAGGUGGUUAUGUUAGCAAGUUCGUAAAAAAAAUCUGCCACUUAGACUUCCAAAACAAAUUGAGCACAACUCUUGCAGCAGCUGCCAAUGCUUGCAAUAACGCCUCAUUCUCUUCCUUUUCCCCUCUUUUCCUACUUUAUCUUUGCUUAAGGUUGUUGAGCUUGCUCAUUGAAACACUACUAUGUUUAUGCUACUAUAUAAGGGAGCGAUGGAAAGUAGACCACGUGUACAUGUUGAUUAAACAUUUAUGUGAUUUCAUGUCACUGCUAUAGUUUCUUUCUUGUUAGGACCCAAGCGUUGAUGAAACAUUGAAAUGAAAUUAUGUGAUUUCAGGUCACUGCUAUAGUUUCAUUCUUGUUAGGACCCAAGCGUUGAUGAAACAUUGAAAUGAAAUUAUGUGAUUUCAGGUCACUGCUAUAGUUUCAUUCUUGUUAGGACCCAAGCGAGCAGAGCAAAUCCAGAUAUAUGCCGGAGAUGUUGUUCCGCGCAAGAAACCUGAUCCAGUGAUUUGCUGUUCCUUUUGCUCUUACUUUCUACUAAGAUGGCUGGUGAUGAAUUAAAAAUUCCUUAUACUUCUUUACAAAAAGCCUUAAAAAUUUGGAAGUGGGGCAGUUAUAGCUACAAAGCAGCUGCUUGGAUUUUCUCAAGUGAAGUGAAAAGAAUGAUAUACCUUUGUUUUGCUUCCUGCAAGCAUGACACUAAGAUUUUCCUGAGAAAAUAUUAAACCAUAUGGCGCUUUGAUGAUCACGAUUGCAAUUUGAUUUUCUGGAGAACAAUGAGGAUAAAGAUGUUAAUAUUGGUGCUCUGUUGUUCUUUCUUUUCAGGCCAUUUAUCUGUUAGCUUCCAGCACUCUGGGUGUUGACCCUUCAAGGUAUUGCAUAUGCAAUAGAGUAUGAUGGCAUGGAUGACCUAGCUGAAUGUGAAGAUCCUGAGAUUCAAACUUGUUGAACAAAGCUUAAAUGUGCUUUUAAUUGGUGACGGGCUUUACUUUUAAUUGUCGGAACGAUGACUUGCUUCUCAUUGUUUACAGUUGCGUUGUGAUAGAAGACAGUGCCAUAGGUCUUGCUGCUGCAAAAGCUGCUGGGAUGAAGUGUAUUGUAACAAAGAGCGGGUAAGUCUGAUAUCUUAUGAACAACAAAUAGCUCGUCAUAGGAUUGAAAAUCUCUCUUUUGGCAGUUAAGGGCAAGAGAACAUUGCCAUGUAUAUAUCAGUAGCUUGAUGUUGAUCUCAAUAUGAAUGCAUUUGCCGGAGCGCCUAUUACACCAAUGCACCCUUAUAGAAGAAAUUUCAAUGUUUACGCUGCUAAUAAUUUAUUGUUUGUUCAGAAAUAAACGAAAUUUUCAACUCUCAAGGUUAAUGCUUUGAGAAUGUAAGCCAUGGGAAGAGAAGGGUUGUCAUUUAUCCCAAGCAAUAGAAGGAAAGAACAGAAAGAAAAAGUUUCUCAAAACAAUAUGACUUAUUUGCAAUGCAAGAAGGAAAUAGGUAGUAAAGUCCUUACAGUCUAGGACAAAUAAAAAAAUAAUGGCUUUGGUCUAUCUUAUUUCCUGUUGUAUAAGUACUUAUUAAGCCCGUGAGGCGGUCUGGCUAACGCUUGAAGAAAGCAUCAAGAGACUGGUUUUUACUUGUAUCUUUCAAGUGCUCUAAGGUAAUGAUCUUAGACCCCUGCAGCAGCAGUCCCAAAAUUACUUGCUGUUUUAUUUGGGAAGGUCGUUUUAUUUAAGUUGUCAGCUAUAAAAUAUGAUGCAUGAUCUUGUAAGGCAAUUUUGCUCCUAUCUGGUUUUUAUCUAGGAGCAACACUUGAUUACCUAUCAACUCGCCUAUCAAUGUGAUCAGUCUCAAACUUUAUAACUUCACAACAAUGGACAGGCAGAAUCAUAUUAUUAGUAUCUUUGAAGUCUCAGUGAUCUAACUUUUCAUGGCAUGAAUGAUCCUGAGUUGGUCGUUUCUUCAUUCUUUGAUCUGAUAAACGAAUAUCAAUAAUUUGAUCAAUCUUUCCUUUGUGCAGGUACACAGCUGAGGAGGAUUUCUUAAAUGCUGAUGCAGUUUUUGAUUGCAUUGGAGAUCCUCCAGAAGAAAGAUUUGACUUAUCAUUUUGUGGAAGCCUUCUGGAGAAACAAUAUGUUAGUUAGAAUCAUUUUGUUAAAUGAGAUCAACUUCAGCAUACCACCAUUGUAUGUUAUAUAACUUCCCUGGACAAAUCCAGCUGGAAUCCAGAAAUUCAACUGAGUCUUCCUUGAAAUUUUCUAAAACUUUCACAAUUAAGAACUAGUGAUCUUGACUCCAAAAUCCAAAUUAGAAAUGGGAAUAAACUGUUGCAAGUCCUUAAAGGCAUCAACAUUUUUCACCAAAACCAUUCAUGAUCACCAUAGUCUGAAAUGGCAGAUUGACAUCAUUUAACAAAUGUUAUCUUUAAUGUUUUACUUAUCAUCCUAUGAUGAAUAGAAUGGAAUGAAUUGGACCAAGAAAAAGAUUAAUCUCUUUCAAUUCUGACUCCACUGUAAAGAUGUAGAUAAUUUCAUUCCACAGAUGCUAAACUUAAGCGUCCUAGGAUUGUACCUCUAAAUUAUGGUUAUUUCUUCUAAUGCAGCAAAUGCUAUUUUUGGAGGUGUUUGUGAAAAAUUUUACUAUAACGGCUCAUGUGAAAAACUUUUACUGUAGAUGGUUAAGUGUUUUUUGGAAUUUUUUUUGAAGGUAUUUUUGAGAAUUACUUUGGAAUAUUUUUCGGAUUAGAAAUUUUUGAGAUAUUUUUUAAAAAAGGAACACCGCCUACCACCACCCUUGAUCACCACAAUGAGGGUGGGUACCUGUGAGAAAAGAAUGAUGCAGGAUUGGGGUGGGGCCAGGUCCCAUCCCUCGCCCUGCUCUCCGCCUAUAUUUUGAUAUAUAUAUAUAUAUAUGUAUAUAAUAUGUGUAUGUUUUUAUAUGUGUAAUAUGAAGUAAAUACUAUGUUAUUGUUAUUAUAUAAACAUAUUGUAUGAAAUAAGUAACAUAUUAUGUUGUUAUGAUACAAUAAUGUAAUAUUUUGAUUAAAAACUUCAAAAUAAUUAUUAAUAAAACUAUUAUUAUAUUUAUAUAAAUUAAAAAGUUAAAUCAAAUAAUAAUAAUAAUGAGAGUAGGGCGAUUCAAGGCACCCGUGGGUGUAGUGGGGCAGGGCGGGGGUUGGGGGACAAAGCAAGUGGGUGCACGGCUGCACGCAUCUGAAAACCGUCUGUUGACAUUUAAUGAUGGCAGUGGGUGGAAGAAGAAAAUAUGGUAGAAUUUAUUUUGUUAAAUUUUUAAAAUUUUUGUAAGUUGUAUUUGAGAUUGUGUCUGCUUUGGAGUUUUAUUGUGAACUCUACAAACAAACUUAUAUAUAUAUAUAUAUAUAUAUAUAUGUUUUAGUUAAAGAAAAAAAAUGGCAAUCCAUUCAGAGUCAAAACUUUUAGCUGUGGCAAUUUCCCUAUUUGAAGACCAUGUAAGUCCAUUUUAAAAUGAUAUGAUUUUUUUUUACUCAACUUGUUUUUUAUUUUUAUUUUUACCAAAGUACCUUGAUAUGCACAAAAGAUUGUCCUAACUCUGGAAUAUAUUUGCCCAAACAAAAAGAGAAAGAAUUAAACUAAUGACUAACGAUUAAGGAUGAGGCGCAUUAAUAAUGAACUCGGCAAGCUCAAAAUCCAUCUAAUUGUGUCUAGAAAUUUUGGACAUUGAAGAGGUGAUUUUUGGCGGGUAAUUAGUCCAGCCGAAAUCAGCUCUCUUGUUAAGGUGGUGAGGUGAACUCGCUUAUCUCACAUCGGGUGGAAUGAAGUGAGGUUGCACGGUCAAAGUGGAUGGCGGGGCUUUUCCCCUGGGAUCACUCCGACGAUCAAGUUAGUAUGAGAACGAGAAUAAUAAGAGUAUGAGUGAGUGAACAGUAUGCUUACUUGCGGGAGGUAUGCGAGGGGUAUUUAUAGGUCAGGAGGGAAUGCUAGGACGGAGGGCUGAUGCUGGUGGGACCCACUCUCUGGCAUUACGGCUCUGUCCCCUGUCAGGAGGCCUGACCCUAACACUGCAGCCUUCUGGGUAUGAUGACGGCGAGUAUUGUGCAGGUGCCAUUAAGUGCCUCCAGUGCUUUUCAGAUAAAGCACUGGUCCUGAGUGGUGUCAGGUGGCUUGACAUCAUCAGCGUGCAACUGAGGUGAAGGUGUCGAGGUCACCUACACGGUAGACUCGGGAUCCGGCCGAGUUCAGGGGUUAUGCCCAAGACAGAUGAGCUCUAAGGAGGGACGAGGUGAGUUCACCCCGGACACGCGGGCGGCCGAGGUAAGCAUCAUCAAUAAACCCCCCAAGUCUCAGGAGCUCCGGGCCAGGGAGGUACCGAGGCUUCCUCGUGCCGAGGUCAUGAAGAGUCGGGGUCCCGAAACUGCUCCGGAAGAUGCGGGGACGUGACACGUGGGCGAGUCAAUUGACAGGACGUGGGGGACAGUUGACACGCAACCGUCACGUCGUGAAGUAGUGGAACGUUUCGCGCUGAUGGGGUGUCAGUCGAAAGGACGGGUCAUUAAUGAAGAGAGAGAGAGGUGUGGCGUUUUGAAUUCGAAGGUGGCUGCCUCUUCGCAUUCUUGCCGCCUCUUCGAUUUUCCUCGGACCCUUAUAAAUAGGGGGUCUUUUUCACCGGAUGGCCCAUCACUUUCUUUCUCUGCCAGCGACUUGCAAAAUUUUACGAGUGUUGCCGAGGUCAGUCUAUUAGCCGAGAUCACAGCCGAGGUCAUCAACUUCGUCCAGUUCCGUAGACAAUAGUAAGUAUCCCUUUUUCUUUCUUAUCUCGUCUUUCACUCAUGGCCAAAACAGCUAAGACCCACAAAGAAACCGUGACACCGAGCUACCAGACCGAGGUGAGGCCGGAUCCUGAGGAAGAAGCGACGACGUCCAACUCUGAUGGGUCGACGCCGAGUUCUGAAGAAGGAUCAACCGAGGUGAGAGCCGACGAGGCGGGCUCGGAGCUGGAGUCAUCCGAGAUGAGCAAGGGUGGCUCCGAGGUGGUCUAUAAUGAGAAACUCGGCGUUGAGGUACCACGCGACGAAGGCGUGGAGGAGCCAGUAGCUCCAAUAGAUGCAGCCAACAUCGACUUCGGCAAGAUGCUGAAGUUCAGAAGUCGAAUAGGACGAGACAGGGCCGGAAAGGUGUUAAGUAAGUACCCUAACACCUUUUCGGCCGCAUUAUGUGAUUAGACCGCCCGGGCCGGAUGACUCAGCCAAGAAGCCCCCCAUGGGCAUGGUGGCCAUCUACGUCCAACAGCUAGAGGCCGGGCUGAGGAUGCCGACGUCGAGGUUCCUCAGGGAUUUGCUUCGUCACUUCCGCGUGAGGAUCACCCAACUCAUCCCGAACGCGGUCCGCAUUAUCAUAGGGUUCGAGAUGCUGUGCCGACAUCAGGAGGUGACUCCCUCUGUCGACCUCUUCCGCCGAUGUUAUACCCUCAAGGCGCACGGUACGGAUAAAGGAUGAUUUUAUGUUUGCAAUCGGAACAAUGCCAUCCCGAAGUUGGUGAUUGGUGCUCCCAACUCGAUCAAGAAUUGGAAGCGUGACUUCUUCUUUGUAUCCGGAGUGGACUUCCCCAGAGGUUUUUGGUGGAGGCCAAUUAAAGCGAAGGCCGACCCCUCCGUAGGGGAUGCCGAGGAGGAGGCCUUCCAGAAGUUGAUGGGGUCGGGACUUCGGCUGUUCAGUCUAAACUACCCCGAAGCCGUGCUAGUUGAUGGGGGAAUUAGCCGAGCUUUGCUCCAUCCUGACAAGACUCCCUUCACUUCCACUAAACUUGAGAUACCUUGUAAUUUUCUUUCAUAGCUUUGCUUUCACUUCAACUAAGGCAUAUGAUAAUAUUUGUUUCCUGUGCAGUGACUAAGCUAUCUGACAUCGUCGUAUCGGGCUCGUCCGAAGUGGCCAAGAGGCAGAAGAGGAAGAGCACCGAUGAGACAUCAGCACUUCCGCCGCAGAAGAAGAAGUCCCAAGGACAGACUGCCAAGACCUCGGCGGCUAAAAGCACUCCCACCAAGGUUGGCCAGAGCAGCUUGGCCACCGCGGCUACUAGGUCCACCUCGUCUGUGCCAGAGGGGGUGCCCCUUGGAGUCGUCACGGCACUCCCCCCUCCUCAUGGCCGAGGCAAGCAGUUGAAACCCCCGAUAAAUGCAGUCUCGGGGACCUCGCUAUGGAAUCGUUUCCAUAGCCCCCCGGUGUUUCCCGAGGAGGAGAAGACGCACCCCGGUGAGCAUUGGUGUCCGAACUGGAAAAUUUCGGUCAACGACAGGUGCCAGCAUUCUCGGGUUGCCCAAGAGCUAGUAAUGCACUCCCCCUUACCAAGGGAUUUGGAGUUUAUGAAGAAGCUGUCCCCGGCUGAGAUGGUCCAAAGCCUCAUGGUGUCCACAGCUUCCACCUCGGCCUUUGUUGGCGAGAUGACACACUGGUACUGUACUCUGGUCGAGGAGCAGGAUACCGGCAAGUUGCAGAAUCAGAUCUCCAAGUUGGAGAAAAAACUGGCGGUGUCCGAGUCUGAGAAGGUCGAGCUUGAAAGACGGCUUAAGGAGGCCGAGGUGAAGGAUGAGGAGGCCGUGGCUACCAUCAACAGUCUCAAAUCGGCCCUCGAGGAAGAGCAGAAGAGGGGGGACGUAGUGAAGAAGUCACAUGAGCAAGCUCUCGAGGGUGCUGGAGCCUCGGCCGUGGACGCUUUUCGGAAGUCCGAGACUUUCAUCAGGGACCUCGGCCAACUGCUCACGCCGAACUUUAUGUUUGGCUUCACAUCAGCCAUAGACGAGGCCGCAGCUCACAUCUCCUCCGAAGCCUUGGAGUCUUUGAAAAAUCAUGCCAGCUACAAUGAGGACUCCAAGAAGUUAUGCGACCGGAUGGCCGAGGGCAUCCAAGCUGGAAGGAACCUGGCUGAGGUCCAGGACGAGUUCAACAAAUGGCUGUCCGAACUCGACGAAGUGCUCGAGGAGGGCGAGGAGGAGGACACUGAGGGAGAUCUCGACGCAAAGGUGGGCGAAGUGCCUGGAGGAGAUGAGCCUCACCCCGGCGGGGAAGAGACCGGCGAGAAGGCUGCCCAGGAGGGAGCCAAGACCGGGGAUGGAGCCGAGACGGGGGUCUAGGCUUGUGGGUCCUAAAGGGGUGGCCGAGAUGGAGAUUGUUUAGUAGCGGUCCGACCUUGGCCUUGUAUUUUUUGUAACACCUCCUUUCUGUUGAAUGAAAGUCUAUUUUUUCUCAUCUCAGCACUUUAAUUUCUUAUUUCGACUUCGUCCCUUGCUUGUCCCCCUUAUUUUUUUAAUAGCGCAAUAUCGAUGUUGAAAAAUAACAUAACAUCCGAAGUCAUAACUUGAUUAAGAAUUCAAGCAUAAUACAAUUUGAGGUUCUCGGCGUGCCAAGAUCUCGGCACUAAUGAGCCAUCUCGGUAACUCAAUUUACAAUAUCCCUUAAAGUCAGAUUCCACAACUCGGUAAGGGUCUUCCCAUUUCGGGCAUAAUUUCCCUUGCGGUUCAGCUCGGCUGACUGAAUUUUUUUUAAGAACCAAGUCCCCAGGAUGGAAUCUACGGUGUCUGACGCGGGCAUUAUAAUAGUGUGCCAGUGUGUUCUUGUAGGAAGCUAUCCGGGCUGAGGCGAGGUCCCUUCGUUCAUCGACGAGGUCGAGAUCCAGCUGUCUCUCUUCGUUGUUCACCUCGGCGGUAUAGGCUGCCAGCCGAGGGUUGGGGGUAAGGAUCUCGGCCGGGAUGACAGCCUCGGCGCCGUAGGUCAAGGAGAAGGGGGUCUCUUGCGUAACUGAUCUCAGCGUGGUUCGAUACGACCAUAGGACACUGGGAAGUUCCUCCACCCAAGAUGACCCAACUCGGUGGAGUCGGGUCUUGAGAUCAUGCAAGAGAGUUCGAUUGAAGUUCUCUGCUUGACCAUUGGCCUGGGGGUGGCCUACCGAAGUGAAAUGUUGUUUGAUGCCAAGGCUUGCGCACCAAUUCUUGAAUGGGUUCUCGGCGAACUGUCUCCCAUUGUCCGAGAUGAUGAUCUGUGGUAUGCCGAAGCGGCAGAUAAUACAUUUCCAAAAGAAUUUUUGAAUGGCCAGCCCUGAGAUGGUCCGCAGAGGCUCGGCCUCGAUCCAUUUGUUGAAGUAGUCCACAGCGGUCACCAGGAAGGUAUAGCCCCCGACUGCUUUAGGGAAAGGGCCUAUGAUAUCUGUCCCCCAUUGCUCAAACGACCAGGGUGAAGUGAUGGGAACCAUAAAGUUUGAGGGCUGGUGGUGCUCGAGUGCAUGGACUUGGCAGGAAGGGCAGCCGAGAACGAGGUCCUGGGCGUCUUGCCGAACUGAGGGCCAGAAAUAUCCAAAAAGCAAAGCCUUCUUGGCUAGCAUUCUGUGGCCGACGUGAGCUCCACACAAGCCUUCGUGGAUCUCAUGGAGGACCUGGCGUCCUGUCUCCGGAGUGACACACCUUAGCUAGGGGCCGAGGUAGGAGCGUUUGUACAGCUCUCCAUCGCGGAGAGCGUACCGAGCCGCCUUGCGUUGUAUCUUCCUUGCCUCGGCUCGGUCUUCAGGAAGGGUUCCCUGACCCAAGAAGAGGAUGAACGGGGUCAUCCAAGUGUUUUCAGAGUGCACAGGGCAAGUCACCUCUUCCAUGUAUCCUGGUUCACUCAGGACUUCCACUAAGACCGUUUUGUUGAGGUCAGAGAAUGAAGUGGAAGCCAGCCGGGAUAAGGCGUCGGCUCGCUUAUUCUGAAACGGGGGUAUUCUUUGGAUUUCGAAAGAUGCGAAGUACGCGGUGAGUUGGUGAACUUUGGAGAGGUACCGUUGCAUGGUCUCAUUCUUGGCCUCGUAUUCACCAAGAACUUGGCGUACAACGAGUUGGGAGUCACUGCGGACAUGAAUCUGUUGGGCGUCGAGCCUGCGGGCUAGCUGGAGUCCAGCUAUCAAGACCUCGUAUUCGGCCUCAUUAUUGGUGGCCGGGAAGUCAAAACGGAGGGCAUACGAACACACCUCUCCCUGAGGGCCUUCUAGGAGCAGUCCAACUCCGCAGCCAUCUCCAUUAGAAGAUCCAUCGACAUACAAUGUCCACAGGGAUGGGGUGGACACCUCGGCAGAGGCGGAGGUGGACUCCGAACCUUCCGUGAAGGUGAGUUCGGCAAGGAAGUCGGCUAAUGCUUGUGCUUUUAUGACGGUGCGAGAUUCAUACGACAAGUCAUAUUCUCCCAAUUCGACAGCCCACUUGGUGAGGCGACCAGAAGCUUCGGGUCGCACCAAUAUCUGGCGGAUGGGCUGGUCGGUCCUGACGGAGAUGGGAUGAACAAGGAAGUAGGGCUUCAAUCGCCGAGCUGCGUAAACUAGUCCCAGCACCAAUUUUUCCACCUGAGUGUAUCGAGUCUCCAACCCGCGGAGAGCUCGGCUGACGUAGUAGACUGGCACUUGAGUGCCCUCAUCCCGGAUAAGAACAGCGCUGACAGCCUCAUCGGCGCGGAGAGGUAGAGGUACAUCGUCUCUUCGGGCCGAGGUGAUGCAAGAGUGGGCAGGUGGUGCAGGUACUGCUUCAGCUGGUCGAAGGCAGCCUGACACUCCUCAGUCCAGGCUAACUGGUCAGCCUUUUUCAGCACCUUAAAGAAGGGCAGAGCUUUCUCGGCAGAUUGGGACAAGAAGCGAUUCAGCGCGGCCAGGCGCCCAUACAGCUUUUGGACUUUUCGGAUGUUCCGAGGUGGGGACAUGUCCUGAAUGGCCUUGACCUUGUCGGGGUCGGCCUCGAUUCCCCGGUGAAAAACCAGAUACCCCAAGAAUUUUCCCGAGGUAACGCCGAAAACACACUUCUUGGGAUUCAGUUUCAUUCUCGAGUCUCGCAGGACACCAAAGACUUCCCUCACAUCUGACAGAAAGGAUGAAGUGGCGAGACUCUUGACGAGGAUGUCGUCCACAUAGGCCUCCACAUUGCGGCCGAUCUGAUUCUUGAAGAGUCGGUUGAUCAGCCUUUGGUAGGUCGCCCCGGCGUUCUUUAGGCCGAAGGGCAUGGUAGUGUAACAAUAAGUACCUCGGUCGGUGUAGAACGCCGUUUUCUCUUGGUCCUCUUCACUCAUCCCUAUUUGAUGAUACCCUUUGAAGGCAUCCAGGAAGCAGAGGAUCACGUAUCCCAUUGUCGAGUCGACGAGGGCGUCUAUCUUCGGCAGAGGGUAGCAGUCCUUGGGACAGGCUUUGUUGAGGUCGGUGAAGUCCACACACAUUCUCCAACCACCGACGUCCUUCUUGACCAUGACUGGGUUGGACAGCCAGGUGGGGUAUUGGAUUUCGUGGAUCAUCUUGGCCGGCAAGAGUUUGUCGACUUCAUCCGAUAUGGCCUUGCUACGUUCGGGGCCGAAAUGCUUUCGUUUCUGCCGAACAGGUCGGGCCUGUGGGUUGACGUUGAGUUGGUGAAUCAUGAGCUCGGGUGGCACUCCGACCACUUCAUCUGCAGACCACGCGAAGACGUCUCGGUGGUCCUUGAUCAGGGAGAUCAUUUCUUCUUUCAGGGGUGAGGGGAGUCCGACCCCUAUUUGGACCACUUGGUCAGGUCUGGCCUCAUCCAAGACCACUUGUUCCACCUCAUUCCUGGGCUCAAGCCUGUUGGGCUCUCCUGCCUUCUGAGGGUUGAUGCAGUCUAUGGAGAAGACAGCCGGCCUCUUCUCUCGUGACCUCGGCGAGGGCCGGGUUUCGACUGCUGCUUGAAUGGUGGCGAGUUGCAUUCUCGGGCGGCGCUCACGUCGUUGCUCACUUCGGCCACUCCCUCAGGUGUCGGGAACUUGAAACUCAGGUGAUAGGUGGAGUACACUGCCCUCAAGGCAUUGAACGUGGGUCGGCCUAUCAGCAUGUUGUAAGGGGAGUCCGCUUUGACCACCGCAAAGCUGACAGGCACAGUCCGGCAGCGCGAAUGAUGGCCGAAGGUUACCAUUAAAGUCACCAUGCCCUCCGGGUGGACGACGUGUCCCCCGAAGCCGACAAGGGGAGUCCUGACCGGAGUGAGUUGCUCCCGGGUCAACUUCAGACUCUCGAAAGUUCGGUAGUACAUGACGUCAACCGAGUUUCCGGGGUCAACAUAGACCUUCUUGACUAUGUAAUUAUUAGUGAGGAUCUCGAUCACGAGAGUCUCGUGAUUGCUGGAAGCGGCAGGGACAGGGUCGCGGGAACCGUAGGUAAUCACCUCGGACAACCUGGAGCUCGGCUCGGCCAGCUCCAUACCGGCUUGCCGAUAAGUCCGUUUCCGGGAGUUCUGACUAUAUCCUCCCGUGGGGCCACCCGAGAUGGUGUUGAUCACCCCGGCAAUGUUUGGGCCGUAGCCUGGUGAUCCGUUGCGUGGAGGUCUCUGAUCCCCCUUAGGUUCCUCGGGACCUCGGCAAUGAAGUUUCAUAUCUCGCCUGUCUUCUCGGCGGGGACCUCGGCUCUCCCGUUGGGAGGCGCUUCGGUUGAAAGUUCCAUCCUUGCGGACAAACUGCUUCAAGAAUCCCUGGCGGAUCAGGUUCUCAAUCUCUCGCUUCAAAUCAUUGCAAUCCUCGGUCUCGUGCCCAACAUCUCGGUGGUAGGCACAAUAGAGGUUGGAGUUCCUCCUAUCCCUCCUUCCCGAAAUCUCAGGAGGUGUUCGACUGAGGUGAUUUUGCCUCAUCACCUCCAAAACAUGAGACCGGCUAGAAUUAAGGGGUGUCAGCUCGGCGUCCGAGGUGGACGACCUCCCCUUCACGAUCCGGUCGAAGACACUCCGACGGUCUCGGAGUUGGUUUGAAGUACCACUUGGGCCUGGUUCACUUCGGCCGGUGUCUUUCUUUCUCCGGGGAUCUUGCCCUGUACGAGAUGCCUGGGCUUCUCGCUUCAUGCGGUUUACAUCCUCACUUCGGAUUCCCUGGUCCACCCUUUCCCAUAGUUCCCGAAGUGUACGGGGGUAAUCCCGGUGGAUCUCGGUGUUGAAGAUCCCUGCCACUAACCCGUUGGUGAAGGCGGCGAUGGUUAGCUGUUCGUUCUGGUCAGGUAUCUGCACAUUCUCCCCGUUGAACCUUUGAGCAUACGAGCGAAGUGACUCGCCCUGACCCUGUUGUAGGUUCAAGAGGUAAGUUGAAGUUUUGGUGAUGGGUCGGGACGACACAAAGCGGUGGAUGAACCGGUCUAUCAGUUCAUCCAGGGAGGAAAUGCUCCCUGGUUCUAAACUCCAAAACCACUUCCGGGCAGUCCCAUGUAGGAAAUGGGGAAAGCCCGACAAAUCACGGCGUCGGGGACGCAGUAGAGUCGGAAUGCAGAGAUGAAGGCGCGGAGGUGAUUCUCGAGGUCACCUCGGCCGUCAUAGGUGUGCAAGUUUGGGAGUUUGAAAUUCGGGGGAACCAUCUCCCCAUUGAUGUCAUCAGUAAAGGGCGGAACCCUCAUGUAGUCAGAAGUUAGGCCCCCGGGGCGCCGAGGUGGGUCCUCGGCCCGUUUCCCUAGCAGUCCUCGGGAAAACGCCCGGGAGAUGGAGGCAAAUUUAGAGGUCCCCUUGUAGGAGGCGCGCCUGGAGGUAUUCCGAGAGAGGCGCCCCUCAUCAGAGUCCUCACCUAAGGGCACUUCAGGAGACUUCGUCGGCCUCCUCUUGGAAGACUCUGCAUUUUCUUUCCCCUGUCUUUUGAGGUAUCUUCCUAGCUCCUCAAAGAUGUUGGGGUUGUCUGAUACGAACUCGGCCAUCUUGGCGAUGGCGUCAUCGUUGUCGGGCUGGGUCCUUUGGGACCCUUGUUCUUCAGAGAUGCGGUCUUGCUGGGCUCCCGAGGUCGGCACAGCCCCUGUUGAGGGAACCCUUCCGCUUCUAGAGCGCGUGGAUCUCAUUCUAGUAAUAGUAGUCUCGUUCCCACAGACGGCGCCAAUUGAAGAGGUGAUUUUUGGCGGGUAAUUAGUCCAGCCGAAAUCAGCUCUCUUGUUAAGGUGGUGAGGUGAACUCGCUUAUCUCACCUCGGGUGGAAUGAAGUGAGGUUGGACGGUCAAAGUGGAUGGCGGGGUUUUUUCCCUGGGAUCACUCCGACGAUCAAGUUAGUAUGAGAACGAGAAUAAUAAGAGUAUGAGUGAGUGAACAGUAUGCUUACUUGCGGGAGGUAUGCGAGGGGUAUUUAUAGGUCAGGAGGGAAUGCUAGGACGGAAGGCUGAUGCUGGUGGGACCCACUCUCUGGUAUUACGGUUCUGUCCCCUGUCAGGAGGCCUGACCCUGACACUGUAGCCUUCUGGGUAUGAUGACGGCGAGUAUUGUGCAGGUGCCAUUAAGUGCCUCCAGUGCUUUUCAGAUAAAGCACUGGUCCUGGGUGGUGUCAGGUGGCUUGACAUCAUCUGCGUGCAGCUGAGGUGAAGGUGCCGAGGUCACCUACACGGUAGACUCGGGAUCCGGCCGAGUUCAGGGGUUAUGCCCAAGACAGAUGAGUUCUAAGGAGGGACGAGGUGAGUUCACCCCGGACACGCGGGCGGCCGAGGUGAGCAUCCUCAGACAUCAACAAUGUGAAUCUCAACUCGUAUCGAUUAUUGCGAAGAUAUUUGAGAAAAAAAUGCAAAAUGAAUAUGAAACAAAGGUUUCAGUGACUAUACGUUUGAGACAAAUUGUACUUAACAGAAGUUUGGACAGUAGGUCAUUGAAUUCUGAAGUUAUCUGAAUGUGCGUGAUGUGCCAACAAAUACCACCAUUUUCUAAUUUUUGCAGAAUUUUUUGAAGUCUAGCCGUUCCAACAGCACGUGGGUCUCUCAGAAUGUACGUUACAAUCAGAUGGAUAAAUUCACUUAAGCAUGGUGGUAGAUUUAUUUAGGUGUGGCGUUAAGGUAGCACUUCCAUGGAUUGACUGUCAUUAUCUUACAGGCUGGAUACUUAUCACAAUAUCUGUAUAACAAUAGCUUGAAUACAAGUUUAAGAAAAAAGCUUCACAAUUCCAUCCGAUUUUUCAUAUCAGUCUACUUAAGUCAUUUUAUCAAGAACCGCACGAUUGGUCAAAGAACUUGUCAAUGAAGACACCCGCAGGGCAUGAGAGAUGAGUACAACAAAGUUGUCGAGUAGAUUGUGGCGGAUCAUACUGUCUGGCACAAGAAUCCCACAUCAUCAAAGGAGUACUUGGUGCAAUGGUGUGGGUUAGGGGUAUUCACGAAUCGAGCCGCUCGCGAGUAUGAGCUCGAGCUAAUUAAGCCGAACUCGAACUCGAACUCGAGCUAAAAAACAUUAAGUUCGUUGGCUUGCGAACGGCUCGCGAGCUCAAUUAUAUAUAUAUAUAUUUUUUUUUUAUUUUUUAUUUUAAUAGUAAAAUUACACAUAUAUCCCUAAUAUUUUAUUAUUUGUUAAAAAAUUAUUAUUUUAUUUAUUUUUAAAAAUUAAUAAUUUUUUUUUAUUUUUUUAAAAUAAAUUUAUUAUUAUUAUUUUUUAUUUUUUAAGCUCGAGCUCGACUCAACUCGAACUUCACAAAAUUAACUGGAGGCUUGGCUCGAUUAGGCCAAAACUCAGUUCGACUCGACUCAUUUGCAUCCCUAGUGUGGGCUACCGAAGUUUGAGAUCAGUUGAGAGCCGGCCGAGAAGCUGUGGCAACUUGAGGAGCUCAUAUGGGCGUAUGAAACUAGUUAAGACAUUAGGCACGAUGCCUCGUUCAAGUGGGGGGGGAUGACAUGCACCCGCCUCGAGCCGGCCAGACAAGGAGGUUUUGCCAAACAAUAUUAGGAGUAUGUAGAGAGACUUAAAGAUGUCCGGAAUGUUUUAGGCCGCUCGAGGGUCUUGUGGAAUAGCCUAGAGCUUCUACAUACGAGUUUUAUAUUAUAUAGAAGAUUCUAGAGACUAAAUGUAGGAAGACUUAGUGCAGAAUUUUCUAGAAACUUGUUUAGUUUUUUUGGCUUGCCUAUAAAUAGGCCAAGUCCCAUUAUUUGUAAAGCAUCUUAUACAAGUGUUUUCAAGAGUAACACAAGUUUUUUUAGCCUCCAACACUUCUCCUAUUUGCUCACUACUUUUAGUUUCCGCAUAAUUUCGUGUACUUAGAGGUUAGAUUGAACUAGCGAGGCGUUCAUAGCUCAAGAUUUGAACAAUAGCUAGUACCGCACGGUGCGAGUGCUUAUAGCAUUUUUCUUAAACUUGUAUUCAAGCGCCGUGAUAAGGAUAUUGUGAUAAGUAUCCAACCUGUGAGAUAAUCAUAGUUAAUCGAUACAAGGAAAAGUCAUAACACAUGAAUACAUCAAUAAGUUUUGAUAGUUUUGAUACAUCUCAACACCGGAGAAAAAGUCAAGCCAAACCAAAAACAACUAAAACAAUUGAACACUCUAGCCAAGCAAAAAAAAAACUAAAACAAUUGGACUCCUUCAUCAACUGAAGCCAAUGUUUUAAAACUAGGACCAGUGAGCGACCCCGAUUGAGUUAUCGGUUCUGAUUUUUUCCAGUUCAACUGAUUUAACUGGCCGGGUCAACGGUUCAAUAUUUUUAUAUUUAUUUUUUAAAAUUACAAAUUCUAAGAAAUAAUUUCAAUCACCAUCAAUGACCCCAUCUGCAGUAGUAAUACAAUCUAUGGUGACAAGUGUAUAACAUCAACAUCCCAUAUUUAUCCUCAUGAUUUACAAAGAAAAAUCACAUUAAACAAUUUUGUAGAAAUCAGCCAUUAAUUGUCCUCUUCACCAAAACCAAAAAAAAAAAAAGAAUUUAAGUACAUAGAAAUAAAUUUCAAAUUUUUUGACGAGAGGUUUCAAACUCCCCAAAACACAAACGAAGAAAUAAGAAAAGAGCGAAAAAAAACCAACAUCUAAUUGAGAAUGGCCUUUGAUCGAAGUUGGAUGUGCAUCUCCACCGCCACCACAUUGAACACCACCAGAUCUGGUGAGAUUGGUCUUGGAACGCAACAGUGAUUGACAAAACACUUUGAUCCUUGAUACCUAAGCAUAUAGUGUAGAUCUUCUUUUAGGUAUCUUUUGCUGCUAAUGAUGAUGUAGCUAAUUUUCUUCUUGGUCUUGUUCGAGAAGAUAGAGAAAAAUUUUGACGUUGGAUUCUAUGGUCUUCGCCUUGAAUGACGUGAAUGAAACCAAGAUGAGAGAUUGAGGUUUAAAAGAUGAAGAUAUAAUUGUUGGACUUAUCCUAGAUGCUUUAGACUUCAAUAAGAUAAAGAUAAGGUUGUGGAAUUUGGAUGAUGGUGGAAGUCUGGUAAUGGAGGAGUGGUAUUCUCCAUUAUGUUAGUGGACGAUUGGUGUGGAAGAGUAAAUCGAGGAGCAAAUGUAUUAAUUAUUUAGUAAAGUGGGCCAUAUUGAUAAGAAAACUUAAAACCGGAUUUUUACGUUUCAACCGGGUUUUACCGAUUUAAUAGUUUUUACCGGUUUUGACCGGUUCUUUAACAUCCUCCGAGUUUAGCAUACAACCAGACCGGCAGCGUUGGCGGUUCACGAUCGAACCGGUUCGACCGGCUAGUCUGGUUCAAUCUUAAAAACACUGCCUGAAGCUACUUCUCUUUCCCCUCCUUCUCCUUGGACUAUUCUUUCCCUUUAUCUUCCCUUUCCCUUUUUUUUUUUACCAGUUGCAUGCGAAAGGCAGGUUUCAAGGAGCAUCGUCCCAUAUCAUUGCCCAGCUUCGAUUUAACAUAGUUCCAAGUCACUUUAUUGCAAAAAUCACCCAUGUUGCGACCAAUAUUUACCAACUUGUAACCAAGCAUAUUGUGUUCUCGAUGUAAGAAACGCAACACAAUUUCGUCCUUCUCUUUGCCAUAAACACACAUUCUUGCAAGAGGCUGAAAGUGGACUAGGUUCAACGCGAUGAGGCCACUGCACGUAUUGCUUACCUCCAAGCAAUCUAUGCAAAUGAUGAGGCCUCCAUAAUGACGGUAUUCUUCAUUCUUAGACACGUGCAUCGCGACGAUAGCUGCAACCUUCAUUUCUUCGACUCCUGCCUUUGGUUUAUUUUUAUCAAAGAUUGGUAUGCGAAAGCAAUAUACUUAGAGGGUAGUGGAUUAGGAAUCCACCUCCAGCUAUACCAAUAUAACGUUGUCUUGGCACUUGUGGAUCCUUCUUUCAUUCAAAACAAACCAAAGAAGCAUCCAUGUAUACAGUAAGGAACUCAUACCCUAUGCCAAGCGAAUUAGGUAAUCGAGUGAUUGGCAGAUGUUUGGUCUCCUUCACCAGCCCAUCACCCUUAGCCACUACCUUGAAUCCUUUCGAUCUCAUGUAGACAAACAGGUGGGGCUAUUGUUUGGAAGGGGCAAUCAUAAAAAGGGUCAUGUACUACUUCUUCGUGAUAUGCAUAAGGCCUACCUUUAAAGGAUGAAAUGCAAGGAAGUCUUCCACCAAUGUGUGAAAUUCGUCACAAUUUGGAUCCAACUUGCCACACUUCUACAAUCAAAUACUACAAAUCAAACGUGAAACUUUAAACCCAAACCUAAACAAAAACAACAAACAUGUUUUGAAUUAUAUUUUAAGAGGAAAGAAUUAGGUAGAAUCUGUAAGAAAAAAGGGAAGAAAGAGAGGGAGAAUAGAUAUGAGAAUAAUAAAGGAAAAACUUGUAAGAAGAAAGGGAAGAGAGAGAGGGAGAAUAGAGAUGAGAAUAAUAGAGGAAGAAAGGGAUUUUAUUUAUCAACAAUCAGCAAAAAUUCCUAGCAACAAUGAUUUGACCUCUUUAAACAAAGAUACAGCCUUGUCAUGCUAGUAAUUGCCUUACCAGACUAAUCAAUCCAAUUGUAACUUAGAAGACAAAGAUACAGCAUUGUCAUGCUAAUAACUGCCUUACCAGACCCAAUUGUAACUUAGAAGAUACAACACUGAUAAUUGUAACUAACUUCAGGCAUGUAGACUUAAUAUUGUAACUUCUACUGAUAAUUGUAACCUAUGUUUUUAGAUUCAGACCGGGUAUCGAUUUAGCUGAACUCGAGGGUCAGGAAUCAAUGGGUUUGAUUGGAUUCAACCGGAGGUCGAAUUGGAUGACGUCAUAAACACAUAUUAAUGAUAUAUAAUUAAAAUAAUAUAUAAAAAUUCCCUUUAAAUUGGUGGUUUACAACUUUAUAUACAUAUUUGAUGAGUUUGGAUUUAGCUCAAAAGAAAUGCACUUAAAAAUUAUAGGUAAUUUUGUAGUUUAAAAAAUAUAAUGGAUGAAUUUUGUACUUCUUAAAAUAAUAUGGGGUCAAAAUGAAAUUUUUAGAAAAAUUUUGGGACAACCAAACCUAAUAUGAUGUUAGCCGCCGCGCCAGUUCCUUUGCUUUUCAGUUUAUCCUGGAACCUUUUCUUCCUCCUAUUCACCAUAUCUCUUUUCUUGUCCUUUAUCCCAACAAUAACUCUUUUCCUCCCAUUCCUUUUUUUCCCGUUCCAGUAAUAUUCUUCCUAUUUCUUUGUCUUUUCCUCAAGUCUCCACGCUGCUUGCAGCCACUUCCUUUAUCUUGUUAUCUUCCCUUCAUUGCCAAUCUUACGGUUAUUUCAUCUUUUCAUUUUCUUGAUUUUUUUUACCUUUGCAAAUUUAAUUUUGUUAGUUUUUUCUUUUCAAACUUAGAAAAUAUCAAACUUUUCAUCUUUUUUUUUUCUAAUUUCUCUUUUCUUUAUGUUUCUCCUUUCUGCAAUUUUCUUUGUCUUUUUUUUUCAUUUAUUGACAUGAGAUCUUAUUUAAAAAUUAAUUAUAAGGGCUGGUUUUGAUUGAGUCCAUGCCAGCUAAUGAUAUGUGGGAAGAACUAGAAGAAAGCUAUGUUGCUGAGAAUUGAACUCACAGGCGGGUAAAAAAAGCUUAGAAGAAAAGGAAAAAUGGAAAAGCCAGAUUUCAGUGGUUGUAUCGGUUCCCAGUUGAACCCCAAUUUUGAUCAGGUUUUGACCGAGUUUUGGCCAACCGAGUUUUAAAGACAACUUGGACCAGAUGGCUGACCGAUUCUCGAUUCAAUCGGUUCAACCGAUCAGUCCGGUCCGAGUUUAAAAACAUGGAUUGUAACUAACAACUAUUGAUGUUGUGGCAUGUAGAUUUAUUCAAUCAUUCUAUUUACAAUUGCUAGGUAACAAAACACAUUGUUACCUUUGCAACGCCUUGCCUAUCCCUGCGAUGUGUAUAGCCCAUAGCCACUACACGAACAACAACCAUUAGGUUCGACAAAAACCAUUAGACCAUUAGACUUUAGACCAUUACACUUGACAAACCAAAUUAUAAAGAUAAAAAUAACAUGGUAAAGGACAAAGACUUACCUUUGUAAAAGGUAAUAUCAGAUCCCUACCCUCACACUAUCAAAAAAUGUAAUUCAAAAUAUUAGGAUACUUCAACAUACAUAAUUUAGUCGUUAGAUUGGCAAUAUACAAAUUAUAAGGACCAUUAUAACUCACCCCAUUGCUUUCAGAUUUGGAGAAUGAGGCAAACUUAAUACUUCAAGGGCUGUCAAUUUCUAGAAAACACAAGAACAUAGAAAAUUAACUUCUCUGGGAAGCAUGGAAGCACUAACACUAAAGUGACAAGAAAAAUCAAGAAAAAGAACACAUAAAAGAACAGAAGCACAAUCAUAUGCCUUCCAAAUAUAUAAACCACAUGUCAAUCCAAACAAUUUAAAAAGUCGCACAACUUAAUCCAAACAAAUUAAGGAAAAAAAACUAAAUAAUCAUCUUAGUAGGACCAUUAAUUGAACGCGGAAGGCUGGGCUUUGCUUGACUUGUGCAAUACUACAAUUCCAAACAUCAUAAAUACGCUCGUUACACAUACAUCUAAAUAAUAUAUGAGCAAUACUAAACAAAAGGCUUUACAGCCUUUACAAGAUUCAAAACUCCUAAUCACACUAGAACUCACUUAAUUAAACAUUAACUACAAAGAAUUAAUCCUAAUUUGAUCCUACUAACCCCUAACACGGCUCACUGUGGUCAACAUGGCCCUUAGCCAUUUAUUCAACCAAACCAAUGACUCAAGUGACUUAAUCAAAUGCUGGAAAUAACUUAGCGAUUUGCAAUAAUGGGAACAAACAGCAUCACUAAAACAAACUUCAGUUUUAACUUAAGAAAACGAUUAAGUGACAUCAAACUUUCUCCAAACAACUUGAAUGGCUUCGUUGCUAGCUAGAUUCUGUAUCAUUCCCCUCCUCUUGAAAGCGAUUUACCCAUAAAUCGAUGCACAAAUUGUUACAAGGAGAGUUACAUGCCAUUGGGUCAAUCUUAUGAUGAUCACAAUAUAAAAUUUCAUCCAACGCAAAAACCAUCACUUGCCAAGAUUGAAAGGACCUCUUUUCGCACCUUGAAUCCCAUGAAGCACCUUAAUGCAUGCUCAACCAAAUUUGGUUUAACACAGGAAAAUAAACAACAAGUGACGGUAUGUGUAAAAGGAUCUGAAAACUUAUCACUUGUAUCCAAAAGAUAAGGAUUUUCAAAGUGGUGCGAGGUAUAUCCCAUGAAGCCAAACUCCUCGUGCUCGAAUAAACUUGCAAGAUACAAAACUGAUUUGGUGAAGUUGAACCAUUACAAGGACCAACUACAAGUCAAAGAUAGUAGUUGUAAUGAUCAUUGAAGAACUCGCUCCUUAAACGAACUCUUGGUACACAAUCAGCUCCAAUGUCUACACAAGCAAGGCGCCAAAGAUUAGCAAUCAGCUCACAAAAAAAUAAAAAAAUAAGAAAAAUAGUUUAAUUAAAAAAAAGAAGCAACUUAUGAAUUUAAAAGACAUAUGGGUAUGCACGUUAAUAUGAUUAUGCGUGUGCUUAAAAAGAUAAAAAGAAGAAAAAAACUAAUAUUAGAAUUUAAGUGCCGUUACAUGCCCAACAAUGUCUAACAGGUUUCUAGUAUCGAUGGCCUUCGUAUAGGUGUAAAAGGUUAUUAGAAAUGAUAUUUGUCUUUAAAAUAAAUUGUGUAAUAUGUUAUUUUUGAAAUCCAUUUCAUAAUUCAUAAAGUUCGGGGAAUAAUAAAAUUUUAUUGAAAGAUUCCAAAUAAAUUUUGUUUUGGAGAAAUAAAAUAAGAACAAAAGUUUAAUAUAUAAUAUAAGAAGGAUUAGCUACUACACGUGCUGUGGGCUAAUGAUGAUUACACUUUGCUUGCACACAUGAGGUCUUACGUUUGAUCCACCAUUCCAACAUCUUCUAAAAAUUUUUUCCACAACAACAUGCUAGACUUGAGUUCCUUACAAAAUCGGCUAAUUCAUCAGGUUGACUAGUUGAACCACUGAUUCAUUGAUAAGUCAACGGAUCUAUUACUUAAACGAUUCAAUUAAAAUCCUAGCUCAACUCAAUAAUCUAUUGACCAAUUGAAUCGUCGGAUCAGGUCGGUUUAAUAACUAUGGUUAGUGGUUAUCCUAUGUUGCAUUAUGCAUUUAUUUACAAUUUAUCAAAGGUAGAACUUCUCUAUGGUUUCUGAACUAGGUGGUUAUGUUAGCAAGUUCGUAAAAAAAAUUUGCCACUUAGACUUCCAAAACAAAUUGAGCACAACUCUUGCAGCAGUUGCCAAUGCUUGCAAUAAUGCCUCAUUCUCUUCCUUUUCCCCUCUCUUCCAACUUUAUCUUUUUCCUCGUUCCCUCUCAAAACUCUCCUGCUGCCCGUAUUUCAUCCUUUCGUUCUUUCCCUUCUGUUUUGCUAUAUAAUUUUUCACGAUUUUUAUAUUUGGUGCUGGCAGUUAGAUGUGGUGCAAGCGGUUGAAAAUUUUGGCCGUUGCUGUUUUUGCAUCACAAUUUGAGCCCUCAUUGCCAUGUUUGCGAGUACUAUGCUUUGCUUAUGUUGUAGUCAUUCAUUCCAGUUAUGGCUUUUGUUCUACUUCACAAGUCACCAAUAGUGACGCAAAACUGGUCAAUUUAGACAUCAUAGUAGUAUUGUGAAACUUUCUCUAUUUCAAUUGUUUUGCAAAAUUAUGUCUCCUAUUUUCUGCUUUGUUAUGAAUAUAGCUCGAUUUAACUUGCUAAUUAUGUAUUAGCAAUAGCAACAAGCUAAGUUAAUAGUUGUGCAAUGUGUAUGGCCUGCCUAGUUUGUUUGCUUGGAGCAAGUGUGUUAUUAUAUAUUAUAAUUAUCUCAUCUACUUACGCAUGUAUCUUGUAUACAAUUUUGCAUCAAAUGGUGUCAAUACUUUCCACUUUUCCAAUUUCAUUUGAGUGCUUUUAACAUCCCUUGAACAGAAAAAUGAACUAAAAAUAAAAAAAAUAAACUAAACUAAUUUCGUUUUCUCUCUCCCUCACUUGAUAGCUAUCAUAAAGUGUGUUCAUCUUAGUUCGAUUUACUUUUUGAAUUAAAUUCUUAAAAACCUGUUGUGUAGAAAGUCGGAUUUAAUUACAGUCAAGCUAGAAGAAUAUAUGUGACAGCUAGCAGCUAGAGGUGGCAAAAUAGUCGGGAUGGACGGAAUUUUCUUGGGUUUGAAAUGAAACCGAAUCAUAUGGGUUUGGGUCUAACCUUAGCCAUAUGUGUUUUGGGACUAAAUUGGGUGGGAUCACUUUGGGAAGGGUUUACAUUGAUCCGCCCAAUACCCAAAUUUAUUUUCUAUAUUUUUUCCUUUAAUUCUUUUUUUAUUUUUUAGAUAACUUUAAUAUUUUUGUUAUUAUAUUUCUUUUGAUCUUAUUGUGAAUUUAUAUUUUCCUAAAUUCAUUUUACACUCUAAAAUGAUCAACAGUUGCUUUAAAAAGACAUAACAUUUUAGUAAGAAUGAACAUAUCUUCUCCCUGGAUUAAACCAAAAGAUUGAACGUUUUGGUGUAUUCAUACAUGAAGUUGACGUUUUCACUUCCUCAAAAGCAUGAAAACAAAAAGGCAAAGGAAAAUAGCUAACAAGAAAAUAUACAUGCAAGUGUCUUAUACUCAAGAUUCCCACGAAAAAUUGGAUAUACAGCCAUAUUCUAACAGAUAUCAAGAUAGCCAGGCACCGAGGCUAUUGAAUAUUUAUCCUUAUCACUGUCUAAGGAUGGUAGGUCUAAACUAACUGAAAUGCUGGAAAUUCUUGGAUAAAUAAAAUUUGUUGGGAAGAUAUUUGGGCCCAAUGGGUACCCAAGUAUUUCCCAACAUAUCCCAUCAAUUAAUGGGUACAAUGGGAUAUGUCUCGUUCUAAAUCCAAUAUCAAAUUACAAUACCCAUUCUGUCCGAAAUUGUAACGACCCCACCUCCCCCUAAGGCGUACCAGAGGGUUCGGCGGGCCGCCUGCCCAACUCUCGCCGGGACUCAGUCGUUCGCUACAGUUCUCAAUUAAAAAUUGAAAUAAAUCACAAGAAUAAAUAGGGCAUUGAUCCAAACUUAAAGCGGAACUUAUAUACAUUGCCAACCCAAAAGAGAAUAUAAACAUCAAAUAUACAAGGGUUCUCAAUCCUUCAUACGUCCAGCCCGUGCCAAGCACUAGGCGAGAACCACUACAAAAGAAACAAAAGAAACAAAACUAGAUUGGCUAGUCUAUCUCAAGCUCACGUCCUCGCUCGCCUUCCCCUGUAAGGAAAACAAAACUAAAGGAAUGAGCUAAAAGCCCAGUGAGGUUCCGAACACAUAAUCAGAUAAUCAAUCCAAUACAUUAAACAUGGAGUAUCAAUAAUUCAAGAAACAUUUACAAUGGAAAGUGAUAGUAACACAUUCAUUAAAAGGAUACGGCUCACAAGGAGCAAUUUCGUUCAUUCGUUCUCCUGACAUUUCCCCUUAUUCCUCCAAUCAUUUGAAAAUGCAUUUUUUCGUUUAUCAAUAAACCCUCGUUCGUUCGUUCGUUCAUUCAUUCAUUCAUUCACCCCGUCCUGGCCGUUGGCCAGUCUCCACCAACCUACAGGGUAAUACUCGAGUAUACCAAACGUUCACCCAAGUCCCUAAUCGCCCGACCGAGUCCGCUUCUGGCUCGAGACGACCGGUAACAAGGGGCAAUGGCCAGUUCAGCCCAAAAGGCUUACAUUCAUGCGCAAGUAACAUUUCAAUCAUUAAAUCCUUGAAAAUUACACAGUUAUUUAGGUCGAGUGCGAUAAAGUACACACUCGCCUAAAAAGCUCGUUUUGGAAAUCAUUAAAAGCACUUAACACAUUAGCAAAUGAUAACAACAAGCCAUAGAAUCAAAUAAGGAACACUCACCUAGAAAUGCAAAAUAUCGUGCAAAAUAUCCUUCCGGAUAUUACCCUUAAUCACCAAUGAAACCUAAGGUUGAACAAGAGAACAUUAUUAUAGUUUAUCGAGCAAAACAUUUAAGGGAAACAAAAAAACCCGACUAAUUAAGAGUAAAACGUGUAAAGAUGACUUUCAAGUAAGAAGAGGGUUGUUUGAACCCAAGGAUGAAAAAUCAUGUUUUAAAAUGGAAAACCGGUCAUGGUAUUGGCCUAACAAAAGUAUACAAGUUCAAAUAGAAACCUAGCCCUCGGCGAAAAUUUGGGCAGCACGCCCUUUGUGUUUACCUAAUUUUCCAGGCAUUUUGGCUUCAUUAUUUUUCCUCAACCACAACCCAACAUCACACAUAAGCAAUUCAAGUCAAGAGCCGUUCCAUAGGCUCACAAUAUCAUAAGAAUAAGAAUUACAACAAUCACAAGUGCAGAAAUUCAACUUAGCACAAGACAGAUUUGACGUACGAAUGCGGAAAUAACAUAUCCGAAGCUACGCUUAUCGGAUUGAGACGAAACCUAUGCCGGUUCGAAUCUAAGACACAGAGCUACAACAUUCAUGAAGGUCACUUAGUCCAGUUCCUAAUGUAACUUAGUCAAAUUCUCAAAUUACUAAACCAGAAACCAAUUCGUCGGCUGUUUAAACGUAGAACACUGUAAUGGACAUAUCUCAGAGUACACAAGUCCGAAUCAGGUGUUCUUAGAGGCAUUUGAAAGCUAAUUCAGAAUACUACAACUUUCAUGUUUUGGGAAAAAGCUAAAUCAGAAUGGAUCCUAGUCGAAAAAUGUGAUAAACUGGACUUAACUGAUCACACGGACUGCUUGGGAAAUACUUAAAAUAGUAAGGGUAUUUUGGACUUUUCACGUCCUACGUUGCUCCGAUUGAGCUGAAAUUUUGUAAGCACCUAUAAAAUACCAUUCUCUACAACUUUCCUUCUUUGACCUAAGGCCAAUUCGGCCUCUAACAUAGGGAUUCAAAUUCGGACAGAAUGUUGGGAAAAAUUUCCAGAUUCUGGAAUUUCUAGUUUUUAGUGGAACUUUCCUUAAUUUCUUGGUCUAAUCACUACCAAAGCCUCUCUUAUAACCUUAAUUUCAACAUAUAUAUUUCAUACAACAAAUUGGGCAGAAAUUCAUCAAGCCCUAGUUCAUCAUAUAAAUUGGGGAAAACUUCCAAAACAAGAUAAUAUCCAUGAUUCCACCACAAAAUCAAGUUGCUAAGCUUAAUUUAACAAGAUUCAAAGUAAAACUUGGAGAGAUAAGCUUUCUUACCUUGAUUAGAGUUCACUAAGAGUAGCCCAAGCUUUCUCUUUCAAAAAAUCACACCACAAGUCACCAACUAAUCACUCAAGGACAAGUUUAAUCGGUUUGUUUUGUUUGAUUUCUCACUUGGUUGUUGGAUUGAAGAUGAAAUGGAAUGUUUUCCCUUGUUGUUUUUCUUCUUGCUCCUCUCGGCCAGCAGCAACAAAAUGAAGAAGAAAGUUGCUAAGUUUUGGUGUUUAAAUAGAUGGUCUUGGUCUUAAUUAAGAAGCUCUAUGGUGGCGACAAGUGUUGCCACCACCACCUUUCUUUUUUUCUCUUUCUUUCCUUGUCAUUUUAGCCACUAAUUUUCGGUCAACCUUGCUGCCAAGAGAGAAGAUAUUUUGCUCAAGUUCAAUAAAUUUGUUUGGUGAGAAAAAUGGUGGUCAAGUGGUGCGUUCAAUCGGUAGUGCGCGGGACCCGCCGGUUCGCGCCGUUUUUCUUAAAAACUCACGUACUAGGGUUUUUACUUCCCAUUCACUAACCUUAUACCAUUGCUACCAAUCAUAUAUUAUUUCUCACUUAAAAGUCACUUUUAAUCUCCAAAUUAAUUCUUACCCUGUACCGAAAAUUCAUCUGGCGGAAAAUCGCGAAAACCCUAAUUUUGCUCCAAACUUGAAACCGAAGCGUAAAACCCUAUUUUCUAGGUUUAUCUACACUUAAUGUGAAAUAUUUGGGUAGUGGCCUUUGAUAAAUACUAAUUUUCAAAUAGAGGGGUAUUUUUGAGGAAAAAAUAAGGAAUUUGCGAGUCCUCACAAAAGUUCCUUUGGACAUGGGUAAUCCAAUAGGACUUGGGACAAAUUGCCACCUCUACUAGCAGCUGAAUUUUAGACUCACUAGUAAGAGUGUAGGCACGUAGGAGUUAAUAUGCAUCAGAUGCUUGGAGAGCAAUGUAAUUAUUUUGGGACAUGAUUUAGCAAUAAUAUUGUUCUUUUUCUUCAGGCAUAGAUAACUCUUCUGGCUAUCAAUGCUCGAGGAUGUCACCAACCAAACCAGCUUUGCUUGCUGACGGAACCAACUAACGAGACAAACAAAAGACCUAAGUACAAUGCACUCGAGACACUGAACAUGCAUGCUCAAUUCGAAGAUCUAUGCAAUCUUAUGUUUCCCAAAAUUUUACUAUCCCAGAUCUCUUCAGAGCUAGAUAAUGUGAUUUGCAAAUACUGGAAUUUCUAAUCCUUUUUCGUAUACAUAUUGUGAAUAUAUAGCCUCACGCAUUUGUGUAACACCCCAAUUUAACUAGUAUAGCCAAAAAAAAAAACAUAGGGCUUAAACAUAAAGAAUCUCAUAGUCCGUUAACUUUAGAAUAUCCAAUUAGAAAUAAAUGUAACAACCACUUAAAGAUUCCACUUGGAAAUUCGAUAGACCAAUGACUCAAAAAGGACUUAUACAUACCGUCUGCUUUUAUUUCAAUACAACAAAUCAGUCUACUGCUUUACAAAGGAACAUACAUCUACACAGAAAUCAAUAUUUCCGGCACUUAAAACUAAACUCAAACAGCAAUAUCAGGUAUUAAUUAAUAUUCAUAUCACCAAAAACGAAGCUGUUAGAGAAUGAAACACAAUUAAGAAAGAGCAAAAUUUAAUUGUUUUCUCUUAUUGGGUGAUCUAUAGGCAAAGAUGUCACCUACUUUGUUCGUUGAUUAGUUUCAUCUGAUUCAGUUGUCUUGCAGUUGUUCGUAUAACAUUCUCUUAAUCACUGUUUGUUUUGAGGAAAUAGGAGGGGCAGGAAAGAAAAUGAAAUAGAAAGAAAAAGGUUCUAAUGUUCAGAUUGAUUUUUGAGAAGGGAAACGAAAGACAGAAAGAGUAGAGAGGAAAAGGGAGGAAUAAAGUGUAGUUUUUUUUUGUCACUUUUCCAUCCAAAAGGCAGGAAUGUAGGGAAAGGAAAUCAAAAUUAUUGAAACUUUUAAAAUUUUCUAAAAAAAAAAACUGUGUUUACAAUUAAGAUUUUUAAAAAUGUAAUUAAUGUGUAAUAGAUUUGUUUCCUUCCCAAACUUAAGUAAUCUUUUCAAUGUUUUCCCUUUUCUAUAGGAGGUAUGUGUAAUUACUUUUGUUUGAUUUUGUGCUUAAAUAAGAGAAAUACUAGUAUUUCAACUAACGAUGUUACCUAGACUAUUUUCAUCAGGUUUUCACUUUACAUGAAUCAUAUGGAGCUUAUGUAGAUAUUUUGAAACAUUAUGGGAUCAUGUAAUAAUUGUUGAAUCCAGGAGAUAUGUGUAAUUUACCCCAACUAGACUAGCUAAAGUUUAGUCGUAGGUCAAAAAUUCUUAUCCAAGAUGGAGCUUGAGAAAUAAAUGUUAUAAAUGGCAAAGAGUGAAUUUUCCGUGUAUCACUUUAAAUGUGUGUCCCCGUAUAUGUUUGAGUGACAAGAGAUUGUACAUAAAACAUUGGCAAAAUGGCCAAUUUCGUCCCAAAAUUUUUUUUUACUGUCAAUUUCAUCCCUACUUAUUUUUUUUAGCCAAUUUAAUCCCUCUACUUAUUUAUCGGUUCCAAUUGAGGAACACCGCGGCGGAGCCACCUUGUAAUUUCGAUCAAACUUCUAAUUGAGCACUUAAACAGGGGUAUUUCGGGUACUUCAUUGAUAGGGCUGUAAGAUAAGAAGUAAAAAACGAAAUAAAACUUUACUAGCACAUUUUUAUCACUGAGAAAAAUCCAAACUGAAAACUUCAACUUUUUCUUGCAAAAAUCCAGAACUUUAGUGAAUGAUGUGUUGAACAAAAUCGACUGAAAUCAUAAUGAAUAAGGAAAUGUAAUGGCGUAGGAAGUCAAAGGAUGGAGGCAGCAAGUGACGAAAGGCGUGAAAGAAGAAAUUUUGAGAAAGACGGGUCAAGCAAAUUGAGUAAGUUGAACCACUUAAAUCUCUUUGAUUUGUUAUGUUAAUAGGUUAAUGAAGUUUGAUGUGGGUUUGUCUUGUUGUGAAUAGCAAGUAUUGUACUUUAAUAGCAAGAUCGAUUGAAAUGUCGUGGGAAAAGGGCUUUGUUUUCUGUUUUUCAUUUUUUUUUCUGAAAAGGGGUUCAUGUGGUCCAUGACUGUAAAAUUAAUGUCCUGUUGCUUUCAUGUUCCUUAAAAGGCAGACAAUGACUGUAAAUUACAAAUUAUGGUAGUAAUUUAUUUAUUUGUUUGGAAAAUAAAAUAGGUGAUGACUCGGAUAUAUUCAAUCUAUAUAUCUACUAUGGUAGGGCAUACAUUGAUGUGAUGAAAACGCAAGUGUUAGGCCUUCAAGAUUAACAUAGCUUCUGUGUUAGGCUUUGGUCAUUUACUUGGAUGUGAUGAAAACGCAAGUUACAGAUAUAGAAUCCCUUCCAUAGAUGGGAGACUGAGACUUAAUUAGACAAAUAGAUAGUGAACAAGAUGCCAUGGACAUGGUGCUAUAGGUAAACAAAUUGGAAAAGUUGAACUUUUCGUUGUCCAUGAGUUUCAUAUUAGAUCCAUGGAACCUAGCAAGAACAGGGAAGUUUUCGAGAGUGAAGGUGAGAAUGAAAAAGAAGAUCUGCUAUAUGUGGACAUCACAUUUGAUGAAUUCCUUGGGAAUGAAGAACUUCGAAUUGACGUAACUAAAGUAGAUUGGGGGGAAAUAAAAAAAAGGGUAAACGGAGAGGUGCUAUUGUGAUUAAAGAGGAUGAAGGUGCAAAUGAUGAAAAUGAACCAGGAUUAGAGUCAACGGAUGGUGGUGAAAGCUUUCAUGAUAGUGACUAAUUUUAGGGAAGAUAAGGAUGACAUAAUAUACAAGAAUUGUUCAACUACUGUUGAUAUGGCAAUUGAUGGUCAGAGGAGCGUAGAUGAUGCUAGUUAUGGAGGGGAAAAUGUCAUACUAACUGGCGAAAAGAAGAAAGGAUAUGUGCAGCCACAAAAAGUAAAAGCAAAAGGAAAAGGAACUCUUGCUGCUGACCAUGACUGUGAUAUUUAUGAUGGUGACUAGAUUCCUAUCCAAGAGGAAUUUGAUUCCAUCAACACAAAAGAGUUGAAUAGUUGCUCUAGUAGCUUCGAUGAAAAUACCUCAAGAAAGAAGGUGAAAUCUGUAAGGUUCAAGCCAGAAAUUCAUAUGAAGGUCCCCAAAUUUUUUGUUGGUUUACUGUUUGACACUAAAAAGAUAUUUAAAAGAGCUGUUGAAUUUUAUUCUGUGAAGUGGGGCAAGAAGCAUGGUUGGCAAAAGAAUGAUAAGAAUAGGAUCGGAGCAAAAUGCAAAAAAGAGAAAUGCAACUGGUUUGCUUAUGCUGCAAAAGAACCAGAUUGCGAUGCAUUCGUGAUAAGAACGAUGGGGCCAGAACAUCAAUGUGGUAGAACUUUCUAUCACAAACAUGCAAAUUCAGGUUUUUUGGCUAGGCAUUACAUGGAGUUUCUGCGGAUGAAUAGGAAAGUUAUGGUUGGUGCAUUUAAGGACAAGGUACAUGAAGAACUAAACGUGAACAUCACAAAAGAUCAGGCUUGCAAGACCUUUGGAAAAGCCAAAAUUCUGAUCGAAGGAAAAUAUAAGUAGCAAUACACAAGAAUUUGGGACUAUUGUGAGGAAUUGUUGAGCUCAAAUCCUGAUUCGGCAGUGCAUAUGGAGACAGAGGUUGAAGAAUUUAGCGGAAAAAAGAGAUUCAAAAGACUAUACAUUGUUUUGAAGUCUUGAAAAAAAGCUUUAAAGAAGGUUGUCGGCCUAUACUUGGCGUGGAUAGGUGCCAUCUAAGGGAACCACAUCCGGGAGUACUUUUGACAGUUGUUGGGAUAGAUGCUAAUGAUUGCAUCUAUCCUGUUGCAUAUGCAGUGGUUGAGACCGAGAACAAGAGAUCUUGGACAUAGUUCAUUGAAUUCUUAAAGUUUGAUCUCAAAAUCCACGACAAAAAACAAUGAACAUUUAUUAGUGAUAGGCAAAAGGUAUAAUGAUUAAUUACAGAAUUUUUUGUUGGAAAACUACUUUAUAAUGACUAAUUAGUGAAUUUUUUCAUAUUUUUAUCUAAUUGGGCUUGGAUUCCGCCAUCCAAGAUAUUCUUCUUGGAGUGGAGCAUAGACACUGUGUUAGGCAUUUACACAAUAACUUUAAGAAGGUCCAUCCUGGGGAAACACUUAAAAGUAUGUUUUGGACUUGUGCAAGAUCCGCGUAUGUCAAUAAAUUUGAAGCUAAAAUGGAUGUGUUGAGGCAGUAUGAUGAGAAAGCACACAAUUGGUUAGUGGACAACACAUCACUAUACCAUUGGUCUAGAUCACAUUUUAGGACCACAGCGAAGUGUGAUAUUCUCUUAAUAAUUUGUGUGAGAGUUUUAAUUCUGUUAUAUUAAAAGCAAGAGAAAAGCCCAUCCUUGGUAUGCUUGAAAACAUUAGGAUAUACCUAAUGGAAAGACUUAGGACAAAAAGGGAGUAAAUGAGAAAAAGAAAUGAUAUUAUUUGUCCAAAAGUUAAAAAAAAAACUUGAAAAGGCAAAGGAUAAUACUAGAUCAAAUAUAGAUAGGUGGUCUGAUGAUGACAGGUUUGAGAUGACACAUAUGUAUAGGAUCACGUUUGUUGUUGACUUAAAGGCGAAGACAUGUACAUGCAGAAAAUGGGAACUCACUGGUUUACCGUUCUCUCAUGUUAUAGGCUGCAUUGCUUUGACUGGAGUCGAGCUUGAAAGUCUAGUGCAUUCAUAUUACUCAAGGGAUGCAUAUUAUGAGCCAGUUAUGGGCCAAUUAAUGGACCUAAUAACUAGAAAAGAUCUAAAAAGGUUCCUAUGUAUGCACCUAAGAAACUAAAACUUCCCAGUAGACCUAAGAAGGCAAGGAGGAGAGAGCCGGAUGAGCUACGAAGUGAUUCCAAAGGGUGCAUAAGACUGUCUAGAAAGGGUAUUACAUGUAUGACUUGCUCUUUUUGUCAUCAAAAGGGUAACACUAAAAGAAGAUGUCAGCUUAGCAUGGAAGGAGUGGAUAGCAAUGAAAGAAUACCACUUGUGAAAGUAAUAGGUGUGGAAAAUGUAAGAAACUUGGACACAAUGCAAGUACUUGUCCAUUGAAUGUCAAGGGAAAAGACGAAACUCACGUUGAAACUGGUAUGACUGAACUCCUAUUUUCUUUCAUAUUGCACUGUUUUAGUUAGCAGCUACUAAUCUCGAAUGUUGUUGCAGCUCCUUCUGUAAUUGGAAAUACUAGCUUACCACGUGAUAAUGAGACAUUCCAAGACUCUGCUACAUUGCAAGAAUCAACAACAUGUAUUCUUUGCUUUUAAGUUUUUUUAGUACUCCUAUUAUUGUUGCUGGCUGUUGUUGCAGCUCCUUAUUAUUGGAGGUGUUGCAGCUAUUUAUUUUUUCACCUGUGUUGCAGUUUCUUAUUUUUGUUUGUUUGGUCAUUUUGAUGAAUAUAUCUGAAAUUUGUCAUGUUUUUAUAAUGCAAGUUGAUCAAGUGCCUGAAGAAAUUGAUGUUCAACCUACUGCUCCAACUGAAAGCUCUCAGCGGCUGUGUAGGACCAUGUGUUGUUUUUUUUUUUGUCAUGCUUCGGGCUAGACCAAAAGAACUUGCACUUGCUGCUAAACACAAGCGUGGAGAAACAGGAUGACUACUGUGAAAAGGAGAAAACAAAGGGUAACUUUUUGCAGCCACGAAACCGUAUAUAAAUUAUUAAUUGUUAUUUACUCUUGGAGGUUCUUACUACAAGUGAAUUUGCAGUCUCAUAGGAUACUCGAUAAGUCGGAUGACCAGUGAAAAUGAAUGCAGCCAGAGAAGUUGAUGAUGAAGUUGUUUUUGACUGUUUUUGCGUUGCUAAAACUGUCCAGUGGCUGACAUAGUUGCAAAUGACUUUGUCUUUUGUCCUUUUUGGUAGUAACAAAUGCAACUUGAUGUAUGAGGAACUUUAUAUCAUGGGAUUCACUUGUUUUUGUAAUGAAUCCUGGAACUUAUUGUUUUUAGUUGCUAAGACUUCGAAUCUAAUGAAUUCAAUUCAUUUGUUUUUGUAAUGAAUCUUGCAACUUAAUAUUUUUUGCUGCUAAGACUUUGAAUCUAACGAAUUCUGGAUUUGGGAAUUUUGUAAUGAUUCACAACUUCGAUUCUAAGGGAUUCACAAUUUUGUAAUGAAUCAUGGAAUUUUAUGUUAGUUGAUAAUUCUUUUUUACAUAUGACAGCGUUCUUAAUGAUCAUACACAAGCAAUCUUGAUAUAAUGCAAUUCUUCCACUCCAACCAACAAUAACCAAAUAACAUAUAUACAUCACCAAAAACUCACUUAAUGAAGCUGCUCUCUUUCAUAUUCAACAUUGAAUUUGUAAACAUACAACUGGGAACUCAAAACUAUUACAAAUCCAAGACAAUCCAUAUCCAAAACUAUUACAUGAAACCUCGGGAAUUACUUCAUUCGAAGAGGGUAGCAUUACAUGAUCCAAAAUAUAUGAAUCAUAAACUUUCGUAUGAUCUCCAAAACUACUGCAACAUCUUCAAUUCUAACAAGCUACCCUUUGGCCUUUGAGUGCCCCCGAGUAUAGCAACAACUAAAAUGCAGCAACAAGUACAAGCCAAGAACAACAUUUUCACUUUUGCCUUCAAUUUGCUGAUUUCAAUCUUCAGUGCUACAUUCUCCCUCUCGAUACUUCUUAGCUCCCUCAAAAUUGCAGCCAGCGUAUUCUUCAUUUUUUGGGGUAUGGGUGGAUCAUACCACAAAAAAAAUUUACAAGCAGCACAUUUCUGCAUUCACUACUAUUUCAUAGUCAAAAUUCAAGCAAUAAUUCAACAAAACCUAACAUUUAGCACAUGCACAAAAUUACCCCAUAAUUUUUGCAGCCAUGAAAUCUUCUCGAUGGAUUUGACUCCGUCCAUGCUGUCACAAUUCUGCAUUGUUCAAGGCAGUGGCAUCGUACGAUUUUAUCUCUAUUGUAAUAUUCAUAAUUUCUUUCAUAAAUUAGGCUUUCUAAUUUUGCACCAUUCAAUCCGACGCUCUUCAGGACUCGAUCACUGCAUCAUGAGCUUGAGGAUGCUUUGUCCCAAUUCCUACUUGAAUGCAUUUCGCUGCAGUGAUUUCAUCUAGAGCCACUUUGGGAAAUUUGGGACACCGAGCAGAUCAGAUCUCCCUUUUUACCAAUAAUCCUAGGAUUACAAUUGGACUCUCUUUUCGGUUUUUACUUCUUAUCUUACAGCCCCAUUAAUGAAGUACCCGAAAUACUCCUGUUUAAGUGCUCAAUUAGAAGUUUGAUUGAAAUUACAAGGUGGGGCCGCCGCGGUGUUCCUCAAUUGGAAUCGAUAAAUAAGUAUAGGGAUUCAAUUGGCCAAAAAAAUUAAAUAGGGACGAAAUUGACAGUAAAAAAAGUUUAGCGACGAAAUUGGCCAUUUUCCCUAAAACAUUCCGCUUUAAUUAUUUGGUUUAUAGUAACUCCGACCCAACAAGGAAUUCGAUAAAGAAAUUGAAUUAAUGGAUCACUAGUUCAACCUAGUGGAUUACUGGUUAAACCAAUGGGUACUAAUUUAAUAUUUAUAAAUAGAAAAUAGUAAUAUUAAUAUACGUAAAAUAUCUAAUAAAGUGCUUUUAGAUACUAAUUAUUGCAUUUAGAAAGAUAUAUAAUGAAUAUAUAAAUAUUAAUAAAAGAUUUAAUUUUAUUUUAUCAUAUUUUUACUUAAAUAAAUAAUAUGAUCAAAUAAAAAAUAAAAUUUUUGCAGCUCUUUUCAAAGAAGUAGUAUUAAUUUUUUGUUAUUUUAUUUUUGUUUAAAAACAAAAUAAUUUUCUAACUACUCAAUAUUAUCAGUUUGAAAGUUAAAAGGAUUAGUUGUACCAUAAAAAAGUAAAAAUGUUUAUUUAAAAAAUAUUUAGUUAUCAAACAAAAACUAAACAAGUAGCAAAGUUUUAUGUACAUUUAAAUGAAAAUUCAAUAUAGAAAUCUAGUCAAACGUUACACACUUUCUUUCAAAAAUAAAGGCCCACAAUUAUUUUUUUAAAAAAAAGGUCAACUAGAAAAUCAGAUGGGUUUCUGGUUGAACAAGCAGGUCAAAUGGAUUUGUCCAGGUCACUCCUUAUCCGGUUAAGCUAGAGACUGAAACUAAUACCUAAUGCUCAGAUCACUAGGCCGGGCUGCAUUGAAUAACUAUGUUGUAAAAGAAUUAUGUCCACUGGACACCAAAAAAUCCCCUUUUCAUUAAAAGAAAAAAGGAGCUUAAAAAUCAAUAUCAUAAGUGAGACGAUCAUACAUAGCUCAUGAAUGAAAAGAAGAUUACUAAGAAGUGAGAACAAGAAGUGAUGCCAUUGUCACUGCCAAAAGAAUUCUGGUACAUGAUACGAAAAAAGAAUUAAAAAUAAAGUUGGUAUAUACUAAUAGUUACAACAUUGUUAAUUUGAGAUAAAGUUGUUGAGAAGGUUUCGGUCUAAUAGUCAAGGUUGAGAUUUUAGAAUUUAGAAAUGUUGGGUUCAGAUAUUCUCUCUUCUUCUUACUUUUUUAAUUCUGCUCGUCACUUGGUAAAAAAACUAUCUUAAAAUAGGUUUGAGAUAAAAUGUCUGCCUAAGUUAUACUACAUAACAGCUCCGUCUACUCUCCUAUGUGCUAAACUGCCCCGUCAAUAAGCUCCUGUUGGAUUCCUUCAAAGAAAAGUAAUUUGACUUGUAAACGCAUUGUUUUGAGUAGUAUGACAAAAUUCCAAUCUGGGUAUCUAAACGAGUCUAAAGAAGUAAACAAACUGAUUUGUUAUCAUGUGUUUGAAUAAAGCUUGGUUUCUAGCUUUCCAAAUAUGGUAUACCACCCCAACAAAUACCAGUCUCCUUACUUGAUCUGGAAAAGAUUUCAAUUUCCAAUGGGCACUUAACCAUUAUAUUUCAUUUGUCUAUGGUAGAAUAUCUCUAUCAGACAAGCACAUGUGUAACAAUUUUUUUCACACUUUCCUUGAAACAAAACAGUCAAAGAACAAGUAAUUCGUGGUCUCCAAUUGGCCUUGACAUAACUCACAAAGCUCACCUUCCAGUCUUACUCCCCAAUUCUUCAAUCUAUCCUUAGUAUUUAAUUUCCUAAGACAUAGCAUCCAAACAAUAAAAGCAUAUCUUCGCAUUGCUCCUUUUCCCUAAACCAGCUUAUAGCAGCUUAUUGUGUUGUCAGGAAAUCUCAACAAAUGCAUCCCUGCUUUUACAUUGGGUACAUUUGGACUGCAUAAUUUGUUUUGCUUAAUUUAGUGUGCAAAAUUUAAUUUUAAAUCUUUGUUUGGACACGUCAUUUUUUGUAAUUGGUGUCCACAAGCGGAUGCUAAGUUAUACCCACCAAAUUAACUGACAAAAGUGGUGUUGGAGUUAGGGUGCACGUGGUAGAGGUACCCACCUUGUUUUAUUCAAUUCUCACCUAACAGCUUUAUUACCUCCGUACUGACACGGCAACUUUUUGCCUAAAAUCUAUCCGUUGUUGUGAAUAGCGUAGAGGAAAAAGAGAACAAUCCAUUAAGCGUUGGAUUCUAUGAGCUUCCGUUUGCUGCUUGAGAGAUAUACUCCAGCCACCACUGCAAUUCGUACACCCCUUCGACCAAGAAAAAGGUUUCGUCCAAAACGACAUCUGCUAUCCGUGCUUUCUAUUGCCUGUUGAUGUCAAUUAGAGUGCCGCAAAAGCCACCAGUGGAGGCACAAAUAGACAGCCAGGUCUGGGGUAAUUAACUUGCAAGUGCCAAGCUGAAUACCAGAAUUCUAUCCGAGUUCACUUCGAAAAAGAGCUUGAGCUUUCUAACUGGAGCUUAUUUAGAGGAAAUUCACAGCUGUCAUCUGAAACAAUUUUGCAACAAAUUUGAGAACCAGGUUAGUUGCGGGUCUUUUUUCUUGCAAGUUUUUUCAUGCAUUUGCCCAAUGUAUGAGUCAGCCCUAAUUCGAAAUCAUAUAGUUAAAUUUUACGCAAUCCGAAAUUUUGGGUUGCCGCCCACGUAAUUGCCUUCAGAAUUGGGCGUAAUUGCUGCGUAUAGACACCUAUAGGCACAGAAUUUGUGGGUUAGGAUGAAAUUGCAUGUUUAUUUGUAAAUCGAGUUAAGCCAGCAUUAGCAUUUGCCCGAAAGUGAAUAAUGCCUGCUGAACUGAAUUGGACUGAUUCUUAGACUAAUCUUGAUUGUCGCAGAUCUUUUAUUUUUUGACAGUAUAGAUUUCAUCAAAAUCCCAUAAACGGAAUUUGAAUGUUGCUGAAGUAUAGCUGCUAUUUGAAAAAGAUAACAGAAUUUCUGUUGUUUUGAAAUAUGAUGAAGUAGGCUUAACUUGUUUAUAUGCUGAAGUUUAUAAAUAUCUAAGUAUGCUGAAAUAUGAUUCAAACCUGUUAUUUCCCUCUCCGGUGAAGUAUAAAUAGAUGCCUGCUAUUGCUUGAAAAAGAUAUACAAGUCUAAGUCCAUUAACUGUUCCCUCUCCGGUGAUGUAAUAUAUUCUGUAUGUUGAAGGAAAAAUACAAACUUUUUUCUAGAUGUGGGAUUCAAAAUCAAUUUCCUAGAGCUACGUUUGAUACCUUAUGCUUGGGUUGCCUGGUUAUUGUGCAGCUUCGCAGUUGUGGAUUUGCCUUAACAGUCUGACUAGAUAAUUACGGAUUGAGAGAGAGAGAAGCACUUGCACCAUUUUACUAGGGAAACCAGCUGAAAAGUAUCCUGCUAUUUUAGGAAAUUAGGAGUGAGCUCUCAAUGACCAAAAGUCUAUGUAGUAAUGCUGUUUUAGAGUUAAUUUUUGAAGAAUUGGGUAAUAAACAAAAACAAAAACAAAUAAAUGCUGGCUAUUUUUAUAGAGAAAGACCAUAGACAAGUUCCCCAGACGGUCAUCCAUUUCACUCCCCCAUCCGGUAAUGAAGAUUGAGAAUAGAAGAUAACUUGGAACCUUCCUGUUUUAAACUACUUCAUUCGAGUGUGUGAUACUCAUGAGCUCAACAAGCUCAGGCUAUCAUUGUCCGGUCCACCAACUCCCACCCGUGCAUUCGAGGCUUCUUCCAUCCACUCAUUCACAGCCUUAAACGACUACAUCGAAUCCCUAGUUAACUACUUCAAGGUAAGUCAAUCCAAAAUUCAUCUACUAUGCAAAAACAAGAUUUGGUUUGCAUUUUCAUGCUGCUGUCUUCAACUUUUGGCCCUGUGUAGGCACAUUCAUACAUCCAUUUAAUAUCAUUUUUCGGUGUACUUGUUGAAUUUGGCUAAUCAUUCUCCAACUAAACCUGUUGUCUCCAUUCAAUUUUUGUGUUAGCAGCUGCCAUUCACUUGAUAGUUUGAGGUAUGCUUGGGUUCAAAUUAGCACCUUGAUAGCUGAUUCGUUCCCCUCUGCCCUUAUGAAUUGUCCAACAAUUAUAUAUGCCAUUAUUUGUUAAGUGCUACAAUCACUUGGGACAUUUAUUGCCCUACAACCAAUACUUCGGCAUUUUGUUGCCUUCGGUUAUAUCACUUGAAGUAGUGCAUAUGCCCAAGUUAAACAUAUUUUGUUGAGUUCGGCCUGAUUACUUGAAGUCUUGUUGUUAUGAUGAGUUAUGCAUUUUGUUUACCUCGGCCAGAUUACUCGAAUUUAGCUGUAGGUCUAAGUUUAGCUUUUUGUUGGAUUCGACCAGAAUACUAGAAAUACUUAUAUAUAAUUUUGGAAAACCUAUGAAUUUUGUGGAAUAAAACACACGGACCUCUCUUUUGGUAUGUUUUCCAGUUGUUGCAUUUGUUCCGAUUAGGACUGCAUGUCGUUGUUGUUAAUUAAAAGGGGAAAUUUUCCAGAAAUUAGGACAAUACUUAUACAAGUUCUUCCAAAUAUAAAAUCUACUUCACUUGCCACUACUGCAAUGUUAUUGCAAAAAAAUAGCUAAGUUUUGAGUCACAAAUAUAUAUUAGUCUAUAAUCUAUAAUUGUUGGACUGUUUAAUUUUCGUUAUGCACUACUAAGAACUGAUAUGCACUUCAUUUGGUCUUUAAUCUGUAGAUGCCUCGUGACCACACCACCGCAAAAGCUCAUUGGGAUGAAAACAUGGAGAUGCACUUCUGUAUGACAUACGUUGAGUAGAAAAAAAGUGGAGAGUAGAAUCCAAACAUCUCCACCGAGGCAAAUUGGAUGAAACUGGCUGCCCACCUUAAUUUCGCCUGGGGAAAGCAAUAUGGGUGGAUUGUCUACCAGUUGAAGCACAUGCGUUUGAAGAGGAUUUGGCGUGCAUUUACCAAAUUAAAAGGUUUGCAACUCUCAGUCGAAACUGGAAUUAGGUGGGACGACAAUAAGAGAUGUUUCUUGGCUGAUGAAUCUUAGUGGGCCAAUCUGCAAAUGAUAAUCUACCAUCCAAACAAAAAAUAUUUUGACAACAGAACUUGUUUUCAAUUUUUUCCUUGUAUGCUUAAUUCAUAACUGCCGGGCUGACUUAUGACUUGUUACUUUACUUGCAAUGGAAUAAUUUUAAAAUGCGAUUAGUGCUUCGCUGCUAUGGUAGAAUAGGAUGAAUAGGUACUCGUGUGCUAAAUAAUUGUAUGUCUUGGCUUUAUUAUACGUUUCUGUAUGAGGCUUGAAGGAUUAUUUUUUGUAAUUUGACAGGAGAAUAAAGACAACAACCAGUUUAGAUACCACCAGUGCGUCGACAAAUAUUCGAUACUACCCGAGGUCUUCGAAGGAGAAACUGCCACUGAAGGCCAGACAACUUCAACCUUUGCAUCUCUAUCUUCGAGUGGGCCUCGACAGAUUCCGGCUACUCAUUUCGGAGGGCAAUCAAGUUCGCAUUUUAGUGAGGAAUUGCUCACUGGUGACCCAGAUGUCGCAUGCUACGAUUGCGCUCCUAAAGUUGGAAGAAAGAGAGGAUUGGCCAGCGUAGGGGCUACGACCUCAGAUAUCGGAUCUUGCCAGAGUAAGUCGAGCAGAAGUUCCGACAAUCCAUUUGUUGAGUGUGACAACUCGUUCAACAACCUAACCUCAGCGAAACUGUAAAUUAAGGAUCGUCGCUCCAACGACUCUGAGAAAUAUGAUGUUACAAUGGCAAAUCAAGUUGUCGAGUCCUUCGAAAGCCUGUCCAAAGGGAGCAAAGUCACGGCUCUUUUACAAUUUCAGGAUAAAAAAUGGCGAAAGACUUUCCUGACUAUGGCUCGCGAUCUUCAGAAGUACUAGAUUAACUCUCUGGAUGUUCCCCCACAAAAGGGGUCAGAUCAAGAGUAGUUCAUAUUUGAAAUGAUUUCUGUGAAGUGAGCAUGUGGAUUUUAUCUAUUAACUCUCCGGAAUUUUAAUAGUUCCUAUUAACUAUCUGCAUUUUUUCUUUUCAGUACUGGAUUAAUUGCUACUUAAAAUUUCCAAGGCUUGAAUGAAUUACUUGCAAUUGUAGUGCAUACUACUGGCUUGUGGUAUUUGUUGUGCUUUCUUCGUCAGAGUAAGCACCUUUGUUUGGUCCAACAGUGGUGUAUUUCUAUUCAUAUAUUAUUUCCGUGGUCCAACAUUGGUGCUUGGCUGUUGGUACAUUAUAAAGGUGGUUUUCCAGUGGUGAAUUUCUGUUGUUAUACCUAUCUUAUGGUGCAAUUGCUUGGUCCAUAAAAUAGGAAUGAUCUUCGGCACUUGCUUGUGGUUGGCUGCUAUGUUAUAUUAUAGCCUGAACUUAUCGCUUUGCAUGGACAGCAAGAGGUCAGGGUGCCUUAUAUGUAUGAACCACGGAAACUAGAGCUACAGGAUAUAUACCAAACGUUUAUGUAAGUGCCUUAUAUUAGUGUCUUAUUACAGCUUUAUUAAUGCCUUUAUAAGUGCCUUAUUAGUGCUUAUCUAUGAACCACAGAAACUAUAUUAGUGCCUUACAUGUAUACCAAAUGUUUUCGUCCUCCUUUGAACUGCAGCUUUCUAAUGUUGCGCCUGGGGACAUAGACAGGAAACUAGAUGUGUUGGCUAGAAAAAUGUGACAUGCACUUCCCUUGUAGAAGUAAAGCGGAUGCGCAAUUCUCGAAUCCCUAAAAAAUGAAUGCGUAGUAACUGACUAAUAGAAAGAUCCACUGUACUCACCAUUUCUACUUCAAAUGGCAAACAACAACAGAAGGCUGCAGAGAAGUAAUUAUUAAAAGUAAUUUUUUGAAAACCAAUGGAAUUUUUUUAAAUUGUAUGCUUAUAUAUUAAAUUAUGGUAACUGUAUGCUUAUAUUUUAAAUUGUUCCAAUAUGAACUUUUUAAUUAAAGAACUGCUUAUAUGUACAAUUUAAAUAUGUUUUUCAUAAGUACAAGUAGUUUUUAUUUUUUGGUCUUCAGCCAGAAUGAUGCAUCUGGUGUUUCUUUAGCAACCGCUCAGGUUUUGAAAAGUUUAACAUAAGGAUUGAAGGGGCAACAUAAACCUUUUACUUUAACCCUUUCAGUCUACAAAAAAGAAAUUGAGAAUUUAUUAUGGAUGAAUACACACACGGGAUGUCAAAUAGUUAUACUCACCAAAGUGCCAAGCAUUUGUCCUAUAGUACUGCAAAUGGAACAUGGGGUGAGCAGCUUGCUGUCCUUGGUAUAAGUUAGAAUCUAUCCUAAUAUUAUAUUAAGAAAUUGGACAAGUACUUUGUCUAUAGUUUCAGAUUUUCCUACUAUGUGAUCUCAUAUAAGAUUUUCGUUAUGGCUACUAGUGUGUGUGGGGACUGCUUUGUGAUAUGAAGGGACUCCACAUACUCUUUUCACUAUUGACGUCUACAUCCAUCUUGCUUUCUCAUAUGCAUUUUUGCAGACUACACAUAUUCGUAGAGGCAAUUGUUGGACAGACGAACUAACAAGCGUUCAAUAAUUUUUGCCACAGUUAGACAUACCAGCAAAUGCUUUUAUAAGCAUUCACCGGCAAUAUAAACCAAGCGCUCCUACCUUCAUCCUCAAAAUUUCUAAAGAAUCGCUCCCCACAGCCUAUAACUUGCUGCUACUUUUUCAUGCACUUCAUAUAGUACUUCCUAUUCCGUGCGUAAUUUCAACAUGUAUGGAGAUGCAGCCAGUUCAUCCUCAAAUGAAGACAAUCUUCUAUUUGCAGCCGGUGCAGCCCUGUUGUUUGGUCCAAAUGCAAAAUCAUUCGGAGGUCCUAUCCAGAAGGUUCCAUGCAGGACAUCAGCUUUAACUGGCAAACAAUGGAUUGAAGAACUGAUGUUAGGGCACCACACCCGAAUUAUGGAUGCAACAAGGUUAAGUAUAGAUUCAUUUAUGAGAUUGUGCAACAUAUUGUCGGAUUGUGGAUUUGUUCCCUAACAUCAUCAAAAAAGGGUGACGAUAGAGGAGACACUUGCGAUGACUUUAGUUAUGAUGAGUCACAAUAUGCGCAUGCGUAUGAUUGCGGACCGAUUCAACCACUCGCAGGAAACAGUGCAUCGGAAUAUUCACGAAGUUAUCAAGGGUCUAUAUACAUUUGUGUAAUUCAUCAUCACUCCAAGGCACCAGGAUGUAGUCUAUCCAAAAAUUCUGAAUGAUACCAGAUUUUAUCCAUGGUUUGAGGUAUGCUUGGCUAAACCUUAACAUGGAUGCAUGGUGCAUGGAAUUUAUGCCCCAAGUAGUUCAUUGAAUCCCUAUAUACACAUAUUCGCUAUAGCUGAAAAUCCAAUGGAUUUUAUGUACUCAAAUUAUUAUUCCCAUGAUGUAUAGUCAGAUGUUAAAAAGCUCAAAUUAAGACCCCUCAUGUGCUACCAAAUAUUAGUGUACUAGCUACAGGAUGUCUAAGACAACUAUUACCAGUCCAAUGAUUAAUGAACUAUUUUAGCAAAGUCAUAUGCUUCACGCUUUACAUUUCAUCAUCUUGUUUGUUCACACGGCAGUAGUACAAGGUUGAAGAAGAUUGUGAAUAGAAUCUCUUCACUUUUACUCUUUCUAAUUUUUUUAAGCAUAUUUUGUUUGUAGGAAAAAACUAAUAAUAGUAAUUUUGUGGGUAAUUGCCUUAAUUCAUUAAAUUCGAAAUAGUGAAGAGAAUAUUUUGUUUUUUGUAAAUGACACAGUUGGGGCCAUUGACGGGACACAUAAACCCACUUCUGUCCCGAGUGGACAUCAGGUGGCAUACACAAAUAGACACGGAGUGCAGUUACAAAAUGUGUUGGCUGUAUGUGAUCAUGAUAUGAUGUUUGUAUACGUGUAUGUAGGUUAGGAGGAAAGUACCCAUAAUGCUCGUGUUUUGGAUGGGGCUCUAACGGGCUCAAAUCAUUUCCCAAUGCCCCCCAGGUAUGCAAGUUAGACCAUUGUUUUUUCUAUUUAGCAUUAAUUUCACACUACUAAUUGCGCAAACAUUGAAAAUACGUUUGGUAUAGGCAAAUACUACUUGAUUAAUUCCGCGUAUCGAAACUUACCCGAUUUCUUACCACCCUAUAGAGGACGCCAAGCGGAUGUUAGUGGUCGUAGAAGGGGGAGAUUUGCCAUAGCUAAGGAACUUUUUAAUUACAGACAUUCUAUUCUACGCAAUGUCAUAGAGCGAACAUUUGGUGUCCUUAAGAGAAGAUUUGCUAUCUUACGGGGCGCCAUACCCCACUAUAUGAUGACUACUCAGAUAAACGUUAUUAUUGCUUGUUGUGCUGUACACAAUUUCAUUAGAGAUCAACAGCCGAAUGACUAUUACUUCGCCAACCACGAUAUAGAAGAUCCAGACACAAAUGGUGCAAUUCCUCCCUAUUCGGAGAUACAACCACUACAUUCCCCUCCCGAAGUGAUUAACCAAUGGAUUGGCAUGAGAGAUGCAAUGGCCAAUCAUAUGUUAAAUAUCUAUAGAAAUACACGCCAUCGUUAAUUCAGAUAUGGGUGGAUUUAUAUUAAUCUUUUUUUUAGAUGCUAAGUUUAAAAAAAAAAACCCCUUUUUAGUAUUGCCGGUUUAUGAUAAUUUUUGAAAAAGGGUUAUGCUGUGCCUAAGUAUUAUGCAUAUUUAGUAUUGUUUGAUUCCCUUUUAUGCUUCCGUUUGAGUUGUUUUACACCUGCUUAUAUAGAUAUAACCUCUUGUAAGCACUCGGUAGGUGUGGUUUCAAACCUGUAUUUUCAUCAUGCAAAUCGAGGCACCAACCAAAAAACAUGCGCAUGCUUGUUUAAUUAACCACCAUGCUGCUUUAGUAUAUGUUCCAUGUUUAGUGCGCAAAUCAAAAAUUCAAAUCGGACGCCUAACUAAUUUUCAAACUAAAGGGACCACUCGUUUGACCAGGUAAGCAAAUUGGGGCAUGGAGUACUUCAAGGAAAAUGGGUCCCGCAUGUCUCCAUAGAAGUUACCAUCCAGCACUUGCACCUUUCUGCCAACUUCGUCUAUCAUAAAUGAAGUCAUUUUACAACAAUAAAUGAGUCCCUUAUGUUCCAAUUAGGGGUGGGCACGAGUCGGGUACCCGCCCCGAACGACAAUUGGUUGACCCGACCCUAACAUGUCGGGUCACUAAUUUUUUGAUCCUAAUCCGCUCCGAUUAUCAUCGGGUAUCCGAAAUCGGAUACCCGAAAAAUAGGGGCGGAUACCCGAAAAAUAGGGGCGGGUCAUAGGGUACCCGCCCCUAUCCAAAAAAAACUCACUUGGACAUCUUUUUUUUUUUUUAGACUCCAACUUAAAUUCAUUACUAAAUCAUCAGUUACAAAUGUAUUCGAUAUUCCUUUGCAUCAGCAACCAAUCAGAGUAAGAAAAGCACAACAAAAGCAAUAAAAGGAAUUGAGCAAGACAACAAGAGCAAAUGAAGAGCACACAAAUUAAUUUACACUAAAAAGGAGAAAAAAAUUCACAAUGCCCACGGAAUCACAAUGCCCACGGAUAAUACAAUCACAAUCCAAAGUCUAAAUACCUCACGGAAUCAACCCUUAGCAAUAUGAAAUUAGGAGAAAACUUGAUACCUCACAUUGCCCAAAUCUGAAUCAAUAUUAUACAAGAUGCCUAAAUACAAACUACAAAGCAUCAAAAUGCGAUGCUAAAAAUAGAUAAGGUCGAUAAUGUCUGGGUAGUGGGCACAUCUUUGGUUUUCUUAGUUUAGACAUUCGGUAAUCUGUCAUUCUGCCUACAACCUUGUUUUAGGUUGAAUUUUCUAAUUUUUUUUCCCUAAAGAGAUGUCUAAUUAUUAGUUGCUCCAAUAUUUGCUCAAUCGGCAUUCUCAAAAAAAAAAAAAAACCUGCAAAUGAAGCCUGAAGGUCGGCGUUGGCUUGAGAAAUCGAAAUCGAAAGUCCCUGUUGAAUCGUCUGCUUGAGGCUUGAGGCUUGCAGGCUUGAGUUCAACUUGACAAAAUUGAAGAGAUAGAGAAAUUAAAGGAGAUGUCGAUUGGCGGCUGAAGGUUGAAGAGAUGGAGAAGGAGAAGGAGAAAAUGAACUGAGGGAGAGGAAGUGUCGGCUGUAAUCUGAAGACCAAUGGAUUGAUUUAGGUUAGGGUUAAUAGUAAUUUAAAAUAUUAUACAAUCACCCCUAUAUUUUUAAUAUUUAUAUAUUAUACCCCCGGGUCGGGUACCCGCGGGUUUUUACUUUUACUAUCCGUAUCCGAAUCCGAAUAGUUAGGGUACCCGACCCUAUCUGAUCCGCUAACAGAAAUCGGAUCGGAUAUCCUAUUUUACGGUGCGGGUCGGGUCGGGUUUUCGGGUUUUCGGAUUUUUUUCCCCACCCCUAGUUCCAAUAAACCAAAUCAUGCAAGUCAAAAAUCUGAGGUAAAUUAUGAAAAUUUGGCCAAUCCAAACGUAUCCAUUGUCUCUUCCUAAUGGUCCAUCAAUCCAGUAGAUCUCAUCUUUUGCCUCCAUGCAGGGUGGAAAAAUUUCAGGUCUAGCAGCUUUAAGGCUUUCGAGCUUCUUAGCCAUCCUUCUCCCUUGUGGCAAGCUUGAAAAGUUAAGAAGUAAGAGAUAACUUUUUUUUCGAUAAAUAAUAUAAUGUGACACAUAUUUUGGUUACCGAUCAUAAAUGUACUCACCAUUCCAAAAGCUAUUAGAGUAGGAUAAUAACAAAUUGCGUAAAUUACUUUAAUCCUCCUGUGGUUUCAUCCAUUGCCACAUAAUUCCUUAAUGUUUUAAAUUCACCCCUAUAGUUUCAUGUAAAUUGAAAAUUUAACGAAAAAUAACUCAUGUAAUGUCGUUAUUUGAAAUACUAUUAGUGCAUUUACAUAAAUGUUAAAUCAAAUGAUGACUUAAUCAUUUUGUACAAAAUCAUAUGGAUAUUAAGUGGAUAAAUGCAAAAUUCUAGGUGGGGGGUUAAGUUAAUAUUAUGAUUUCAUCACACGCACUUUUAAAGCACUAUGAUUUAAUCGUCGUAACUAAUUAUGCAUUCCAUCCAUUUUUCACUUCACAUAAAACUACAAAGGGUAAUGUGGCUAUUUUGAAAUCUCAAGGAGAUCAUAUAAUAUUAUGCAAAACCUUAGGAGGGUUACAUAUAAUUGAACUUAAGAAAUUUUAUUCCUCUCUCAACCCAUUUCAUCCCAAUGGAGGCUUGAAUAUUUGUUCCGCCCACAUGGUUAAUAAUUGCAAUUCAAAUUAGGGCAUCAUCCAAUUGAAGAUGAUCUUGGACGUUCAUAUAAGAAUUGUUUUAAGAAAAAAUCAAGAAAAUGAAUUUUAGUGGUUUAGUUUUGUUAUCUCUUAAAAACUCUUUUAUUCUAAAUCUGUAUUUGCCUGUUCGAAAGUCUCUUCUCAGCUUUGUCUGGCCUCGUCAUUAACGGAUACCUAGUUAUGCGCUUUUAUUGAUUAAACUAGUUUUGUACCCGUUCGUUGAACGGGAAUCGUCGAAAAAAAAUAAACUAUUUAGUCAAUUUUAUAAAAAUGUCGAUAUAAAAUACAAAUUUAAUGCAUAAUCUAUUAUAACUUGUCUUAAGUAUAUUACUAUGUGCGCAUUGUAAUAUAAAUUAUUCUUAUAAUAUAAAUUUGAACAUCUAAUUCAGUGAAUAAUAAUUCAAAAAUGGAAAAAAUAACAUUCAACAAUACCAUAACAUUCAAAAACUUGAAAAUAAAUAAAAAGUGUAGUAAAUAGUAUCAAAUAAUAUACUACUCUUCAGAAACUUGUUUUUAUUUUUCUUCUAUUUGAACAUUCUCCUCGAUUUGUCCGUGCAACUCAGCAUUUAUUGAUUUUCCAUUAUCACUACAUGAUAGCAAAGCAGGAUAACUAAGUAUAAAAAAUUAAAUGAUUUAUCGCAUUCAAAAUUGUAUAUAACAAUACGUAAAGAUUAUAAUUUAAGAAAGUAAAAUAGUAUAUUAAAUCUACCUUGUCAUGCAAAUCUUUUUAUGAGGAUUACCUUCCUCUGUGGUUUUUGUUAAACCCUCUGAUGAAUGAUUCAUAUGAAGUGUAUUGAAAUGUUGUCCAUUAGAAUCAUCUGUUGUACUAAUUGGGAUCUGAGAAGAAGAUGUUUCAGGUUGUUAUUGGUUGUCGAUUCCACCAAUCUGAUAAUGAUUUAUCAAAAUUAAAGGCAAAAAUAUUAUGUGAGAUAUAAUAUGUGAAACAUAAGAGAAAUUUAUUGUACAUUACCUGUGAAAGCAUGAAAUGCGUUUCCCUCCCGAAAUCACAGUGGAACCAUCUAGUUACUAUAAAUCUAUUACUACCUUAUUCUAGAUUGUAAUUGUUCAACUUGAUUUGGAACACAAAAGGUUUUCACGUGAUCUUAUUUAUAAUUGAUGACAUGAUUUCAUUGCUAAAUCCUUCCUGGAAACGAAAAGCAUAAUAGAUUUUUUUGUUAGAAUAUUCAACGGCUGAGAUAAGUGUCGGAUUGUCUACUAUUAUUAAAAAUAUUUUAAAAAAUUAGAUAUAAGUUUACCUUAUUAAAUUCUUCAAGAACAAAAGAAGUUUGUGUUCUAUUAUUCUUUCAGCCUCUUGAUCAAAUAUAACAAACUAAGCACUGUUGGUUACAUCACUUGCCAAGACUUUUAACAUAUACCUGUAUAAAUACACAUAUUCUAAAAGUUAUGCUUAUGUAGAUAUUGUAGCAAUUAAAAUGAUAAAAAGGUUAACACCUACGACAUACCUGGCCUCGUCAUUAACGGAUACCUGGUUGUGCGCUUUUAUUGAUUAAAUUUAGACUAAAUGUCAAUGUAUACACUAUCACGAUUAGAUAGAGGACAAAUGAGUAAAAUUUGAAUUUCACACGUGUCAUAUGUCUAACAGUGAUAGUAUAUACACUGACAGUGUAUAUAAGAUUAAUCCUUAAGUUUAUUGACAUAAGGUUUGACUUGGGUCUAUUUGCUACUCUUCCUUAUGAAUAUUUCUUGCCUUCUUUUUUUUUUUCAGUUGUAUAAUUUUCAUUUUCGUUUGAGCCGUAGAAUAAGGAGGGUGCAAGGGAGUAACUCGAUGUUUGUCUCGUGAAAAACUCAACUCAAACUUGAUGACUCAGCUCGGUUUCAUCUAGUUUGAGUACAAAUCGUAUCAAGUUUUGACUUUAAGAUUAACAAUUUUGAUCUAUCUUUGGAUCAUAUUUUUCCAAUUUCAGAAUAUAUGAUGAGAAAUAAAAAAGCUCUUUAGAAGAUUAACCCGGACAAUACAAAAUUUUAGACUGUUGUCAAAUACUUUGCCUUUCUGCAAUCAGGAAAUUAAACUCCACCAAAUUCAGUGUGCCGAAUCAAUUUGGCUUCAUGGACUUAGUUGUCUAUAACACAACAUAGCCCCAUACCCGACUGCUUGAGCACAGAGCCUGGUGUAAAAGAUGUUGGAUGACAUCAUUCCUAAAAUAUAAUUUCAUGGGUCAUUAACUUUUUUUUAUCUUGGUUAAUUUUUUUAUUAAAUAAAAGUAUCAUUAAUAAACUUUUCUUUUUGGGUCUGUAAUUUUAGGUGGAUGGUGAUGUUGGUACACUUGGUCCACCAAGUAUUGAAGGCCGAGAUAAUAUAUUGAAGUAUGAUGAGAAAGAUGAGCUCGUGCAGCUGAUAAGAAGCCUGCAGCUUGGCUUGGGAAAACUCAAUUCUGUUGAAAAGCCAAAUAACGCAAUCAAUUAGCUAUGAUAAUAUUUGUAUAAUCUACUCUAGUCUAACAUAGGGAGAGGAGGAGCCUAACCGACGGAAUCCCGUCAGAGGAAGUUACUUGAAAGUGAUAGCCACAAUUAAGUUGCAAGUAUAUGGUGGGAGGGAAGAAUUGAACCCUUGACUUAUGACCAAUAACCCAAGAGGCUGUUGGCUUCUGAUGCAGAUACAAGUUCAAUAUAUCUCUUUUCUAAUAAACAACUGCUGCAGAUACAAGUUCAUCCUACUGAUGCUAUCUCUCUAUUCAAUGAUUUUCCAGCACCGUUGGAAAGUAGCACUCCUAUGAGCUCUUUUCUCUGAAUUUCCCUCUUUGAUUCACGAAUGUCACCUCAUAAUCAGGAUUUCGAUUUACAUUUCAUAAAGAUAAAAGGCAAGUAGUCUUUAUAAGCAAUUUAAUUCAUUUUGCUUCUUUUCUUUUAAAAUGAUUCAAAAUUUUGAGAGCACAACUAAAAUAGGUAUAGUGAGUUCAUUCAAACUAGGGCUACAAGCCGACUCGCAAGCAAUCAAUUGAAAGCUGGAUUUGAGCUCAAGCUUGAUUUGGCAAGCUGUUAAGUCGAACCCAAACAUAGACAUACUCGACUCAUGGGCUCAUUGAGUUGGCUCGAUUCUACUUGUACUUUUUGGUUAAUUCUAUUUAUGCUUGAUAAAUCUUUAUUAGUAAUGAAAUUACAUUUACGUACGUCUCUCCCGUAUUUUUACUACAUAGUAAGAGGAAAGAUCCAAUACAGGGCAACGUCACCAUGUUGUAGCUAACCUUGUAUGCACGUUCUGGUCAGUGCUAAUUUCGAAAUUUUCAGUGUUUUGUUGUCUAAUGUUGAGACCUUUUUUUUCUAAUGAUGCUUUUUGCGUUUUUCUUGGGGCUGUAAUCAAACUCAUUUUGUUGUUUUCUUGUUUCAUUUCUUUUGGGUCUUGUUGUUUGAUUGGCUGUUAGUUUGGAAUAUGUAUCUUGUGCAAAGGCAUUGCUCAAAGGAGAAACUGGUUCGAAGGUGGACGUCAAUUGUGGAAAACGGUGGUCUUUGUAUGAUGCUGCAAGAAUAUUAUCUCCCAAGUUCAUUGAGCUGUUUCUUGAAUUUGGAGGAAGAAUAACCCCCUGAUUAUAAGUUAGACCUUGCCCUUGAUGCACCCAGGUUAAGUUUUAUUAUGUAAUUAUUUUCUUCCUCUUUUCUUUCUCUCUUUCCUUUUCCUUAUUUUGCUUUUUGAGUCCUUCUUGCUUGACUUUUCUGAGUGAUUCUUCUUGCAGAAGGAGGAUUUCUUGGAAGAAGGAUUUCUUGGCCUGGCUUUCAACAGAAAACUAAGGAAAAGUCACAAUUGCUCGUUCAAAAUGGUUAUCCAUUUGGAUUGCUAUUUUGUGAAGUUCUAAAAAAGGAAAGGGAAAAAAAAAUCCUACUGUAACGAUUUGAUAUAUAUAUAUAUAUAAAAUAAAAUAGUGAAUGAAAAACAAGUUCACGGAAAACGGAAAAUUUUUUUGAGGAAAAAUGGCUUUCCAAACAAGGAGCCAUGUUGAAUACAAAAGUUAUGUACAAGUCGGCAACUUCAGGGUGGGAAAAAGAAGUAGCUACAAUUUUCUUUUUUAGACAAGAAGUAGACUACAAUUACUACCAGUUAGUUUUCAACUCAAACUUGAGUUUAAGGUUGAAUAUACUCUACACAUGUUGGCUGCUUUGAUCAUGUUGGACUUUGCAGCAUCCAACAAGGGGUCCGUUUGAAAAGCCUUGUUGAAGCAGUAUCUGGCUUCCUCCCAACGCCGUUCGGCCACGAACACAAGACCUAGAUUGUUGUAUGCUGGAGCAUAACCUGGUUGCAGUUCAAGUGACUUGGUAAGCAUUGCCUUUGCACGUUCAUAUUGUCGUAGCUGCCGGUAGAGAUUGCCGAGGUUGGAUAAUACAGUGUGUGCCUGUUGAGAUGUAGCCAGUGACAAGGCACGUUUAUAAGCUUCUUCUGCAUGCGGAGAAUCGUCAGACAAUUGCAAUGAGAUACCUGACAUGCAUGCUUAGAAUGUAAGAAUCGCAAUAACAAGCAUCCUCAGAACUAAAAGAUCAAUAAGGUUGGAAAAUGCAGAGUGAUUAGACACACUGAUGCAGAAUUAUAAUUACCAAGAUUUGACCAAGCAUAACUGCACUCCUUAAGACGCGCAACUGCAGCUUUAAAGUACGUCUGUGAUGUUUUGAAUUGUUGCGUACAGAGACCAUGAAGGCCAACUUGGUGCCACUGGACCGCGUCAUCGGGGUCUUGUGCUAUUGCCUGACUCACAUCACAUGUGGAAACAAAGAAAAUAAAAAUUCUCUCUGACAUAACCCUGGAAAGAACAGAGUAGCACAGAAAGCAAAGCUUGAACUUCAAAUUUCUAAAAAGCCGUCAUUGAGAAGAUUUCAUGACAAUUGAACCAUGCACCAACAAAGAUAGGGGAGGCUUAUACAUGAUUAAAAUUAAAAGUGAUAAAGAAAUGUGGCACAUAUACAGAUAAAGUAAUGUCAGUUCCUUCAUUUUUAGUCCUAAAACAGACAAACAGAAGAUACCAAAUUUGAUCGCGAGUGAACCUUCGCCACUUAUUGCAAUGCUUGUUAUGAGACAAAAGAAUUCUUAUACAUGAUCAUCUGAAAAAAGGAAUUCUUGCACAUUCCAGAAGAAGAAAUUCUUUAUUCCAACAUUAAUACCAGAUAGAAGCAAAGAUAUCCAGAACCCAAUGACUCCAAGAUCCACAACAUUUGAAGGGUGAAACACAACUUGCAUCUCAUCCCACAGAACUGGAGAAUAAAACAAAAUAACCCAAAAGCAGCACACACACAUACACAAAGAGAGAGAGAGAGAGAGAAGAGAUGGAGGCGGGAAGGAGAGAAAACAGAGAGAAUUUAAGAAGGGGAAAAAAAGAGACAAAGAUUAUGCUGCUUCAACCUGUUUCAGACUGUCUGUAGCACGUUCUUUGAUUUCCAACAAGUCGUCAUUCUCAAUGUCAAAGCCUGCAGCUAUCUCAUGCUGAGCCUUGUGAACCAUAGCAAGGCCUGCCCAAGCUAUGGGAGGCUCAAUCACCGAGGAUUCCCCUUCUCGAAGUAUGGAAGCCAUUUCAUUUCCAGCCCAAGAGAGCUGUUCACUUGGAUUUUGAGACCUUUCUGCAUCCUUGAUUCGGUGAACUCCAACAGCAUAUCUUGUAGCUAAACAAUUGGGCUCUAGUUUCACUGCCUGAACAUGUAGAAGAAAACUCUUAAAACGGUCACAACACAAACAUCCAAAAUGUCGUUUAGCAACCAUUACUUUCACCAAAGAAAAGCACCUUGCCAUUACUUGAAUGUCACAACAUAAAGGAAAUCUGCAAAACAUGAAAAACAUCCCAAAAUGCAAGCAAAACAUUCUUGAAAAUCAACAAUGUCUUGUUUUACCAUUAUGACACUGCCGAACUCCAACUAGACAAACACAUAAUGGUGAUUUAACAAAAAGGAAGUUUUAAAAAAACAGUUAAUCAUGCAUAUGCACCAUCAGCAAGCUGACUUAAGCACAACCAACCAAACAAACAAUCAAAGACGAUUUGAAACAUCUACUCUCUAUCCUGCUGGAGGCAGAAACUAAAUCAAAAUUCACAGGGUUUAAACUGGGAAGAGAUGGCUGAAGAAGGCAUUGGUGGCAUCAGCUGAUGGUUUGAGAGAUGAAAGGAGUACAAAUAGGAAAGAGAUUAGGGUGGCUGUAAAGGGGGCCAAUGGGCACCAUGGGUCACUUUAAAAACUUUUUCUUGGUAAAAGAAAGAUGUCCUGGGUAUAGACAGGGUACAACAAGAAGGUUUCCAUGCAAGAAUUAUGGGCCCAUUGGUAACUGAAGGAGGUUUCUAAAUUUUAGCAGCUCUAUGAGAAACUGCAGCUGAAGUAAGCGCCAUAGCAAAAAUUGAAGAGAGGCAAGCUAAGAGGACAUCUAUGACAUUAAAAUACAAACACAAGUGUUCUGGUUCAGUUUACAAAAACUUAGUAUGAUUUUAGUGAAGAAUAAAAGAGACAGAAGCACCUUUUCUAAGCAUUUACUCGCACUUCUAUGAUCACCCAUCAAGAAAUAUGCAUUAGAUAGAUUCGACCAUAGAUGUGCUGCUCUGGGAUCUGACUUCACCGCAGCUAACAAACACUCUUUAGCAACGUUAGCUGCUGUAACUUGUUCUUCAGAAGCCCCUCCAUCAUUGGCACCUGCUCCAGCACCUGAAAUUUGGAGUUGACAAUUGAAGAGACAUAAUUUGCAGAGCAUGAUGAAGCACGUCAUGGGCACUUGUCUAAAGUGGAAGCAUAACUCUCAACUAUAUCUGAAGAAAGCACUAGACAGAGAUAUGCUAGAUAGAAUAUAAACCAUGCUUUUCUAUGUUGUUUUGAAACUUACCAGAAAUUAAUGAACCAUAUCUACACAAAAGAAGGGCUGCAUAAUUGAUAAAAGCAGAAGGAUGGUUUUGAUCUUUCAAAAUCAGAUCUUGCAAGCACUUCUCUGAAAGCUCCAUAUUCCCACUGGAAAAUAAAUGUAAGUGUGAACAAACUAAAAGGAAGUAACCUACCAGUGGCUCAGGAAAUAUGUAAAAACCCUGUAUGGACUAAUAAAAAUGCAGAGAAAUCAAGGCAGUAGAAAGUAUUUGCAUGAAUACAAUUUAUUUGUCCUGACAAUUAAUAGAAUAGGUAGUUUUGCUUUACUGUUUGUGUUACUUGAAUCUAAAGGUAAUUAUGCUGUCUCCUACCCUUUCUGAAAUUUUUUAUCUAAACAAAGUAGGGAUGCAAAAUUUUUCUAGCAAUAUGCCCAGGGAAGGAAAUGCACAGCCACUAAGUUCGACGACAUGUAAGUGCAGAUACCAACCCUGUUGGACUUUAUAUGAUUACAUACUAACCCAACUGAAAACAGACUUUCAUCAUUUCUACUUUUAAGCAACUUGACCUGGGUACCCUCAAAUAGUUUGCAUACUGCUUCUGCCUCUUAAGCCACAUUUUUUACACUUUGUGCUUCAUGGUGUGACUGUGAGAACAAAUAUCCAACCAACUAAAUGUGUUGGAUUAUAUUCUCUCUAUUUUUGGAAAGUGCUCAUCAACAGGGUCCAUUCACAAAUCCUGAUCUCUUAGUAUGGAACCACAUAUAUAUACUCUACAGUUGAUUAACAAAUGUGUCAUUCAGAUGGAAAAAGAACAAUGAACUCCAAGAUAUUAGUAUAUACAAUAUAGAAGUCCCAUUAGAAAGAUUUCACGUACUACUCUAGGGAGUAUUGCAUCCCAUAACUUCUUGGUGACGUUUCAUAACCACUUCAGGCUUAAGCUUUGAAAGUGCUUUUACACGACGCUGAAAUUCAAAGCUUUAAAAAUUAAAUAAGUAUUUUGCCAAAAGCCACAGCAUGACCAAUCAGGCACCUAGGAAAGAAGCUAAUUUACCAAACAAUCAACAUGCAGAAGCAUCUCGUGCAUUACAAAUCAAUAGAUAUAUAAGAUAAUAAUACUAGAACUAGUGCAAAACAUUUUGAGUCACAAGAAAGUAGGAAGAUACAAAAGGAGUUUUCCGGACAAAAAUAGAAUACACAAUCAAAAGCAUCUAGAAAGAUAUGCAUUUUUUUCACCCAAAUAUUGGAAAAGGACAGAGAAGGGGGGAAAGAAUGCAAGAAUCUUAAGGAUGACACUAAUUUCAUUACCUCUGAAAAUAAGCAAUCCCAAGGUUUCCCAGGCAAUCCAAGUUGUUGGGUUCAACAGCUAACAAAGUAGAAAAAACUGAUAUAGCACUCUACAAAAGAAAAUAGAAGACAUUUAGAUUUACAAAGUCAAGGCGCAACACUACACAAGAACAAGAUUCAGCUAUUGCACCUGAAAACGUCCAGUUUUAAGAAGUACAAGUCCCAGAGUGUUCCAGACAGGUGCCUGUCUUAUAUCAGAAUCCAUAGACUCCCUUAGCUUCAGAAUAAUGUCGUCAAGUUCUUUCGGUUCAAGUUCUUUGUCUGACUUGCACUCUUCUAAGCUUCCCAACAAAAUACACUGCAUUUGUGAUGCAACAUGUUAUAAAUGCAUGUAUGGCCAUUGAACAUAAUGUCCCCUACUAAGUACUCAUCAUUAAAUGUGGCAAACAACUAGCAUACUUUGAUGUAAAACAAAUUCAACCUGUGCAUGGUGAAUCCGAACCAAUGAAAGCAACUCUGGGCGGUCAAUUUCUUCUUCAGAACGAAUCAAAAUCUCAGCAGCCUUCUCAUAUGCCACAACUGCCUACAAAAAGAUUUAUUGGUAAAACUACAUCCAUACAUAUUACCCAAUCUGAAGACAUUAGAUUCAAAGAUACCUUCUCAGCUUGACCCAUCCUUUGGUACAUUAGGCCAAGUACAAAAUGAGCAUGUGCAUUCUUUGGCAUCUUCCGGGCAACAUGGACUAACCCCUGAUAGCUCAACGAUACAAACAAAUCGUCAAUUCUUCACACAGAAAAUGUUAUGAUUUUAAAGCAACCUAGACAAGUGUGCCUUUUAAAUUUUAAUCUGGAACAAAGCCCCUGUUAUGCCAUUACUCAUGUUCAGAUACAACUAAACUAGUGGAGCACUAGGAGCAGAAAUAAAGCUAGUUCUCGGAGUGAAUUUCAGGCGAAUCUCUAAUUCCAGCGUCAUCACAUGCAUUUCAUUACUUUUAAACGCAGUCAAGUUUAUUUCCCACUUUGGGUCUCAGUCAACAUUUUUUCCUAAAAAAUGUGAUCAGACCAAUCCAAUAUUCCACCAAUUGCGGUCUUUUGUAAAACUAAUAUUACACGUCACUUUCGAAAGUUAGCUGCUUUUCAUGUUUAAGCUUUCUGAAAACUUGCUUUCAUUUAGGAAAUCAAAGUCAAAUGAUUUAUUUUGGACGCGUUGUUCAAAAUUAAUAAGACAAAAGUUACUCCAAACUCUUCAACACCUGCAAGUCAUAAAACUGAUUGUCGCUAAGUUGCAAUGCCAACAAUCAUCUGUCAAUGUUGAGUGCUUUACUGUUGCGCAUACUUUUAUACAUAGCUCAAGUACUUUAACCCUAUGAUUCGGGAUUCGAGACUCUUUUUAGUUCAAAAUCUGUAUCAACUGAAUAUUACAUUUCUUCAUUUAAAAUUAAUAUGGCAUUUAAUUGAAUUAUUAGCCAGACAAAUAACUGAAGAUUGUCAUCAAAACAUCAUGAUUUUCUCCAUAAAUGAAUAAAACACUACUUUCCUUAGGUACUGACAGGGAUUUUACAAUAUAACAAGGAGUCAAGAACAUACUAAAAACAAACUUAGGAAACACAACAACAUUGCAACAGCACAAAAUUCAACGCAAUUGAUGAACAAUCAAACAGGCAGAGAUUGUUCUUUGUAUUUCCACCUAUAACAGAGAACCAUUCCCUGUGGGCCUACGCUUUUAUUGUUUUGUCCUUUUCCUUGAUAGUAGCCACUGCUCAUUAAUGUUCCGAUAUGGAAGGAGACAAUAUUUGAUGCAUGAUUGCAUGAAUCCCAACGUGAUGAAUAAGGUGCUUGAUUAUGUCUAAAGGUGUAGUCCAUGCACUUAUGAGGAAAAAAUUUGUAGGCACAAGAAAGGCAAAAGAAACUUGAAAGUGAUAAAUGACUAGCAAACAAGAUAAAAGCAAAAUUAGGAUGAACAGAGAAAAUAACAAAUGGAACUUGAAAGGAAGAGUGAACAAGAAAAAUAAAUCAGGGUCUAAUUAGCAGUAAUCUUUGGCUUUCCUUAGGAUGAAAGGCGGGAAACAUGCUAACCAAAUAAAAAACCAAAAGAAGGAAAAAUGGACUAGACGGUCAAUCAAGCACUGCCCUAUGAAACUCCAAAAUAUGAUUUUACUUCCAAUACAGGUUUUCAUUUUUUACUGCAAUGCAUAUAAUUCCCAUGAUUAUUCGCUUAAUCAAGUGCAACCUCUAUCUCUCUAUCCUUUUUUUUAGCGUGGGAGAGCUUGAUUCCAAGACCUCUCACUUACACUCCCUCCCUCCGAACCACCCAACCCAUCCCUCCCCCCACCAAUCCCAUCCCAUGACCUCUCCUUGUUUAACAUAUCAUGAUUCAUCAUUCCUGCCUGUUCUCUUUCUCUAUAUCAAGAGCUUAAUAAAGUCAAGCAAGUACUUUUGUAUGUCGAAAUAGUGAUGUUGCUCCACAGGAGUUCAAAUACAAUCUCUAAGUUAUGUAGCAUUCCACUAAGUUUAGCUCACCUUACAGACAGAGUCUAAGUAUUAUGCAAGUUGAAGAAAUUAGGAAAUGACAAAGAUAGAUUGGCAUAAUAGAUACCAAAUUGUGCAAAAACAAACUUACGGUUCGAAGGCUGCUGACUUUUUCCUCACGCAAGGAUGACAUCGUUUGACUACUCUGAUCCGCAUCAGCAUCAGCCCCACAAUCAAGAGGGUAAUCUAGCUUACUUUUUGACCGGCACUUGCCCAACCUUUUAAACUGUUUACCUUCUGCUUCCAUGGCCUCUGCAUCUUUACUCAUCAAGGUACUUUCAAGUAUUUGCUCACUACAGAAACCCAACGACAAAUGUAUCAACUUCCACUUGUUAAUAUUUAAACCGACUGAUACAUAUUUACAUCUUUACAAGCUAGCUGCACAGCAACUGAACUAUAAAGGUGCAGCUAUAUGAACAACAGGUAAAAAAUCAAACCAACAGUUCAGUCGGGUCUAGAACUUCCUUUAACAAAUUGCUUAAAAUUCAACUUCUCACCUAAAUCCUGGAUAUCACUAACUACAAAUUCAUUUCAAUAUAGCAUACUUCAUUUAUAUUUGACCAAUGCCGCCAUACAUCUAAUACAAGCAUACUCAACUGGUAAUCCACAUUAAAGUUUCAAUCUUUCCAAUUAAAAACCAAAGUGCAAAAAGGGAAACUAACAGUUAAAUAUCACACCAAAAGGGGAAAAAAGCCAAAAAGAGAAAACCGAAAACAGACAGCCGAGUAAAAUUCACAACCCAGAGAAAGAAUGGUCUAAUUCUGUCAGAAGUUUACAACUAAAAAGGAACAAAAAAGAUUUGAUUUUACCAUGAAAUUACUGCAACAAUACUCACAAACAAAUAGAGCCCACAAAACAAUUUUCUUCAAAAUUUGCAUAUAUCCAGUUAUCUAUCGACACAUACGUGAGAUAUUUAAGAGAAUUAUUACCUCAGAUAUUCCAAGUGCGUCGACUCUCAAGUAGUUGGCGGUUAGAGAAGCUAAUGAUUGAAACUAUGCCUGGGUCUUGCAAUUUAAAGCGGUGGAUUUUGGAGCUGAGUUGUUGGAGGAAGUCAAUAGCUUUUAGUAUUAUUCUUGUCCGAGUCCGCACAGCCCAAACAUGCAGGUGCCAAUUACAUAUGCAGUACUUUCGGCGAAGAUGGAAAGGAGUAAUACAAUUUUUAGUUUUUAUUUUACUAUCUUUUUUGGGAAUGACGGAAAGAAAAGGAAAGAAAAGAACCUGACAUCUUUUGUUUUUCUUAUUUUGUCUCAGAGUUUAAGAGAAAAGAUGAAAUCCUUUUAGGCAGAUUAAUAUUAUUACUACUAUUAUUAAUACAUUUAUGUUAUGUUCUAAUAUUUUUUGUUACAAUUUUCAUCUCAAAAAUAUGGUAUGUAUUUGAUGUUAGGCCCUCAAGUUAUCUUGCAUUUUUAGCAUCUUAUUUUUUUCCUCAUUUUAAAGCUACCAAACAAGGGAAAAACCUUUGUUUCCUACUCUAUUUUCUUUGUUAUAUUCGUAUUGUUUAGGUUUUAAGUUGAAAAAUUAAAAGUUAUUAUGUUCAUCCUACGUUAAAUUUUAAUUUACAAGAUUCUCACGUUAUGAAAGUAGAAACAUCUUUUAAAAUAUGGAGACAAAUGAAUAAAAAACGACUAAAAACUUUAGUGUCUUAAUAGUAUUACCUCUUUCUUAAUGGAUUUUAUGAGGUAAUUUUGCCUACCAAAUCGGUCAAGAAUCUUUUUUUCAAUUCAUUUACUUUCAAUAUUCUACUCCUUUACUCUCACAACUUUAAGUUCCUUCUUCUUUACCUUCCUUCUUUAGAUUUCCAUAAAAAGGAUUAGAAAUUGGGGCUCUUGAGGAUGUUUUAGUGACAAAUGACCUCAGUUUCAUAACGUGCAUCAUGAAGUUUGCUAGAAUAGGCGGAGCGUAGGUGAACAGACACAAAAAAAUGACAGGCAAUUUCAUUAAUAAAAGGGAAAGUUAAGCCUGCCAGCGUCUCAGAUUUCAUGUUCACCCUCGAUCAGGAAAAGAGGCUCUAAUCUUAGGGAAAAUCUUCUCGUUCAUUGUCUCACAUCUGCUAGGAAGACCAAUAUUGUGUUCGACUUCUCCAAGGAAGAAACGGAUAAGAAAUUAUACACAUUAUUGAUUUCUGCGCAGUUAAAGACCAGACAGUCUUAAUAUCGCUCAAGGGAUGAUGAGCUCACAACUUCGAAGGCCAAACAUGAUAAAGAGUGCUGCAACUCUACCACAAGCACCAUUCCUCCAACUCUGCUUCAGAAGGGAAACAGCAAAAGCUGGACGGUAUUGAAUAUUGAUUCAGCUUAAAAGCUAAAGAUAAAAUGUCACUAGUUCAUCUGAGUUCACUGCCCGCAAGGGGAAGAUCCUUCCAACGUGUCUAAAGAACAAAACAGUAAAUGCUAAAAUUGUCUUUGACUGGUAGGAAUACAGAGCACAUUCCCAUCUCAGACAAUCAGUCUACUGUUGAAAAACAAGAACCUAAUUUAUACA
This 131021-nucleotide long non-coding RNA is filed under the name Coffea arabica (coffee). RNAcentral describes it as "long non-coding RNA (CARA_LNC002793)". The record is from RNAcentral. Lineage: Eukaryota; Viridiplantae; Streptophyta; Magnoliopsida; Gentianales; Rubiaceae.